CCCAAAGCAGCCCGCCCGUAGCGACGGUUUCCCGAAGAAACCUAAGUACUACCUUGCCGCCGCCGAUCUUCCCCGUGCUCUCGAACGCUGCCGCCGGCUGCUGGACAAGCUGCUGCAACAUGAGGACGGGUGGGUGUUCGCCAAGCCGGUGGAUACACACAGCCUCGAACUCCGCGACUACCUCUCUGUCAUCGCCGAACCCAUGGAUCUUGGCACUGUCAGCCGCCGCCUUGAAUUGCGUCGCUACCCGAACCUGCUCUGCUUUGCCAAGGAUGUCCGGCGUACCUUUAGCAACGCCAUGACCUACAACAACAAGGGAGACGAUGUGUACGAGAGUGCUGCUAAGCUCUCUUGUAUCUUCGAGUCAGGGUGGGCCUCCAUUUUGGCGGCGCUCCCGUCGCCGCCGCCGGUCGCCAUGCGCAGGGCAAGGCUCAAGGAUGAGCUGCCGCGGCUGCCGGUGGACUUGCAGGGGAAAGCGGUCGUCAUUAUGAAGGACAUCGGCGGGUGGAUCCAGGAGGUGGAUGGGAGGGUUGAGGUGGAUUUUGACAAGGCCGACGAGGCGACUCUUGACAAGCUCGAGAGGCUGCUCGCUCUCGCCACCAUGAGGAAGGUAAUUAUUUUCUCCAUUUGGAGUCCUUAUGGUUCUGAUUUGGGCAGCAUAAUUUUGCAAUGCUUGGUAGCAAUCUUGUCCAAAGCGACCAUAUUUAUUGCAAUGCUGUUUAGCGAUCUUGUCCAAACAUGCUCGUGUAGGCUGUGUUAAAGAUGGAAACCUAUUUUUGAUGAUAUAAUAAGAAGUCCAGGGUGUCAGUUUACCAACGUGAAGAAAACCCCAUUUUUGGGACUGAAAGGUGCAUAUUUUCGUCAUUUUGGAAUUGGUAGUGAUAUUGUCACAAUGCCUUUCUGGGAGGGUGAAUUGCAUUGUUGAUACAAGAAGUUGUCCAAGAAGCUCAGUGUCAUACAUCAAGUACUAUCAAAUUUUACACUUGGGUACAUGAUGCUGCAUAAAUGGUACAAAACAGCCCGACCCACUCACGCGACGCCGAUGCCACUUUGAUCGGGAGUGUUUGGGCUGUAUUUUUCGUGCGUGAGCGACACGUGAGGGGGAGAGGAAGGGAUGUGUGCAGCCGUGAUUAGUUGUGGUUGUGGCCUGUAGUUUUUUGUGCUCUUUGCAGCUUGUUCUGUCGAUUUCAAUUAGGGUUUUCAUGCUCUUGAUUAAUCUCUGUAAUUGGUAGUUUUUUGUGCUCUUUGUAGUAAGAUUUGCGAAUGUUGUACGGUAUUAAGUGGUAAAUGUAUCAGUAGUUUACUGUUUUGAUAGAUUGCUCUGUUAGAAUUACAAUGCCCUUUUUACAUAUAUGUUCAUGCAAAUACUUAGAAAGUUGUCAUCUUUCAAUCGAAUCUUGCAAUGUAAGCAAUGAUGUUCAUCAGUGCACUUUGGAAAUACAUCACCAUGUUUUUUUUCUGGCAAGACGUGCACUUCACCAAUGCCAUGUUUUGCGACGUCCUGUGGCUUCGCCCUCCGCCUCGCUGUUCGGCCAUGGCGUCGUCCCUGGGUUGAGUAAGUGGGACAGGGGACAUGUGAGAGAGGGGUGGCAUGAGUGCCGCCGCUGGAUUUGGGGAUGAGAGGGACGGCGAUUGAGCUAGGGAUUUGACACUCAAUUUGAGAAUUUAGGGCCAGUGGCUGUUCUGAAGAUUAAAUGAUCAAGGAGGACCAAAUUAAUAAGUUGCAACUGCAAGUUUCCAAAAAACUACAUGGCGUGCCACGUUGGCCUCGCGGGGUUGGGCCGAGCUGUUUUGUGCAACCUCUUCAUUAAUAUAAGGUGUUUUUUUGACUUAUGGUAAGUCUAAAAAUGUCUUAUAUUAAUGAACAGAGGGAGUACCAUUUAUGCAACAUCAUGUACCGAAGUGUAAAAUUUGAUACUUGAUGUCUGGAACCGAACUUUCUGGACAACUUUCUUGUAUUAAUAGUGCAAUUCACUCUUUUUGGUAUUUCACCUAUUUGAUUUCGUGGGGACGAACCGGAUUGGCUGCAGUUCAUCCUGCCCAUAGCCCUUGGAUCAGAAAUUGAACAUUCUAAUCAAGGAGUUGUUUGUUUUGAUUGUUGGAGUUCGUGCUUUGUGAUUCUUCCCUCAUGUAGCUAAUUAGACGGUGCACACCCCCUACAGUCCCACUGCUGCUGUUGAGGUUUACAACAUAGGAAUAUUGUCCACUGUAUAAUAAAUGUAACAUACGGCACACCACCCUUUUUUCUGAUCAAAGCUGUGAGAUGGAGGUUUUCGUUGUUUUCUGUGGCAUGGAUUAGUGAUAAUGUUAAGAUUGGCGUGGAGAAGUUACUCCAAAGAAUUUAUGAGCUAUCUAGAGAGACACAGUAAAAUAUGUUAUUCCAGGCUUUAGAAUGCCAUGUAAUACUUUGUUUUUUCCAGACCAUGCUACGUUAUGCUCUGAGGGAACAUACACAGGAUGAUUGUUCGAGAUCCUCCUAAAGCUGUGAGAAAUUAAAAAGUAGGCAUAUUGUUUUUGGCUUAUUAACCGUGUACCGUGAGAUGUGAAAUACCUGAAUGUUUUGGAUCUUGUUAACAUAAUCCUUGUGUCCUGUGCUGUAGCAUAGUAGUAUAGGUCUGGUCAGGUAGUUUUCCUUAGCUAUUAAGAUAAUCUUGCUGCCUGACAACUAGUAGCAGCAGCCAACUUUGUUUUGUCUGGAGAGGGAAUUGAAUGCUGAGAAAUGGUAAGACUUCCAUUUUCAUUGGAGUAUGAUGAUUUCAAGUUUUCAACCAUAGCCACCGGGACCUGAAGCCACUACCUCUGGUACUCAUCAGAGAGCUCUCAAAUAUACUUUGAUUAGAAUGAAUGUUUUAUCUAACUUAAGAAUAAAGAGCUUUAUUGCUGGGUCCCUGACCUGGAUUAGCCGGCUUUGCAACUACAUCCCGAAGAACACCAAGUCUCUAACCAUCUCAUCGACCCACAAUUUUUCUUUUUGAGGAAUUGGCAGCUUGUACUGCCUAUAUAUUAAGAAGGAGAAAAAGUAAUACAAAAGUUGUGUUACAUAGCUGGUUUUUUAGGCGUCUCACACCAGAAAAAAGAUUGAAAAAUACAUCAAUCAGGUUCAGGUUCCGGGCUGUUCUCGGCGUCUGAGAGCCAAUGAAUGGAUAGUCUGCUGGUUGAAGAAUGUCCUGCUUGAUGAUGUUAUGACUGGCCUAUAGUAUAGCCGGAGGAGGCCCCAUGGCGCAGGCAGUUAUGGGCCUGGCCCAAGUGAUCUCAUCGUUUUAGGGGCUUAGCCCAAUUAUCGUAUUACGAGGAUUAUAUAAACUCAUGUAAAGACUCGUUUUGAAGUUAAGCAGAAGUAAUCAUAUUUGCUUGGCUUCCUUAAGGAGUCAGGAGACCUAACCCUAGCCACACCCCGCGCCCUCUCUCUCUCCCGCGAUCACGACGCCUCAGUGCCGUCGGCCGCGCCUCCCGCCGCACCAACCCUCCUUCCACCCCUAUAAUCUGAGAACUCGUCCUGGUAGGGACCCGGUUCCUAUCAAUCUGGUAUCAAGUGACUCAGGCUCGAUCAUGUCUGCGCCGCCGCCCACUGUCACACCCUAGCUAGUCAUGCAUUAGAGUGUGUGCAUCAUGUUUAAAAUUUCCAUUUAAAUUGAAAUGGGGAUUUGUGAAACCCUCAGAAUCAUUUUUGAAAAUGAUCCAAAUAAAAAUUUCUCCAAAAAGGUCCAAGAAAAUGCUCAUGUUCCUCUCUGAAAAUAUUGGACAGAGAUAAAAAUCAAACCAAUAUUUUUAAGAGCUCAUAGGUAUUUAUUUUGGGCAUUUGGAAUUAAUGCAUAAAUAUUUGCAUUGGAAAUAUAUUAGUUAUAUAUAUUAAUAUAUGUCCAAAUAUUAUGCCAAUUAUAAAGGAGCUCUGGAAUAAUAUAUAUAGCUCCUGCAAAAAUUGGCAUAAGUUAAAUAAAUGAUUUAAUAUAUUAUUUAAAUCAAAACAAAUGUCAGAAAUUAGAAAACAGAAAAUAAUUAACAGGAGGAGCUUACCUGGGCUCCUCCACUGUGCGGCCCAGCCAGCUGGCUGGCCCAGCCAGCAGCCGGCCCAGCCCAUCUCCCUCCUCUGUCGUCUUCGUCCCGACAGAGGGAGGGGAGUGUGGCCGGCGUGCGCGCGCGCCACCGCGCCACGCCACCUCUCUCCCUGCCUGCCUGCCCUUCCCUCCUCGCCUCGAUGCCCCGGGCGACGCCACGCCUCUCCCCCUGCUCUCUCUCACUCUCCCUCAGUUCCUCCCUCCUCCCCUCGCUCUCUCCCUCACACGGCCGAACACCCCCGUCGCCGCCGUUCGCCAUAGCAGCCGUCUCCGGCCACCCCUCGCUUCCCCGACUAGCUCAGGAGCUCCGCCACGACCCCCUCUUCCCUCUCCACCGACCCACAGCUCCCCGGAAGCCCUGCAUCGCCGCCACGUCGCCGUUCCCCUCUUCGGGCUCCGACCACCGUCGACGUCGAUUCGCCGUCUCCAGCGCGUCCCCGAGCCCGCUUCGACGCCCACUGCAACCGCGGUGAGCUACGCCACCGUUUCCCCCUCUCCUCCCCCUCGUUCCCCCNNNNNNNNNNNNNNNNNNNNNNNNNNNNNNNNNNNNNNNNNNNNNNNNNNNNNNNNNNNNNNNNNNNNNNNNNNNNNNNNNNNNNNNNNNNNNNNNNNNNNNNNNNNNNNNNNNNNNNNNNNNNNNNNNNNNNNNNNNNNNNNNNNNNNNNNNNNNNNNNNNNNNNNNNNNNNNNNNNNNNNNNNNNNNNNNNNNNNNNNNNNNNNNNNNNNNNNNNNNNNNNNNNNNNNNNNNNNNNNNNNNNNNNNNNNNNNNNNNNNNNNNNNNNNNNNNNNNNNNNNNNNNNNNNNNNNNNNNNNNNNNNNNNNNNNNNNNNNNNNNNNNNNNNNNNNNNNNNNNNNNNNNNNNNNNNNNNNNNNNNNNNNNNNNNNNNNNNNNNNNNNNNNNNNNNNNNNNNNNNNNNNNNNNNNNNNNNNNNNNNNNNNNNNNNNNNNNNNNNNNNNNNNNNNNNNNNNNNNNNNNNNNNNNNNNNNNNNNNNNNNNNNNNNNNNNNNNNNNNNNNNNNNNNNNNNNNNNNNNNNNNNNNNNNNNNNNNNNNNNNNNNNNNNNNNNNNNNNNNNNNNNNNNNNNNNNNNNNNNNNNNNNNNNNNNNNNNNNNNNNNNNNNNNNNNNNNNNNNNNNNNNNNNNNNNNNNNNNNNNNNNNNNNNNNNNNNNNNNNNNNNNNNNNNNNNNNNNNNNNNNNNNNNNNNNNNNNNNNNNNNNNNNNNNNNNNNNNNNNNNNNNNNNNNNNNNNNNNNNNNNNNNNNNNNNNNNNNNNNNNNNNNNNNNNNNNNNNNNNNNNNNNNNNNNNNNNNNNNNNNNNNNNNNNNNNNNNNNNNNNNNNNNNNNNNNNNNNNNNNNNNNNNNNNNNNNNNNNNNNNNNNNNNNNNNNNNNNNNNNNNNNNNNNNNNNNNNNNNNNNNNNNNNNNNNNNNNNNNNNNNNNNNNNNNNNNNNNNNNNNNNNNNNNNNNNNNNNNNNNNNNNNNNNNNNNNNNNNNNNNNNNNNNNNNNNNNNNNNNNNNNNNNNNNNNNNNNNNNNNNNNNNNNNNNNNNNNNNNNNNNNNNNNNNNNNNNNNNNNNNNNNNNNNNNNNNNNNNNNNNNNNNNNNNNNNNNNNNNNNNNNNNNNNNNNNNNNNNNNNNNNNNNNNNNNNNNNNNNNNNNNNNNNNNNNNNNNNNNNNNNNNNNNNNNNNNNNNNNNNNNNNNNNNNNNNNNNNNNNNNNNNNNNNNNNNNNNNNNNNNNNNNNNNNNNNNNNNNNNNNNNNNNNNNNNNNNNNNNNNNNNNNNNNNNNNNNNNNNNNNNNNNNNNNNNNNNNNNNNNNNNNNNNNNNNNNNNNNNNNNNNNNNNNNNNNNNNNNNNNNNNNNNNNNNNNNNNNNNNNNNNNNNNNNNNNNNNNNNNNNNNNNNNNNNNNNNNNNNNNNNNNNNNNNNNNNNNNNNNNNNNNNNNNNNNNNNNNNNNNNNNNNNNNNNNNNNNNNNNNNNNNNNNNNNNNNNNNNNNNNNNNNNNNNNNNNNNNNNNNNNNNNNNNNNNNNNNNNNNNNNNNNNNNNNNNNNNNNNNNNNNNNNNNNNNNNNNNNNNNNNNNNNNNNNNNNNNNNNNNNNNNNNNNNNNNNNNNNNNNNNNNNNNNNNNNNNNNNNNNNNNNNNNNNNNNNNNNNNNNNNNNNNNNNNNNNNNNNNNNNNNNNNNNNNNNNNNNNNNNNNNNNNNNNNNNNNNNNNNNNNNNNNNNNNNNNNNNNNNNNNNNNNNNNNNNNNNNNNNNNNNNNNNNNNNNNNNNNNNNNNNNNNNNNNNNNNNNNNNNNNNNNNNNNNNNNNNNNNNNNNNNNNNNNNNNNNNNNNNNNNNNNNNNNNNNNNNNNNNNNNNNNNNNNNNNNNNNNNNNNNNNNNNNNNNNNNNNNNNNNNNNNNNNNNNNNNNNNNNNNNNNNNNNNNNNNNNNNNNNNNNNNNNNNNNNNNNNNNNNNNNNNNNNNNNNNNNNNNNNNNNNNNNNNNNNNNNNNNNNNNNNNNNNNNNNNNNNNNNNNNNNNNNNNNNNNNNNNNNNNNNNNNNNNNNNNNNNNNNNNNNNNNNNNNNNNNNNNNNNNNNNNNNNNNNNNNNNNNNNNNNNNNNNNNNNNNNNNNNNNNNNNNNNNNNNNNNNNNNNNNNNNNNNNNNNNNNNNNNNNNNNNNNNNNNNNNNNNNNNNNNNNNNNNNNNNNNNNNNNNNNNNNNNNNNNNNNNNNNNNNNNNNNNNNNNNNNNNNNNNNNNNNNNNNNNNNNNNNNNNNNNNNNNNNNNNNNNNNNNNNNNNNNNNNNNNNNNNNNNNNNNNNNNNNNNNNNNNNNNNNNNNNNNNNNNNNNNNNNNNNNNNNNNNNNNNNNNNNNNNNNNNNNNNNNNNNNNNNNNNNNNNNNNNNNNNNNNNNNNNNNNNNNNNNNNNNNNNNNNNNNNNNNNNNNNNNNNNNNNNNNNNNNNNNNNNNNNNNNNNNNNNNNNNNNNNNNNNNNNNNNNNNNNNNNNNNNNNNNNNNNNNNNNNNNNNNNNNNNNNNNNNNNNNNNNNNNNNNNNNNNNNNNNNNNNNNNNNNNNNNNNNNNNNNNNNNNNNNNNNNNNNNNNNNNNNNNNNNNNNNNNNNNNNNNNNNNNNNNNNNNNNNNNNNNNNNNNNNNNNNNNNNNNNNNNNNNNNNNNNNNNNNNNNNNNNNNNNNNNNNNNNNNNNNNNNNNNNNNNNNNNNNNNNNNNNNNNNNNNNNNNNNNNNNNNNNNNNNNNNNNNNNNNNNNNNNNNNNNNNNNNNNNNNNNNNNNNNNNNNNNNNNNNNNNNNNNNNNNNNNNNNNNNNNNNNNNNNNNNNNNNNNNNNNNNNNNNNNNNNNNNNNNNNNNNNNNNNNNNNNNNNNNNNNNNNNNNNNNNNNNNNNNNNNNNNNNNNNNNNNNNNNNNNNNNNNNNNNNNNNNNNNNNNNNNNNNNNNNNNNNNNNNNNNNNNNNNNNNNNNNNNNNNNNNNNNNNNNNNNNNNNNNNNNNNNNNNNNNNNNNNNNNNNNNNNNNNNNNNNNNNNNNNNNNNNNNNNNNNNNNNNNNNNNNNNNNNNNNNNNNNNNNNNNNNNNNNNNNNNNNNNNNNNNNNNNNNNNNNNNNNNNNNNNNNNNNNNNNNNNNNNNNNNNNNNNNNNNNNNNNNNNNNNNNNNNNNNNNNNNNNNNNNNNNNNNNNNNNNNNNNNNNNNNNNNNNNNNNNNNNNNNNNNNNNNNNNNNNNNNNNNNNNNNNNNNNNNNNNNNNNNNNNNNNNNNNNNNNNNNNNNNNNNNNNNNNNNNNNNNNNNNNNNNNNNNNNNNNNNNNNNNNNNNNNNNNNNNNNNNNNNNNNNNNNNNNNNNNNNNNNNNNNNNNNNNNNNNNNNNNNNNNNNNNNNNNNNNNNNNNNNNNNNNNNNNNNNNNNNNNNNNNNNNCUUAUGACUUUCUGAUCUGAGUCAGUCCAUUCUUCCACCGGGGGUUAAGGAAUUAGGAUCUAUUCUCUCUAUCAGGAUCACGAGUUACUAAUCAGUAGUACCUUAUAAGUUUGAUGGUUACAAGCCUAGUUCAGUUCUACUACCACCUUAUGUUGUUAGAAUGGUUUCAGAACUUUGAUAUGAUGAUGUUGAGUAUGUACGAAAUCCUUUGUCAAAUGUCUCAAAAUCCUUUUUGAGCAUUUACAGCUGUUAUGCUGCCGAAAUUUUGCUAGAAAUUCUAAUGCCUUUGCAUUAUGAUUGUGCUUUCAGAUGGCCACUCGCGACCUCAAUCAAGUGGUUCGCCUGACUCGAUGCCUAGAUGUACCCGGCCAUACUGCUAAGUUGGUCAGGGUAAUGACUGAGGCUGGAUACCGCUGGUAUCCCGAGUACACAGUCGAAGAGCAAUUCCGAGAUUUUAAUCAAAGCCAGUAUCUCUGCACUGUCAGGAUAUUUCCAUCUUAUCCUGGAUCCACCGAGCCUCUUCACUGCUCCUAUGGACUCGGGGUUACUAUUGAGAUGGCUGUGCAGGACGCCGCCUACUCUAUGAUGACCAUUAUGCGAGUCAGAUCUGGUUUAUUUCGGGACUCUGAUUUCCGGUAUAUGCCAGGAUCACUUCCGGGAGCACAAGGGUAUCUCCAGGCUAUCUAUGCUGACCCCACUCAGGAGGAUUCACGGACUCGCACCACUGCUGAGAUGCUCAAGGAUAAGGACCGUGAAAAUCGGGCCUUAAGGUUAGAGCUCUUCAAUACCCGUGCUGACCACUGGGCCACAUUGACUCGGUUCGCACCGGCGGUGCAAGAUGGAUAUUCGGAUAUGCGCGAUCUCUAUCCUGUGAGAUCUGCUCUGCCGGACGUGAUGGUUUGGCGUGAUGUAGGAGGCAUCACCCCACCUCGCGGUCCCCGCAGGCCACCGUCUGUUGGUCCGAGGCCUCAUCCUAGCCCCUAUGGUCCACAAGCUCCGCAAGACCGUCUGUUUCCGGAUGAUCAUGUUGAACUUCCAGGCUAUGGAGGCGACUUCUACGAGGACUACUACGGAUCGGUCUGAGUUAGUGGUAGUAUCACUAGUUCGCACUAGCUGUGUCGUCUAUCGUCCCGCGUGAUUCGUGGGAUAUGACCUAGUUUGUACUCUUUCCGGAGGUGUAGAAAAAUAAUGUAUAGGAGCUUGGGAUGCCUCUGAUAAGAUGUAAUCCUUUUUCACCGUAAUAGUACUUUGUUUGGUCUUGUACUAAACCCUGUAUGGUGUGUAUGACGAUGGAAUAAAGAAGCAGUUUCUGUAUUUACCAUGUCAUACGGAUGAUCAUCUUGCAUUUCGAGUUAUACCUUACAUUUUAUAUCCUAUGUCGGAAUCUUAUCAUCCUGACUAAAUCAUUGUCUUGUUUACCUAGGAUGGUCAACACGCGCGCUAACCCUGCUUCUCAAGAGCAGGCCGAAGGCAGUGAAGUCAGGGAUGCAAAUCUGCCUCAUCCUCCUUCACUAGCCGAGGUUAUGAUGGAAGCUGAGAGAAACAAGCGGGAGACCAACCGUUUGUUGGAGCGUAUCGAACAGAACACAGCACACCAUCAGAGGACUAACGUGGUGUCACUCAGUGAUUUUAUCAAAUUGCAUCCACCCACGUUCCACCACUCCGUCGAGCCUCUCGACGCUGAUGACUGGCUUCGCAGUAUCUCUCACAAACUGCGUUCCGCGCUGGUAGCGGAGGCUGACAAGGUCACCUUUGCUGCAUAUCAUCUUGAAGGCCCCGCCAGUCUAUGGUGGGAGAAUUAUGGAGCUAUGCGCCCAGCGGGCCAUGUCACUACUUGGGCUGAGUUCAGCGAGGCUUUCCGUGAACAUCACAUUCCGGAGGGUCUCAUGGACCGUAAACGUGAAGAAUUUUGCAAUUUCACCCAAGGACGACUCUCUGUGGAUGUUUACAGCAGGGAGUUUGGUAAUCUCGCCCGAUAUGCAACUGAGGAAGUGUCUACUGAUGCCAAGAAGCAAGCAAGGUUCCGUAAGGGCCUUAGUCCUGAGCUUCGCCGCGACCUCCGUCUGCAUGAGUGCACAUCUUUUCAGAAACUUGUCAACAAAGCCAUCAGUGCUGAAACUGGUCAGACUGACUAUGACGCAACACGCAAGCAUGGCCGUGAUAUGGGUUCCUCAUCCGGUGCUGGUCCUCAGAAGCGCCGCGUGUGGGUGCCCAACACCGCCCUGCCACCCAGGUUCACACCGAGGCCAUCUUUUCAGGCGCCUCGCCCCGUUCAACAGUCUGCUCCAGCCAAGCCCUAUGGGGGUCCAAUCAAUAAUGCUCCUCCACGUACCAGUUCCGUGACUUGUUUCAAGUGUGGGGAAUCUGGUCACUAUAUGCGUGAGUGUCCCCAGACCAACCCCAACCAGUCUGCUAAAGCUGUUGGCCGUGGCAAGCCGACAGGAAAAAUAUUCCACGCCAAGCCGGUCACCGCUUCACGUGGCCAUGUUAACUGUAUCUCUGCCGAAGAAGCUCAAGAGGAUCCCAACGUUGUUCUCGGUACGCUUCUUGUUAAUUGCCACCCGGCAUCUGUUCUUUUCGAUACCGGAGCCUCUCAUUCUUUUAUAUCUGAAAACUAUGCUCGCUUGCAUAACGUCGCAUUCGGUGAUAUGCCAACCUCUAUGGUAAUUCAAACUCCGGGAUCCAAAUGGCAAACUUCUAGAGUAAGCCAUGGAAAUGAAAUCCAAGUCAACAGACUUGUUUUUCUCGCAUCUUUGAUAGCCCUUAAAUCUUCAGAUAUUAAUAUCAUUUUGGGUAUGGACUGGAUGUCAACUCAUCAAGCCAAAAUUGAUUGCUUCUCUAGGACUGUUCAACUCACCCAUCCUUCGGGGAAGAUAGUCAAUGUCUUGACCCGAAUAGCCAAGCGACAAUUAUAUUCUCUUAACGCCAGCCCUUUGCCAGACCUUGAGGACGUGCCGGUAGUCUGUGACUUCCCGGAUGUCUUCCCAGAGGAAUUGCCAGGUGUUCCACCUGACAGGGAUGUUGAGUUCGUAAUAGAUCUCAUUCCAGGAACCGUUCCGAUUGCUAGAAGACCUUAUAAGAUGGCACCCCUAGAACUAGCCGAGCUUAAGAAACAACUCGAUGAGUCCUUGAAAAAGGGUUUCAUCCGCCCUAGUUCAUCUCCGUGGGCUUGCCCCGUCCUAUUCGUCAAGAAGAAGGAUGGUACGGACCGGAUGGUUGUAGAUUACCGACCUGUCAAUUUGGUCACAAUCAAGAACAAAUAUCCGCUUCCCAGGAUCAACGACCUGUACGAUCAGCUCGCUGGAUCCUCAGUCUUCUCCAAGAUGGAUUUGAGGUUGUGCUACCAUCAAAUCAAAAUCAGAAACGGGGACAUUCCUAAAACGGCCUUUGUUACUCGUUAUGGCCAAUACGAGUACACCGUCAUGUCCUUCGGUUUAACCAACGCUCCAGCCACCUUUUCUCGGUUAAUGAACUCAAUCUUCAUGGAGUAUUUGGAUAAAUUCGUCGUAGUUUACCUCGAUGAUAUACUCAUCUAUUCCAAGAACGAGGAAGAACAUGCCGAACAUUUAAGGCUAGUGUUGAAGAAACUUCGAGAGCAUCGCCUUUAUGCCAAAUUUUCUAAAUGUGAAUUCUGGUUGUCAGAAGUGACCUAUCUGGGUCAUGUAAUAUCUGGUAAAGGUAUUUCUGUUAACCCUGAGCGAGUUCAAGCCGUCCUUAAUUGGACUCCACCUGAAUCGGUCAAGCAAGUUCGGAGUUUUCUGGGCUUAGCGAGCUAUUGCCGUCGCUUUGUCGAAAACUUCUCCAAAGUUGCUAAACCUCUAACCGAACUCCUCAAGAAAGAUAAGAAGUUCGAAUGGACUCCACAAUGUGAGCACAGCUUUCAGGAACUGAAAAGACGCCUGACCUCUGCUCCCGUACUGGUACCGCCAGACUUUUCCAAGGACUUUGUUAUCUACUGCGACGCCUUGCGACAAGGACUAGGUUGCAUUCUUAUGCAAGAUCGACACGUAAUUGCUUACGCUUCACGGCAAUUGCACCCACAUGAGGAGAAUUAUCCUACUCAUGAUCUAGAGCUUGCAGCCGUAGUCUAUGCACUUAAGACCUGGCGACAUUACCUCCUCGGUAAUCGUUGCGAAAUAUUCACUGAUCACCAAAGUCUGAAGUACAUUUUCACCCAACCGGAUUUGAAUCUCAGGCAGAGACGUUGGGUUGAAUUGAUCACAGACUUCGACUUAGGAAUAACCUACACCCCAGGGAAAGCCAACGUCAUGGCUGAUGCGCUAAGUCAUAAAUCUUAUUGUAACAACCUGAUGUUACAACAAAGUCAACCGCUUCUCCAUGAGGACUUUCGGAAGCUUAACCUUCACAUUGUACCUCAAGGUUUUCUUUCCACCUUGGUGGCAAAACCUACUCUUACGGAUCAAAUCAUCGCUGCCCAAAGGCGAGAUAAGGGAAUAUCUAAAAUCAAAGAGAACAUUGCUAGCGGAGGUGCUAGUUGUUUCUCCACAAAUGAUCAUGGUGUUGUGUACUUUGAGAACCGUCUAGUGGUUCCCAAGAACCAGCAUCUACGGCAGUUGAUCCUUAAGGAGGCUCAUGAAUCUCCUCUCACCAUUCAUCCCGGUAGUACUAAGAUGUAUCAGGACCUACGCCAGAGGUUCUGGUGGACUAGGAUGAAGAGAGAAAUUGCUCAGUUUAUUGCUAAUUGCGACGUCUGUCGUCGUGUAAAAGCAGAGCACCAACGGCCUGCGGGCACCCUUCAACCCUUAGCUAUUCCUGAAUGGAAAUGGGAUAAAAUUGGUAUGGAUUUCAUUACCGGUUUUCCCAGGACCAAGAGAGGGAAUAAUGCUAUUCUCGUCGUGGUCGAUCGUCUUUCCAAAGUAGCCCAUUUCUUACCUGUUCGUGAGAGUAUAACCGCUAGUCAGCUGGCAGAUUUGUACAUCUCCCGAAUAGUGUCUCUCCAUGGUGUUCCUUUGGAAAUUAACUCGGAUCGAGGAAGUCUUUUCACCUCUCGAUUUUGGGAAAGUUUCCAAAAUGCUAUGGGAACCCGUCUCUCUUUUAGCACCGCUUUCCACCCUCAGUCAAGUGGUCAAGUGGAACGCGUCAAUCAGAUUCUAGAAGACAUGCUUCGAGCCUCUGUUAUCUCAUUCGGAAUGGACUGGGAGAAGUGCCUUCCAUUUGCCGAAUUCGCUUACAACAACAGCUAUCAAUCUAGCUUGGGUAAAGCCCCUUUUGAAGUUCUCUAUGGACAACGAUGUCGAACACCCCUUAACUGGUCAGAGACCGGGGAAAGACAAUUCUUUGGCCCGGAUAUGAUUCAGGAAGCAGAAGAACAAGUUCGUAUCGUUCGUGAAAAGUUGAAAACAGCCCAAUCUCGUCAAAAGAGUCAAUAUGACCGAAAACAUAAGGCUAUGACUUUCGAGGUUGACGAGAAGGCUUAUCUUCGGGUCACCCCUCUGAAGGGAACCCAUCGUUUCGGUAUCAAAGGCAAAUUGGCUCCUCGUUACAUUGGACCUUUUCACAUUCUUGCCAAACGAGGAGAAGUUGCCUACCAGUUGGAACUACCUCCGCACCUCUCCAGAGUUCAUGAUGUCUUCCACGUUUCUCAACUCAGGCGUUGCUUCUCGGACCCUAUCCGUGAAGUGGACCACGAAACGCUUGAUCUCCAAGAUAAUCUUACAUAUCGAGAGUACCCCAUUCGUAUCCUCGAUCAGGCCGAACGUACCACGCGACGUCAUAAUAUCAAGUUUCUCAAGGUUCAAUGGUCGCACCAUUCUGAGGAUGAAGCAACUUGGGAAAGGGAGGAUCGUCUUCGACUCGAGUAUCCCGCCUUCUUCCCGGAGGAACCCAAAUCUCGGGACGAGAUUCUUUUGAGUGGGGGUGAGUUGUCACAUCCUAGUUAGCCAUGCAUUAGAGUGUUGCAUCAUGUUUACUCUUUCAUCAGAAACUUGAAAUGGGGAUCUGUGAAACCCUCAGAAUCAUUUUGAAAAUGACCCAAAUAAAAAUUUCUCCAAAAGGAUCCAAGAAAAUGCUCAUGUUGCUCUCUGAAAAUAUUGGACAGAGAUAAAAAUCAAACCAAUAUUUUUAGUGGCUCAUGGACAUUUAUUUUGGGCAUUUGGAAUUAAUGCAUAAAUAUUUGCAUUGGAAAUAUAUUAAUUAUAUAUAUAUUAAUAUAUGCCCAAAUAUUAUGCCAUUUAUAAAAGAGCUCUGGAAUAAUAUAUAUAGCUCCUGCAAAAAUUGGCAUAAGUUAAAUAAAUGAUUUAAUAUAUUUUUUAAAUCAAAACAAAUGUCAGAAAUUAGAAAACAGAAAAAUAUAUAACAGGAGGAGCUUACCUGGGCUCCUCCACUGUGCGGCCCAGCCAGCUGGCCGGCCCAGCCAGCAGCCGGCCCAGCCCACCACUGCAGCCCUCCGUCGUCUUCCUCCCCUCGCCCCGAAGCUGCUGCGUGCUCGCACGCGCACGGCCGCGCGGCCACCUCCUGCUUGCCGACGAGCUCCUGGCCGCGUGGACGACUCCCGCAGGCCGUCCCGAUCCCCCCUGCUCUCUCUCACUCUCUCCCGGCUCUUCCCUCCUCUUCCUCGCUCUCUCUCUCACACGGCCGAGCACCACCGUCGCCGCCAUUCGCCGUAGCAGCCAUCUCCGGCCACCCCUCGCUCCCCCGACUAGCUCAGAAGCUCCGCCACGACCCCCUCUUCCUCCCCACCGCUCCACAGCUCCCCGGAAGCCCUGCAUCGCCGCCACGUCGCCGUUCCCCUCUUCGGGCUCCGACCAUCGUCGCCGUCGAAUUCGUCGUCUCCGGCGCGUCCCCGAGCCCGCUUCGACGCCCACUGCAACCGCGGUGAGCUACGCCACCGUUUCCCCCUCUCCUCCCCCUCGUUCCCCCACCGUAGCCUCCUCCCCACCACGGCCGAACCUCCGCCGUCGCCGAGCUCGCCGUCGACGCAGCUCCGGUGACCAUUUGGUCACCCCGGCGAGUCCAACGAGUUCGCAAGACCCCGUAGAGCAUCCCUAGCGCCUCGCUUCGCUCGCCUUCGAGCUCCAACCCUGUUCCCGUGCACGACCGAACCCCGGCGGCCGCAGCCGAGCUCGCCGCCGUCGACUCCGGCCACCCCAGGCCCAGCCACGGCCACCGUUCGACGCGCGGGAGCAAGAGCUUUCCAACGAGCCCAAGCACGGCCUCUCCCGUGCCCUAUGGCGCGAUUCCGCAUCGCGCCGCCGUCUCGGGCCUCGCCGGCGUCACGUCGCCGGUGGAUUUGACCCACUUUGACCACGGCAGGACACCCCCUGAGUCCCUGACAGGUGGGCCCAGCCCUGUAGCUAAUUAGGAUUAGCGCUAACCACUGUUAGUUAACCCCCUGACACUGACUAGUGGGCCCCAGCGCCACUAAUUAGUAAUUAGGAUUAAAUUAACCCUGUUUAACCCCCUUGUCACUGACGUGUGGGCCCCACACGUCAGGUUUGACUUCAGCCAGCCGCAGUUGACCACUGACGUCAUGCUGACGUCAUGCUGGCGCAAUAAUUAUAAUUUCUGGAUUUAAUUUAAAUCAGGAAAUUCCAGAAUAUUAUUUAAACUUCAAAAAUUCAUAACUUUUAUUCUGUAACUCCAAAUUGGACAAAUUAUAUAUGAAAAAUGAUCAGAAAAAUCCAAUCUAUCCAUCUGUACUACUUUCAUGCAUGAUCAAACAAGUUAAAUUGAUGUUUCAAGCAGAACAAGGAAAAGCACUUUAAGAGGCCAUGUUUGAGUUUGAAAUUUGAAUCUAUGAUUCAAAUUUGUUCAAACCCUUCUGGUUUUAGUUGCAUUAGCCCAACACACCCAUAUUGCUAUGUUUCAUGCAUGCAUCAUAUUGUUGCACAUUGUUUGGUGAUGGUUGUGUAUCGGUGUCCUUUGCGACAGGUUCUGCCUCCGAGGAGUACCGUGAUUACCCUAACGAAGAACCGUAUCAGUGCAUCGAACCAUCAGGCAAGCAACCAACCAUUUGAUCAUAUCGAUACAAUCCCAUGUUCUCGCUCCUGCUCUCUUUUACUGCAUUAAGACAACGCGAUUCAAACUGCUGUGUGCUACGGUAGUUGAACCCAUUUCCUCUGCAUGACCUGUCAUUGCCACAGUAACUAGAUGAAACCCACUAGCAUGUGCAGGAGUUGAUUGACCCUAUGUAUGUGUUGUUCCUACCUUGCUAUGCCUGCUAUGCUUAGAGUCGUGUCAGGUCUGGUUCAUCUGGCUGAUGGGCUAGAGUGAAAUUAUUAUGUCGGUAAUGAGAGUGGUGUGGUGAACACGAUUUGGUAAAGGUCUCGAUGAGAGGCCAUGUAGGAGUACAUGGUGGGUUGUUUCAUUGAAGCCGACCUUAAGCACUGAGAUCUGUAUAUGUGAUUUAAGAUUCAGCUACUACCAUGCAUUGGGCCCUGAAAUAUGACCCCGCUCGACUUCUUAUUCACCCUAGCUCUCUGUCCAGGAGUUGCAAGUAGUUUCUGGUGUUUGUAGCCUACUGGAGGCCGUGGACAGCGCUGACCGUAGGGGUGGGCUGUGAUGCGGUAGGUACGUGGCACGGUGUACCGAAUACCCGUUAGGUAUCUCGGGAACCCUGUUCACAUCGUUCGGGGCCGUAUGGGAAACCUCGGCCAGACUCCCUGCGGAUGGAACCUGAAUAGGCGAUAAACCUGGACUAGAGGCUUAAGUGUUUAGGUAGGUCGUGGUCUACACCCACGUCGGCUUUCGCUUGAAGUCUGCCGAGCACAUGUCGUGUGCAGACGCUAAGUGGUGGAAACAUGUAUGAAGAAGUACACCCCUGCAGGGUUAACAUGAUCUAUUCGAAUAGCCGCGUCCGCGGUAAAGGACUACUUGGUUGCCUAUACAGUUCAUAGACAAGUAAAUGGAAACUACUAAAAGCCUCAAGAUAAGUGUGAGUGCCGAGGAUGGCUCUUCCGUAGGAAGACGGAGGUGGAUCCUCGGUAGUGUAUUGAAGUGGUGAGUAGUGGACUCGUGUGCGCAAAACCAUUUCAAGUUGGAGUAUCGUAGGAUAGCCUAGCCAAGAGUCAAAGCUGGCUUGCUGCAAUAACUCCACCAACCCCUCUUGAUAAUAUGCAUGUAUGUAGGAUCUGAUGUAAGUCUUGCUGAGUACCUUUGUACUCAUGUUGCUAUAAACUACAUUUUUACAGAAGACGCUGCAACCCCUUCUGAUGGGUUCUAUGUAGACGUUGACAUCAACGAGUAGGCUAAAGACCCAGGUGGUGACCCUGAGCUUGUGAUGGACCACGUAGUAUAGUUAGGCUUUCCAAGCCUCUUUUAUUUUACUAGUUGUCUGUACUCAGACAAUGUACUUCCGCUGCUGGUUUGUAUGACUGUAUGACUUGUAUGUUGGGUCGUGAGACCCGUACCUUGGUGUAUGUUAUGUAUGGCUCCCUGAGCCUUAUAUAAAGUACUUGUGUCAUAGAGUCAUGUUGUGAUGCUUCGUUGUAUUUGCACAUAUCGAGCAUAUUGUGUGUAUGAUUGAAAUGCUUGGUAUGUGUGGGAUCUGACUAUCUAGUUGUUUAUCUUUAGUAGCCUCUCUUACCGGGAAAUGUCUCCUAGUGUUACCGCUGAGCCAUGGUAGCUUGCUACUGCUCUGGAACACUUAGGCUGGCCGGCAUGUGUCCUUCUUCGUUCCUGUGUCUGUCCCUUCGGGGAAAUGUCACGCUUUGAGUACCGGAGUCCUGUUAGCCUGCUACAGCCCGGUUUACCGGAGUCCUGCUAGCCCAGUGCUAUAGCCCGGACCCACUUGCUGAUGACCGACACGUUCGAAGCUGGGUCAUGGAUGCCUGUCCCUGUAAGUCUGUGCCACUUUGGGUUUACGACUAGUCAUGUCAGCCCGGGCUCCUUAUCAUAUGGAUGCUAGCGACACUAUCAUAUACGUGAGCCAAAAGGCGCAAACGGUCCCGGGAAAAGGUAAGACGACACCCGUGGGGAUACCGUGCGUGAGGCCGCAAAGUGAUAUGAGGUGUUACCGGCUAGAUCGAUGUGACAUCGAGUCGGGGUCCUGACACCCACCGCCUCCCUCCCGCUGCCGAUCGCCUCUUCGUCGCUGAUGACCACCACGGCGGGCACGUCGCCUCUCAUCGGGCCGCUCUCCUCCGCCGCCGGGACAUCACCUGCAGCCGCCCCCGCCAUUCUCACCCCAGAGGAGAUGUCGUCGGCGCUGCGCGACCUCACUCAGGCGGUCCAGGGCAUUCGCCUCUUCCUCGCGGGGCCCUAUGGGUCAUAGCUGGCCGCUCCUGUCGCCGUCAUCACCGGGCCGCCGUAGCUCCCAUGGCAGCCGCCACCCCCCGGCGCCCUCAGUCGCCACCAGCAACCUCGGGGCUUGCCUUCCGAUGAGGGCAGCCGGGGUACCCAUCCACCAGGUUCGGUUUCCCCCUUUGCCGUCUCCGUUGCCAGCCUGGCUGGCCGGGUUCUCCGCACCGGUCUACAUCAUGGCUCCAGGCCAGCUGCACGUGCUGUCCUCUCCGGCGCCGCUCCCGACCAUCCCGUUCGGCGGGAGCCUGGGCUCCGCCGACCCCUACGCCGGCGUCGACGGGCCCCUCUUCCAGGGUGGCCCCCUCAUGCCCACCUACUCGGCGCCGUCGUCCUCGCUGCACCGCGUUGAUGAGGUGUACCCCUCCCUUCUCCAAGCUUGAGUUCAUCACCUACGACGGCACCGUUGACCCCCUGAACUAGCUCAAUCAGUGCGACCAAUUUUUCAGGGGGCAACGCACGCUCGCGUCCGACCGCACCUGGAUCGCCUCCUAUCAUCUACGAGGCGCCGCCCAGACGUGGUAUUACGCCCUCGAGCAGGACGAGGGCGGCAUGCCUCCAUGGGACCGUUUCUGCGAGCUUUGCCUCUUGUGUUUCGGGUCGCUGAUACGCGGGAGUCGGCUGAAGGAGCUCGGGCGCCUACCCUUCACCUCUACGGUGCAGUACUACGCCGACCGCUUCCAGGCCCUGGCGUGCCACACGCCGGGCGUGACGGCUCGCCAGUGGGCCGAGCUCUUCAUUGGCGGUCUGCUGGAUCAUAUCCGCGUGGACGUGGAGAUGCGGGGCCCACAGGACCUCCAGACGGCCAUGUACAAUGCCCGUGCUUUCGAGCGCCGCGUGGUGGCCAUCCAGUAGGCGUCACCAUCUCGGGGUGCCCGCCCGGCCGCCCCCAACACCACUAGUGCCGGGGCGUCCUGCCGAAGCUACCAUGGCGCCCAACCCCUCGGCGGCGCUACGCCCUUUCCGCGGCUCUCCCCAGCCGAGCAGCUCGACCGCCGUCGCCAGGGUCUGUGCUACAACUGCGACGAGCCCUACGUGUCGGGCCAUGUCUGUUCGCGGCUCUUUUGCUUGGAGGCUGCGGAUUACAUCGAGGAGGACACUGCCGCCGACGGGCUUGGCGAUCUGCCCGCCCCAGUCGCCGCGGAGGUAGCGCGGGCACCCGCUCCGGCGACCGCCCUUGUGGUCUCCCUCCAUGCCCUCGCGGGUAUACGAGCGGAGAAGACUAUGUUGCUGCCGGUGAUGAUCAACGGCGAGCGCCUCCUGGCACUGCUGGAUACGGGCUCCACCCAUAACUUCCUGCCAGCGUCCACCAUGCAUCACUUGGUGCUCCAGCCAACGGGCGGGGAGCAACUCAGGGUGACCGUGGCUGACGGUGAUCGCCUCCACUGUCUGGGGAUUGCGCGGCAUGUUCCCAUCAUCGUCGGCAAUGAGCACUUCAUCAUCACGUGCAUCGGCAUCGACUUGGGUUGCUUCGACUUCAUCCUCGGUGUCGACUUUUUGCGGACCCUGGGUCCCAUCCUCUGGGACUUCGACGCUAUGACGAUGGUCUUCUGGCGCCUGGGUCGUCGUGUCCGGUGGGAGGGCGUGGGUGGCCCUUCAUCCGUGGCGCCCCAUCCACAGCUGACGGUGGUUGCCGCCGAGCCCGAGCAGCCCCUGUUGGCUCGUCUCUUGCAGCAGCACAGCGACCUCUUCGACGAGCCCUAGGGCCUUCCGCCAGCCCGAGUCUACGACCACCGCAUUCACCUGCUCCCUGGCAUAGCUCCCAUGGGGUCCGUCCAUACCGCUACCCCCAGCUGCAGAAGGACGAGCUGGAGCAGCGGUGCGCGGUGAUGCUUACCCUGGGCAUCAUCCGGAUCUCGACCUCACCGUUUUUGGCGCCGGUUCUCCUCUCCUCGUUCGCAAGGCGAACGACAUGUGGCGCUGCAUCGACUAUCGUGCUCUUAACUCCAAGUCACUCAAGGACAAAUUUCCCAUUCCGGUCGUCAAUGAGAUCUUGGACGAGCUACAGGGAGCGCGUUUCUUCACCAAGCUUGACCUUCGUUUGGGAUAUCACCAGGUACGGAUGCAUCUGGAUGAUGUCGAGAAGACGGCCUUUCGCACUCGCCAUGGCCACUUUGAGUUUUUGGUGAUGCCUUUUGGCCUCUCCAAUGCCCUGGAGACAUUUCAGGCUUUGAUGAAUGAUGUCCUCCGCCCCUACUUGUGCCGGUUUGUGCUCGUUUUCUUUGAUGACAUUCUUAUCUACAGCUCAUCGUGGGUAGAGCACCUACAACACGUGGCCAUCGUCUUUAACGAGCUUCGAGCGCACCAUCUGCACCUCAAGCGCUCGAAGUGCUCGUUCGGCACGACAUCAGUUGCCUACCUCGGCCACGUCCUCUCGGCGGAGGGUGUCACUAUGGAUGCCGACAAUGUGGCGGCUGUUGCGGCUUGGCUGACGCCGCAUUCGCUGCGGGCCCCCUGCGGUUUCCUGGGCCUCGCGGGCUACUAACGGAAGUUCAUCCGGGAGUUCUGCCUCAUCGCGGCUCCGCUCACGCGCCUGUUGUGCUGCGAUGCCUACUCCUGGGAUACUGAUGCGACCGAGGCGUUUCAGACCCUCAAGCAGGCUCUCACUACGGGGCCGGUCCUCCAGAUGCCUGACUUCGACAAGCUGUUCAUGGUGGACUGUGACGCCUCCGGCGUGGGGUUUGGUGCCGUCCUUCAUCAGGGCGACGGGCCGCUCACCUUCUUCAACAAGCCCUUCGCCGCGCGUCAUCACAAGCUCGCGGCCUAUCAGAGGGAGCUCAUCGGCUUGGUACAGGCGGUACGCCACUGGCGGCCAUAUCUAUGGUGGCGCCCGUUCCGUGUUCGCACGGAUCACUACAGCCUCAAGUUCUUGUUGGACCAGCGCCUCUCCACCGUGCCGCAGCAUCAGUGGAUCAGCAAGCUGUUUGGCUUCAACUUCACCGUCGAGUGCCGCUCGGGUCGCCUAAACACCAUGGUGGAUGCCUCGUGAUGCUGACCCCGACUCGGACGCCAUCGACACCGCGGGGACGGUGCUUUGCAUCCGCUCGGGGCCCUCCUUUGCCUUCAUCGAUGACAUCCUCCAUGCCACAGCGGACACCCAGCUCCUCCAUCAGCGGCUCGGGGACGGCGACCUGGAGGAACCAUGGCGCCUACACGACGACUUGCUUUUGCACGGGCACCGGCUUUCCGUGCUGGAUCACGGCGACCUCCGCCACCAGGCCCUGUUGCUGUCUCACUCUGCCGGCCACGAGGGUGUGCAGAAGACCCCCCACCAUAUCCGGGCAGAUUUAUACAUCCCCGGCAACCACGCGCUGGUAUGAGACUGGGUGCGGUCUUGUGUGACGUGCCAGUGCAACAAGACAGAGACACUGCAGCCGGCGGGCCUGUUACAGACCCUUGAGGUGCCAUCACAGAUCUGGGCCGACAUCUCCAUGGACUUCAUCGAGGGCCUUCCAAAGGUGGGUGGCAAGUCCGUCAUCCUUAUGAUGGUCGACUGCUUCUCUAAGUAUGCACACUUCAUUGCACUCGACCAUCCCUACACCGCCACCUCCGUUGCGCGGGCCUUCUUCGACGGCAUCGUCCGCCUCCACGGGUUCCCCUCUUCGAUCGUCAGUGACUGUGAUCUGGUGUUCACUGGCCAUGUCUAGCGCGAUCUUUUUCGGAUGGCGGGCCAGAACGGCCAGUCUGAGGUGGUCAACAAGGUGAUUGCUAUGUACUUACGUUGUGUUACAGGUGAUCGUCCACGUGCUUGGGUGGUCUGGCUCUCUUGGGCAGAGUACUGCUACAACACCUCCUACCACUCUGCCCUGCGUGCCACGCCCUUCGAGGUGGUCUAUGGUCGCCCUCCACCACCCAUCCUGCCGUUUCAGCCCGAGAUGGCCCGGACUGAGGCGGCGGCCGAGCUUCUCCACAGCCGGGAUGAUAUCCUUGCCGAGGUGCGCCAGCGUCUUCUCCAGGCCUAGCAGCUGUCCAAGAAGUACUAUGACGCACACCACUGCGAGGCGGAGUAUGUGGUGGGAGACUAGGUGUGGUUGUGUCUACUCCACCGCACUACGCAGUCACUCGACCCGCGCGCUAAGCGCAAGCUGGGUCCCCGCUAUGCGGGGCCGUUUCCGGUGCUGGAGCGCAUCGGCAACGUCGCCUACCGCCUUUAGCUGCCAUCUGGCGCUCGCAUCCACGGCAUCUUCCAUGUGGGCUUAUUGAAGCCUUUCUAAGGCGAGCCACCGGCGGCCAUGCUGGAUCUCCUUCCGACCUCCGAGAGCCGUCUACUUCCCGGUCCAGCGAAGGUGUUGAAGGCCCAGCAGAGUUGCGGUGUUUGGCGCUUGUUGAUCCACUAGCAAGGCUUUCCGGAGGAGGACGGUGACGCAAAUGUGUACGAUCAAGAUCAGGGACUCACGGGAAGAUAUCACAACACAAUGCUAGACACAAAUAAAAUAAUACAAGCUUUAUAUUACAAGCCAGGUACAAGCUUUAUAUUACAAGCCAGGGGCCUCGAGGGCUCGAAUACAAGCUCGAUACACAAGAGUCAGCCGAAGCAACAAUAUCUAAGUACAAACAUAAGUUAAACAAGGCUGCCCUAAGAAGGCAAACACAAAAGCAACAACGAUCGAAGAGGCAAGGCCUCCUGCCUGGGACCUCCUAACUACUCCUGGUCGUCGGCUGUCUCCAUGUAGUAGUAUCCAUCGGCGGUGGCAUCUGGCUCCAGGGAUCCACCAUCUGGUUGCAUCAACCGGAAAGAAGAAAGAAGGGGGAAAAGGGGUAGCAAAGCAACCGUGAGUACUCAUCCAAAAUACUCGCAAGCAUCAGAUCUAUACUAAGUAUGCAUUGGUAUCAAAUGGAAGGUUUGUAUCUGUGGACUGAACUGCAGAAUGCCAGGAUAGAGGGGGAAGGCAUAGCCUAUCAAAGACUAGCAUCUUCAAGCAGCUCCAAGCAUCUUGCAGCAUGUAGAAGAGUAAAGAAUAACAUUUUAAUAUUUAACAAACGUGUUGCAGAAACAACGCCCAGAGAUCCUUCCUCGACUCCUUGCGAGAAAGCAAUCUCGGAGCCACAUAUUCAUCACAUAUCUCAAGUAUCCAUUUCUAGUUAUAUAAGAUCAGGAUAUAAGUCUGAACGUCCAUUACCGUGGACACAGCUGUUAAUAGAUAAUCUUCCCUGCAGGGGUGCACCACGUUUUCCAACACACUUGAUUACUCUGGCCGGACACACUUUUCUGGGUCAAUGUCCGACCUUGGAAGAUCAACACGUCGCAGCCCUACCUAGGCUCAGCAGAGAGGUCCCUGUUGGUUUACAUCCUAAGCACUCCGGGGUCUGGGCCCAUCGCCCGUUGCACUCCGGAUCAUUGCGAGCAGGGUGGAUACCAGCACCGCCUCGGAUGUCCAGCACGAUCCGACCGUGCCGCACUGCUGAACUGGAUGUCUGACAAAGCUUUGGCUGAUACUGUGACGUCGAGGCCCAUAACUAUUCUCGCGUGGCGGUUAAUGCGUAAAGGCCAAAGGCCAACUCAGAACAAAUACCCAAACCUGUUAGUGCAUUGGGGGCUCGCGAAGACGAGCAGAGACUCACGAUAACGUGACCCCGUCGCCCCAUCUCGUGGACUUAUGGAAAGGGCCCAGAAUGCCCGGUCGUGCCUCGUAGAAAACUCGGGGGUGCUCUCCGGGCCCGCCCGACUUUCACAUCAACUCGCAGGUACCCCUCAGGGCCGACCUGACUUCAACAAUGGUCUCAAGUAACCAUGUGUCCAAACAUCAAGGGGAAAACCCGAGGAAUCACCCUCGGUGGAUUCCCACUCGAGGUAACCAUCAAGGUGAACAUAUGAGGAACCACCCUCGAUGUUCACACUUGAGGUGUUGCUCGACAGAGUCAUAUCGGGAGUGGUCAAGGAGGAAUCACCCUCGAUGACCAUGACCAAAUAGCUACACUACAGAAUCAUCAUCAGGAGUGCGUUACGAGGUAUCACCCUCGGCACUUGAUAGUAGCUCUGCAGAGUCGAGCAACAAAAGGGGCGUGAUGUGAUGUGAGGUGUUGGGCUCUGGUCGUCGAUCACGUUGAUCGAGUCGUCGGUGAUGAAGCAUCGGUGAUGAAGCAGAGGCAACAAGUACAAUGGUGUUGCCUAAAAAGUUUCAGGGCCAAUGGAAUUGUUCAAGCAUUUUUAGAAAAUGAAAAGGCCAAUUUUAAAAGUUGCUGGACCACUAAAUAAAUUUCCAGGGGCACCUGGGAAUCCAAAAGAGGUUGGUUCCAACAUGACAAAUAUCCAGGGAUUAUUUGCCACACUUCGAACAUUUUAGUUUUCAUCUUUGGCAAAUCAAAAUUUUUGACUUUAAAUUUGAGUUUGAAUACGAACAGUGAUUUGGAUCAAGUGAGGAUUAGCAACAGUAAUGUGAUGACAUGACACCAUUAGCAGGGGUUUACUGUAGCUUAAUUAUCCGGACGUCACAAGGACGCCACUUGGGAUCUCCUCGACGAGUUUCGCAAGCACUUUCCGGACUUCCAGCUCGAGGACGAGCUGUUUGCGCAGGUGGGGAGAGAUGUUAUGACCGGCCUACAGUAUACCCGGAGGAGGCCCCAUGGCGCAGGCAGUUAGGGGCCUGGCCCAAGUUAUCUCAUCGUUUUAGGGGCUUAGCCCAAUUGUCGUAUUACGAGGAUUAUAUAAACUCAUGUAAAUACUAGUUUUGAAGUUAAGCAGAAGCAAUCAUAUUUGCUCGGCUUCCUUAAGGAGCCUGGAGACCUAACCCUAGCCAGACCCCGCGUCCUCUCUCUCUCCCGCGAUCACGGCGCCUCAGCGCCGUCGGCCGCGCCAACCCUCCUUCCACCCCUAUAAUCUGAGAACUUGUCCUGGUAGGGACCCGGUUCCUAUCGGAUGAGCUGAAGGAUGGCAGACUCUUGUAAGGCCUUGUGGUCAAAGACACAAUUCUAGCCGACCGUGAAUCUGUCACAACUUCCAAUGGUUGUACAUUGUGAACGAAGGGGACUUUUGACAUAAUGUUUCACUUCAAAAUACUAAUAUUGCUGAGAGUCUGUUAGAUUUUGAACUGAGAGCUUGUGGAUGUCUAUCUUGUUACUGACUUGUGUUUUGAGUAGUCAUGACCUAGUUGAUUUGGCAUUUUGAGCUUGAAAACCUGUAUUUUUUUUACGCAUUGAUGGAAAGGAAAUCUACCACAAAUACCAGUUUGUAGUCAUAUUAUUCAUGGGGAGUUGCUGCAUAUCUGCUAGACUGCUACUCGCAUUUACAACUGCUGUUAGAAUGCUUUGAAGCAUUAAUCAUAGUAAUUUUUGUACUUUCGUGAAUCUUAUGCCUAGAUUUCUUUGUUUUCCUUAUUUUGUGAAGUGUUUUCCUGAUAGUUGACACUUUUCACAUGACCAUACCUUUCCUUCUAGUUGUAAUGUUUUCCUGGACAUCACACCUACAACUAUUGCUAGGAUGCUUUGAAGGAGUAUAAAUGCUGACACUUUUGACAUGAUCAUAUCUUUGCUUCUAGUUGUAACAUUUUAUUUUGCCUUGGAUCAUGACGUUGCCCCUUUUCGUUGCAGGAGGCAGGAGCGCUGGAUAAUCAAAUUUGAUGUGGCGCUACAUGAUUUUACCACCAUCAAUUGUUUCUCGGUUCCAGAACGCUGCUGACUUAAACAUGGUUUCCCUCUUUUGCGAAUGAGUAUCAGCAUGAUUUCUAAGUGGCUGUAACAUCGUUAGCCUAGAUAUCUCUGAAUUUGUAUGAAUACCCCACUGUAUGGUUGUAAUUUUGGGGUUUGUAAUGAUGGUUGGUUAUUCUGUCUGUUGGUAUGUUGGAAAUAGACUUUAGACUUGUGAUGAUACUAAGAACUGCAAGGAUAUGUGGAAGUCAUGUUGUUCGAGUUGGAGGGAAAUUUAACAUGGACCAAUGGACCGUAAAUUCAGAAAGUCUUUGUUCUAGUGAUCUUUGUCUUAUUUCAUUUCCUAAAUUUAGGACCUGGGAAGAGGAUCAUAGACAGCAGCCAAAGCAGGAAAAGCAGAAGCACCUUUUGUUUUCUCCGUGAAAGGUCUCUACAUUUUGUUUUUCACUUUCUCUUUCUGUUCUGAUUCGGGCGAUCCAGAGAUGGUUCGUGUGUGAAAUUCUUUGGGUGAUUAAUCUGUUCUUCCGUGCUCGACCAACGAUUCAGAUGGAUCCACUGAGUAUUUUCUUCUUGUUUGGAUGGAGCAGAGCUCUCUGUGCGCACGUCCUUGAUUUUGGAGAGCUCUUUUCUUGGUGAGGUUCUUCCGCACUUUGUUCCAUUUCGUGUUCUCGUGUUCUGCGUGUCCUUGCUCCUGCAGUCCUACCGUCUUUGCCUCUGCAGUUGGAGAUCUUCGGUCACGUGGUUCGUAUGAAGAAAGAAGAUCAAAUAUUGACGUCCACUAUCUUUGUGAGGCAUGUAUGGUACGGCCAGCCGCCGGCUGGAAUCGACAUUUCAUGUAAUUUCCAUUUGCUAAUGUAAGCUGUUCUAAAAGAAAAUAUAAAUGAUCUCAUGUUAUUUGGCUUAAUUCGUUAGUCAUAGAGUUUGGUUCAAUUCGAGCUGAGUCACGAGUUACUUGUUUAGCUUUGAUUUUCGAUUUUUAAUUCGAGCCUAUAAGAGUAAGGAAACCAUUCUUAUCCGUAGUUUGACAUGAACUAUUCUCCAGACCUUUUGCUCACCGUCGGCUACGGGACAUCCGAGUGAAAUCCCUCACCUGGUUCUAACCUCCUGUUUUUAAUGCAACCGUGUUCGCCUAACCCCGCCAAUUCCUCUCGUCUGUUUCUCGAUACAUCUUAGUCAUCGGACCGCAUACAUCGGUAUGUAUUAUUUCUAAUAAGUUAGUAGCUCGUUCCAUUGUUCCAGAGAACGAAGUCUUAGUCAUCUUGCCCAUGAGGCAUGGUUAGCAAGCAUCAAGUGAUUCCAAUAUAACCUAAACGGCAGUGCUACUAAUAAGUUUUACUAACUUUGCAUCUUUUGGCUACAAUAUUAUGAACAUAUGUAUCACCACGAUCGAGAUUCAAUAAAAAUAGACCACUCAUCAAGGGUGCAUGGCCAUAAAAGAUAUUACUCAUAUAAAUAGAACAAUCAUUAUUCUCUGAUUUAAAUGAAUAACCGUCUCGCAUCAAACAAGAUCCAGAUAUAAUAUUCAUGCUCAACGCUAGCACCAAAUAACAAUUAUUCAGGUCUAAAACUAAUCCCGAAGGUAGAUAUAGAGGUAGCGUGCCGACGGCGAUCACAUCGACCUUGGAACCAUUUCCGACGCGCAUUCACCUCAUCCUUAGUCAAUCUUCGUUUAAUCCGUAGCCCCUGUUUCGAGUUGCAAAUAUGAGCAACAGAACCAGUAUUAAAUACCUAGACGCUACUACGAGCAUUAGUAAGGUACACAUCAACAGCAUGUAUAUCAAAUAUACCUUUCACUUUGCCAUCCUUCUUAUAAGCCAAAUACUUGGGGCAGUUCCGCCUCCAGUGACCAGUCCCUUUGCAGUAGAAGCACUCAGUUUCAGGCUUAGGUCCAGACUUGGGCUUCUUCCCGGGAGUAGCAACAUGCUUGCUAUUCUUCUUGAAGUUCCCCUUCAUCCCUUUGCCCUUUUUUUUGAAACUAGUGGUCUUGUUAACGAUCAACAGUUGAUACUACUUCUUGAUUUCUACCUCCGCAGCCUUUAGCAUUGCGAAGAGCUCGGGAAUUGUCUUUUCCAUCCCUUGCAUAUUAUAGUUCACCAUGAAGCCUUUAUAGCUUGGUGGCAGUUGAAAAAUCGAGGAUGUCGCCUAGAGGGGGGUGGUGAAUAGGCGUUUUAAAAUAAUUACGGUUUAGGCUUGAGCAAAUGCAGAAUAAACCUAGCGGUUAAAUUGUCAAGCACAAAACCUACAACAACUAGGCUCACCUAUCUACACCAACAACUUAUUCUAAGCAAGAUAAACAACUAAGUGAUAGCAAGAUAUAUGACAAGAAACAAUAUGGCUAUCACAAAGUAAAGUGCAUAAGUAAAGGGCUCGGGUAAGAGAUAGCCGAGGCACGCGGAGACGAUGAUGUAUCCCGAAGUUCACACCCUUGCGGAUGAUAAUCUCCGUUUGGAGCGGUGUGGAUGCACAAUGCUCCCAAAGAAGCCACUAGGGCCACCGUAAUCUCCUCGCGCCCUCGCACAAUGCAAGAUGUCGUGAUUCUACUAAGUGACCCUUGAGGGCGGUCACCGAACCCGUACAAAUGGCAACCCUUGGGGGUGGUCAACGAAUCCGUACACUUUGGCAACCCUUGGGGGCGGUCACCGGUACCCGUCAAAUUGCUCGGAGCGAUCUCCACAACCUAAUUGGAGACCCCGACGCUUGCCCAGAGCUUUACACCACAACGAUUGAGAUCCGAACAGCACCAGCCGUCUAGGCGCCCAAGCACCUAAGAGGAACAAGCUCAAGCAUACCAAGCACCCAAGAGCAAUAAGGUUCUUAACUUGUAACUUCCACGUAUCACCAUGGAGAACUCAAACCGAUGCACCAAAUGCAAUGGAAAGGGCACACAGAGUGCCCAAGUACUUCUCUCCUAAAUCCCACCAAAGCAACUAAUGCUAGGGAAGAAAUGAGUGGAAGAACAAUAAGGAGAACACCAAGAACUCCAAGAUCUAGAUCCAAGGGGUUCCCCUCACAUAGAGGAGAAAGUGAUUGGUGGAAAUGUGGAUCUAGAUCUCCUCUCCUCCCCCCCAAAACUAGCAAGAAUCCAUGGAGGGAUUGAGAGAUAGCAAGCUCGAAGAAGGUCAACAAUGGGGGAAGAACACGAGCUCAAAGGAUAAGGUUCGUUGGGGAAGAAGACCCCCCCCUUUAUAGGUGGGAAAAAAUCCAACUGUUAUGCUCACAGCCUGCACAGAGCGGUAGUAUCGCUCAUGGGAGCAGUACUACCGCUAGGGCGGUGGAAGCCCUUUGAAAAACAACAGCGAGGAGGCAAAAGGCCGGUAGAACCAUCGGAGCGGUGCUAAAAAAAUACAUUUGUGCCUACCACCGCUGGAGUAGUGACGAGUUUUUGGUCCAGAGCGGGAGUAGCCAUGGAAGUAGCUGCGGUAGUACCGCUCCAAGCGGUAGUACCACUCCCAAGAUUGGUAGUAAAAAAUUACAUCCCCUCCAAGCGGUAGUACCGCUCCCAUGAGCGGUAGUACCGCUGUGGCCUUUUUAAGGACACCAAAACUAACACAACUUAUGCAAACGGACUCCAAAUUCAACGAAACCAAGUUUGUUGGAAAGCUAGCAACAAGGACUAACACAAUCUUGAUAGAAAUAACAAUAAGAAGGAAAUUAUAAAAUGCCCAUAAGAAAAUGGUGAGAACCCUUCCUCGAAUAAGACCGGUAAAACCUCCAACACCGAAAAUGCAAUAGAAGAAGCAUGUGAACUCCGUUUCGAUGAACUCGAGCUUGUCAAGAAGAUGACCAUAAGCUCCAAAUCUCACAAGGAUAAAACCAAACAAGAACCAAGAAAGAUGAUGCAAGCAUCCAAUGGUUUGAGCUCUCUACGAAUGGUACGAUCAAGCUACUCACUUGAGAGAGCCCCCCCUUGAUAGUACGACAAUCGAUCCUAUAACCCGGUCUCUAAACUACCACCAUGAGACCGGUAAAAUAGAGAACCUAUCAAGGCCAAACCUUUGCCUUGCACAAAGUCCACUUGAGCUAGAUGUAGACGAUCUUGACUUCCUCAAGUUGGACCACCUUUCUUGAUUGCGCUGGCUCGGUGAAGACUAGGAAAUUGCUCCCCCAUACUCCACUAUUGGUGAGCCACUCUUCGGUACGUCUUCACAAGUCCAUUUUCACCACAACGGACGAAAAUCUUCAAGCACUUGAUCUCUUCAUGAUGCAUCACUUGAACGUGCACACUGCAACCUAACCCCACAAAAAACUCUCACGAAGACAAUGGGUUAGUACACAAAGCGUAACUGACAAUGCUUACUGAUAUGUCUCCAUCAUAUCUAUAAUUUUUGAUUGUUUCAUGCCAAUAUUAUUCAACUUUUACAUACUUUUGGCAACUUUUUAUAAGAUUUAUUUGGACUAACUUACUUAUCCAGUGCCCAGUGCCAGUUUCUAUUUGUUGCGUGUUUUUGUAUCGCGGAAAACCCAUAUCAAACAAAGUCCAAACGUGAUGAAACUCUACGGAGAAUUAUUUUGGAAUAUUUGUGAUUUUUGGGAGUUCUAAUCACCGCAAAUGGAGGCCCACACGACCAUGAUACACUAGGGCGCGCCCCGGGCCCCUGGCGCGUGGUGGUGGGUUGUGCUCACCUCGUACGUUGGUUGGAGCUGUACUUCGGGCACAAGGAAGGUUAUAUCAGGAAAAAAAUUGUAUAAAAACAUCAGCGCAAUCGGAGUUACGAAUCUCCGAGAAUAUAAGAAACAAUUUUUGCCCAGAUCCGGGGAGCGCGAAACAGAAGAAAACAGAGAGGGAGAUCCAAUCUCGGAGGGGCUCCUGCCCCUCCGCCGCCAUGGAGACCAUGGACCAGAGGGGAACCCUCCUCACAUCUAGGGGGAGGCCAAGGAAAAAAAGAAGGAGGGGGCUCUCUCCCCCUCUCUCCCGGUGGCGCCGGAGCGCCGCCGGGUCUAGGAUCAUGAUGGCGAUCUUCAUCAACAAUCUUGGUACCAUCAACACCAACUCUCUCCCCCUCUACUCAGCGGUGUAACACCCCUUCUCCCUGCUGUAAUCUCUACUUAAACAUGGUGCUCAACUCCAUAUAUUAUUUCCCAAUGAUCUAUGGUUAGUAGAUCCGUUUUGUCCUAUGGGUUAAUCGUGAUCUUGGUUGGUAUGAUUGUAUAUUUUAUUUAUGGUGCUAUCCUACGGUCCCCUCCGUCUCACAAAAACGUGAGGGGGCUCCACUAUAGGGUGUUGCAAUAUAUUCAUGGUUUGCUUAUUGUCAGUGUUGCGCGGGUGACAGCAGCCUAAACGCGGAUAAGUGGGUCAUGGUGUAUGGGAGUAAAGAGGACUUGAUACUUAAUGCUAUGGUUGGAUUUCACGACGUUAAUGAUCUUUAGUAGUUGCAGAUGCUUGCUAGGGGUCCAAUCAUAAGUGCAUAUGAUCCAAGUAGAGAAAGUAUGUUAGCUCAUGCCUCUCCCUCAUAUAAAAUUACAAGAAUGAUUACCGGUACUUGUUAUCGAUUGCCUAGGGACAAAUGACUUUCUUAUUGACAAAAGCUUUCCACUUUUACUACCUUGAAUUUUAUUCUUAGUUUUAUUCUCACAAAGUACUCGUAGUUUUAUUCUUGCAAACUAGUUUCAUACUUGUUCUAGGUAAAGCAAACGUCAAGUGUGUGUAGAGUUGUACCGGUGGUCGAUAGAACUUGAGGGAAUAUUUGUUCCGCCUUUAGCUCCUCGUUGGGUUCGACACUCUUAUUUAUCGAAGAAGGCUACAAACGAUCCCCUAUACUUGUGGGUUAUCAAGACCUUUUUUUGCCGCCGUUGCCGAGGAGCAAUAGCAUGGGGUGAAUAUUCUCGUGUGUGCGUGUUUGCUUUAUCACUAAGUAGUUUUUAUUUCCUAUUCUAAGUUGUACUCUAUCUCUAGUUAUGGAUAUGGAACACAAAACACCAAAAAUAUUAGUGGUACUUGCUACUCAUGGAGAUGGGGAACCUCCUAAAACCCUCGAUGCUCGUUAUGUGAAAAAUAUUAUGCACUACUUUGAUAAUCCUGAGAAAACCCCAUUCAACUUGAUAAUGGGAGUAAUGUUGGAUCAACGUGAAUACUUUAGGGAUUAUUGCUUGACUCAAAAAGGGAAAUUGUUAUGGGAUCAAAUUCAUAUGUUGCAUUGGUAUGCUCGGGAGCUAUGCUUGAGAUAUGAUUUUACUUGUUGCUCUAGGAUGAAUGCUCCACACCUUCCCUUUUCAUGCAAAGUUAAUGAUAAUGAAACCUUGGCUUCUUAUGCCAAUGGUAUAUAUGAUUACGAUGAUGUAGAACAAAUAGAAGAAUUUGUUGUUUUAAGGGUGCUUAUGAAAUUGAAUCUUUGUUUUUAAAGUAUGAAGCUUUUGAUGAUGAAGUUUAUAGACCUGAAAAUUUUGCCAUCCUUAAAUAUUGCUAUGAUAAUUAUAAAUACAAUUCCGAUAUUGAUGCAUUUAUUGAGAAAAUCUCCGCUGUCCAAGAAGAGACUAAUAUUUUGCAGGAGUCUAUGGAAGAAGGAAUUGAUGAAAAUGUGAGCUCAUUGGAUGAAAAAGAUGACGAGGAGAGCGAAGAACAAAAGGAUGAAAAGCGGAUUAGCUACCCAUUGUCGGUGUCAAAACCGGCAGAUCUCGGGUAGGGGGUCCUGAACUAUGCGUCUAAGGCUAAUGGUAACAGGAGGCAGCGGACACGAUGUUUUACCUAGGUUCGGGCCCUCUCGAUGGAGGUAAUAUCCUACUUCCUGCUUGAUUGAUCUUGAUGAUAUGAGUAUUACAAGAGUUGAUCUACCACGAGAUCGUAGAGGCUAAACCCUAGAAUCUAGCCUAUGAUUAUGAUUGUUGUUGUCCUAUGGACUAAACCCUGCAGUUUAUAUAGACACUGGAGGGGGCUAGGGUUACACAGAGUCGGUUACAGAGAAGGAAAUCUGCAUAUCCGAAUAUCCAAGCUUGCCUUCCACGCAAAGGAGAGUCCUAUCCGGACACGGGACGAAGUCUUCAAUCUUGUAUCUUCAUGGUCCAACAGUCCGGCCAAAGUAUAUAGUCCGGCUGUCUGAGGACCCCUUAAUCCAGGACUCCCUCAGUAGCCCCUGAACCAGGCUUCAAUAACGAUGAGUCCGGCGCACAAAUUGUCUUCGGCACUGCAAGGCGGGUUCCUUCUCUGAAUACUCCAUAAAAGAUUUAGAACACAAGGAUCGUGUCCGGCUCUGUAAAACAAAUUCCACAUACCACCGUAAAGAGUAUAAUAUUCCACAAAUCUAAUCUGCUGACAGCUUAUUAUGACAUCACGCCAUGGUCCGAUCUUUAUUCGAACUGUUUUAAUAACCAGCCACUACACGCGCGGCGAGGCGGUUUUAUUGGCACGUCUUGUCGAAGCAGAGAUCGUGUCCCCCUUAUCACGGGAUUCUCAUCAAUACAGGUGUGGGUAACCCAACCAUGUUUGUUUAAUAGGACUCCUCGAUUUUAGGCAAGUCCCAAACGGUCAUGCGGGGGAUGCUUGAUAUUCGUCCUCUUUGUAAAGGGGGCCAAGGCCUGUCCUUUUCUUUCCACGCUCGAUCCUUCCCCUCCCGCACCUCGAGUUCCAACACCCAAGGCUCAAGCUAAAGCACUUCGUUCCUUCGACCAUGUCCGGAUCCAAUCAAGGCUGGUGGAUGGCCUCCUCCAUCACAGAGGAGGACAUCCGGAAGCUGAGGGAGGCUAGGUAUCUCUCCGCCGAGAUUCAGCACAGGCUACCUGCUCAAGGGCAGGUCGUCCCCACUCCCGAACCCAACGAGAGCGUUGUUUUCAUAUCCCACUUUCUUUCGUGGAGACUUCUGAUUUAUGGCAGCGGGAGUGAUUCUACAUCACCGCCCCCCGAGGUACAAAGCGGGUGGCCGCCCCAGCGUUCCGGGCCCUCCACCGCAACUGGCGUCAUGGGUCAACAAGGGGCUAGACUAGGGGUCGGUUAACGAUGUGCUGACAUUGCAAAGCCGCAUCUGAGACUUUCUCAAGAGGGAUGUCAGUCUUGUCAAGAUAAUGCAAGUGAUGCUGGUUCGUCGAGUCCUGCCCUGCCAAUGUUGUCCUCUCCGUAUGGGGGAGUUCAACCCGGAAGGACCGUGAACCAUUCAACAAUUCUUCGGCAUGACGCUCAAAGAGAUGUAUGAGUCAUUCUUCGGAUGACGAAUAAAGUGUCCGGACACCACCGAGGAUGCGGGUCUCAAUUGUAACCGUCCGGAUACCCAGGUAAAUAUUUCUGUUACCAAAUACACCAUCCUUUAUGUUUAUUAUAACAUCAUUCUAAAAAAAUUACUCUCUGCCAGGACUGGCUGAAGAAGACGGAGAGGAUUAGGUGUCUGGCCCCUCUUCCCGAAGGCUCUCUGAAUCCUUUGUUGACCAGGAUGCUUGACCGUGCGCUGUAUCAGGUGCCAUCAAGAGAAGAUGAGGGGAGGAAUAGAGAAGCCACAGAUGGGCCUAAUUUUUUACACAUCCAGAUUGGAGGAGUAGGUGCCUCAACGAAGGAGAAUAAUCAGGGAGGGGAAUCUAAAAUUCCCUCUCCUCAAGGUAAGAAAAGGGCCGCCUCCGAAGAUUUGGAAAUAGAGGCUUCUAAAUGAGGGAAGAAAACCUCGCAAGGGGGCCAGCCCUCCACCGAGCCGUAAGUGAAAGAGUACUUUGAUAGACAUAUCCUAUUUUGUCUCUGAGAAUAAUGACCGAAACAUGUUUGUUGCAGUCCGGCUCGUAGCCCUUCUCCACAGAGUUCGUCCUCGGGGGAUUUUCCUUCGGAGGUGAUGGAGAGCAAGACGCCUCCCUCUGCCUCCCCAUCACAAGGGGUGGACGACCCCGAGGUGUCGUUACGGAGGAUUUCUCCGAUCCACCAAGGCCAGAAGUUGACACUUCGGCUGCCCGGUGUCUGGAAUAUCCGGCUCCCAAAGAGAGCUUCAGGAGGAGUCCGAGAUUGUCCGACACACAGCCAUACACACUAAUGGGCCUUCUGGAGCGAGCGGCCAUCUCAGAGACACAUCGUGCCUUAAUGGGUACGGUGGUUGAGAGGAUUUCAUCCGCGAAAAGCGAUUUGAAUGAAGCUUUUACGAGUCUACUGAGAGGCUUUGAGGUACGCAAAAAAUGUAUUUUUGAUGGUUCCGCACAUGCUAAGUGUACUCUGUAUAGAUAGUAGCCCCUGAGACUCUGGUUGCCAUCAACGUGGCAAACAGAGGAUCAUAAUCUCUGGUAAUAAGCGCGCUGCUUUAUGUGCAGGUGGCUGAGGGUCCGACGACCGACCGAUCGUCUGAUGUUGCUGAACUAAAGCGGCAGCUGGACGUGGCCGAUGCCGACAUCGCACUUGUUAACAAGCGGCUUGAUGAGGCCCAGGGUAGUAUAUUCGGCUUGUCAGCAAAUUUUUAAGAGGAGCAUGAUGCUAGUAUCAAUAAUAUGCUGUGACUGCAGAUGGAGCUGCUGCCGUGGAGACCCUUAGGGCGGAGCUUGCCCGAGCCAAGGAGCAAGACCGGAUGAGUGAUGCGGCCGCUGUGAAGGCGGUCGAGGAGUUAAGAGCCGAACAGGCUGCUCAUCAUCGGAGCGAAGAAAAGAUAGCCCAGAUGGCUACCGAGCUGGAAGAUGCCGCCAACCGCUGUGAGCUCCUUGAAAAGGAAAAUUCAAGCAAAAGCGGCUUACCUGUAGAAGGCCCUGGAGGCAGCCAAGGAAACCCGCUCUGAAAUGAGGGGGAUGAGGGAGGAGCUUCGUGAAGCCGGAGAUAUCGUGGCUGGAAAGCCCUAUCUAUUGCAGAUGAAAUUCGGAGAUCCGAAGUAUGCUCCCUAGAUCAGUUGUGGAGUGCGGCAGACGCAUAUGCUGACCUGGCAAAGAGUGAUGCUAAUGCAUCCGAGUUUUACAAAGAUCGGAAAGACCAUAAUGCUGAGAGGUUAUUCUGGUCACAGUUCAGUGCCCCGCCGCGUCCGCUGCCAUUAAAUGAAAAGAUGGCCGCAUGGGCCGAACUCCACAGGUUGUCCGGGCUUGCUAUGAGGUCUGUCGUGGAUCAUCUUUGGCCACAAGGACCAAGGCCGGACAACUAUUUUGGUUUGGUGCAACAAUUCCUUGGUGCUGUGUCACAUAUCGAUGCCGUGAAGAGGUCGGCGUGCAUAGAGGGUGUGUGGAUGGCGCUUGCCCGUGUUAAAACAUACUGGGCUAGGAUGGAACCCACCGCUAUUGCAACCCGGAGUGCGGCGGACGGCUAGGACCCGCCCGAGCACUAUUUCAAAGAAGUCUUAGAAGGCGCCCGUUUAAUAGAGGCUCAGUGCUCGAAGAGUGCCAUGUUCGAAUGACAUGUAUCGCUAUUGUAAAGACAAUGCUAUUUUGAUUAUCAAGGCUGUGUUUAUACUUUUGCCCAAAAGUAUUAUAAUGCCUCCUGUGCGGCCAUUUAUGUAUAUAUAUAACCUAAAAGUUUGCAGUCAUCAGCUUCAGCCCCCACACAUAUAAUGUGGGGGUGUUCGAGAAAACGCGUAGUCACACUUGAUCCAACAUCUUGGUCCAUUAAGGAGGUGAUAGCGCGGCGAACCAGGCAAUCAGGCUAUAUAGCUUUAACACUUUCACUUAGCCAUAGGAGUUUGACGGUGGGGCUACUAGAUAGCCCCUGGUACUUUCGCGUUCAGCCGGAUAUGGUGCGUGUAUGUACUUGACCGGGAAACCAGUCCUUCGUUAAUGCAGAGGAAUCGUGAAGAUUCUGCUGGGUCAUCGAGUGGUUGACCAGUCUCGCGUUGUAUCAUGAUAGCCAGUUUUCGGCUUUCUCUACUGGGGUGCUCGUCUAGGUGAACCGGGGCACAAUCGCAGUAGUCCUCCUGGUGCCGCCUUAGCCGAUAGAACGUAACGUAAGGGAGCAAAACACGGGAGCCGGGCAAACCCAACAUUUGACCAAAGACAUGAUUCGAAGCUGAUGCAUAUAAGGCCAAACUCGCGACGCCGAACACUCUCUAAGGUAUUCGGACUUUAUAAUGUGUGCUGGGCUGAAUAACGCCCUUGACAAUAAGCCCUGAGUUUCCAGGUAUGAGCAGUAGUCUGCUGUGACAAAAAUGCCAAAAACGCCAGUAUCCCACCCGGUUGAAUAAGGUUUCAGGAGGGGAAGAAGCAACAAGAGAUAUUAAAAAGGUUUACGCAGGGUCUUAAUCUAAAAAGAAACCUUUGAGCGGGGCCCUGCUGCACGUCUGCGCCUUUAUCUCCGUUGUGUUGUAUCCUAGAAGGGUGUAGCACGAUGAUCAUCUGUAAAAGAAAAAAACCAGGUGAAAGACUUUGUGCGAGGUGUUCAUUAAUCUGAAUGAACCAUGGAAAUGCAAUAUGCUAUUGUAUUGAUAGGGUUGAGCCAAACUAUGGGCUCUUUUUGCGAGCAGCCCCUAGCAUCUUUGAUGGGGAAAUCCCAACUGGGCUGUUACAUUUGGUGGAGCACCGGACUCGUCAAAGCGUGUCCGUGGUCUUGACGACCGGCCAUUAGUCCUAGUUGGAGGGACCGCUCAGUGUUCGGCUGCUAGGGCCGCCACAUAUUCUUCCGCGCGUAAGGAACGCUCUGUAUUUCCACUAACUGUGAUGACGCCGCGUGGACCGGGCAUCUUAAGUUUGAGGUAGGUGUAAUGUGGUACUGCAUUAAAACGAGCGAAGUCCGUUCUUUCGAGUAGUGCGUGAUAGCCACUUCGGAAUGGAGCGAUGUCGAAGGUUAAUUCCUCGCUUCUGAAGUUGUGGGGAGAACCGAAUACAACCUCUAGUACUAGAGAGCCCGUACAGUGGGCCUCAAUGCCUAGUAUUACUCCUUUAAAGGUAGUGUUACUUAGGCUGAUCCUUGAAGGGUCUAUCCCCAUUUUGCGGACAGUGUCCUGAUAUAUCAGGUUUAGACUGCUGCCGCCGUCCAUAAGGACUCGUGUGAGAUGGCAUCCGUCAAUUAUUGGGUCGAGCACCAAGGCAGCCGAUCUGCCGUGCCGGAUACUAGUCGGAUGGUCCCUGUGGUCAAAGGUGAUCGGGCAGGCCGACCAGGGAUUAAAUUUAGGGGCUACAGGCUCAACAACAUAUACGUCUCGAAGUGUGCGCUUGCGCGUUCUCUUUGGAAUGUGAGUUACGUAAAUCAUAUUCACUGUUUUGACUUCUAGUGGGAAUUUCUUCUGUCUUCUAGUGUUCGGCUGACGAGGCUCGUCCUCAUCUUCACUUGGCAUCUCCCUCCCCUUUUGUUCGGCAUUCAGCUUGCCGGCCUGUUUGAAAACCCAACACUCUCUGUGGGUGUGGUUUGCAGGUUUUUCGGGGGUGCCGUGAAUCUGACAUAAUUUGUCUAGAAUCUUGUUUAGGCUAGACUGUCCAUCUCUACUGCCUUUAAAUGGCUUCUUUCGGUGACCGGAUCGAGAGCCCCUGAAUCCGGUGUUAACCGUCGUUUUAUCUGGGCUGCCAUCAUUGUUUCGACGCUUGUUUUUAUUGCGUCGCGACUUCCCAUUGCCAUCCCUGACUUCCGAUGUGCUUGGAUCGCUGGUGCCGCUACGGGCCAGCCAGCUAUCCUCGCCCGCGCAAAAGCGGGUCAUAAGGCUUGUUAAGGCUGCCAUUGUUCUCGGCUUUUCUUGUUCGAGGUGUCUGGCGAGCCAUUCGUCCUGGAUACCGUGUUUGAAGGCCGCUAAGGCUUCAACGUCCGGGCAAUCGACUGUUUGAUUCUUCUUAGUAAGAAACCUGUUCUAGAGCUUUCGGGCUGACUCUCUGGGCUCUUGAAUUAUGUGACUUAGGUUGUCUGCGUCCGGAGGCCGGACAUAGGUCCCUUGAAAAUUGGCCCUGAAAGCAUCCUCGAGCUCUUCCCAACUUCCAAUUGAGUUUCCGGGAAGGCUUUUCAACCAGUGCCGAGCUGGUCCCCUUAAUUUGAGGGGUAGAUAUUUAAUGGCGUGGAGAUCAUCUCUGCGAGCCAUGUGGAUAUGAAGGAUAAAGUCCUCGAUCCAGACCCCAGGGUCUGUAGUUCCGUCCUAUGCCUCUAUAUUCACAGAUUUAAAUCCUUCUAGAAAUUCAUGAUCCAGAACCUCAUCGGUGAAGCACAGGGGGUGUGCGGCACCCCUGUAUUUGGUCGUGUUGUGGCAUGUUUUCGACAGUUGUUGUGUUCGGUUCUGGUUCCUAGCUGGUGUUCGAUCAAUGUGAUCAUUUCGGUAGCUCUGAUCCUGUGCCGGAGCGCGCUUCCUAGAUCCGUAGAUGGAUCUGGCCAUACCGGACUUUCUGUCUAGGAGCUCACGUAAAUCGUGUGCUGACUUGUGUGCGGCAUCAUUAGCCGUCUUGUCACGGCCACGGGGCGGUCGGUCCGACUGAUCGGUUGUUUUCGGCUGAAUGGGCUCUACGGCCUCGUCGUUGAAUUCGGGCAGCAGCUUGCGCUUUGGAUAGCUCUUUGUGUGACGAUCGUCGCUGUAUUUUUCUUCUGUGUCGAGUACUUUGUUCCACCUGCGGUUGAGCGUAUCCUGCGCGGCCUUAAGCCUUUGCUUCUGCUUCUUUAGACUCCUUGCGGUGGCGAUAAGCCUUCUGUGGAGGUUCUCUUGUUCUAAGAGUUUGUCUAGGAUGAUGAGUACAUCAUCGUCCGGGCUGUUCUCCUCUCCGGAGAUAGGUUGUUGAAUUUUACCCUCGGGAUCGGCAUUAUCUGACAUUGGCUCCGGACUGUUUUCACCGUCCCCUGGCUCACCCUGCUCCAUCGCUGGGUCCAUGGGGUCGUCGAUUCCUUUGGAAUCAACCGGGGUAUUAUUAUUUCUUGCAUUGUUGUCUCUGUUUUUACCGUGGCGGGAUUUAGAGCGGCGUCUACGGCGCCACUUUGGUGGCUUAUCGAGGGGAUUAUCCUUCGUUGUAUCGUCACCAUCGCCUUCUUUUGGUUUGUCCACCAUGUAUAUAUCGUAUGAUGAGGUGGCAGUCCAGCGCCCAGUGGGCGGGGGUUCCUGUUCUUCUCCUGUGUCGUCGUACAUACCGUCGAUGUCUUCGCAGUCGAAAUCGAGCGUGUCGGUUAAGUCAUCGACAGUGGGUAUGAAGUGAGUGGUGGGUGGGGAACGAAUUUCUUCGUCGUCCGCUCCCCACUCGAGCCGGACAUAGUUCGGCCAAGAAUCUCCUAACAAGAACAGAGACCUUAAGGAGUUCAGCACAUCACCUAAGGGUGAGUGGUGAAAAAUAUCUGCGGUGGUGAACUCCAUGACGGGUGCCCAAUCUGAUUCGAUAGGCACGGACGUACGCGGUUCGGAUCCUGCAGCCGGGGGCGAGGCUGGGGGUUCGAUGACGCCACUCUCACAGGAGGUGGGAUCAGUGUUCGGCUCUGACGCCGAUGAGUGUGCGGCCUCCAUGGCGGGGUCCAUCCACCCGUCCUCGGAAGGCACAAUCUAUUACGGAUUGAUUCCCAGCGCCAACGCAGGUGCGAUCUCCCGAAUACUGUCCAAUGGCAGAUCAAAGUCAUGCCCGUCAUGACUAUUUGGCACACCUGUCACAGGCUCGAAUCCGUCGAAGAUUAAGUCUCCGCGGAUGUCGGCAGUAUAGUUCAAGCUUCCAAACCUGACCUGAUGGCCAGGGGCGUAGCUAUCGAUCUGCUCCAGAUGGCCAAGCGAGUUGGCCUGCAGUACAAAGCCGCCGAAUAUGAAGAUCUGUCCGGGGAGGAAAACCUCCUCCUGGACCGCAUCGUUAAAGACGAUCGAAGGGGCCAUCAAGACUUACAGCGACGGCACAGUGGAGCUCUCAAUGAAAGCACCAAUGUCGGUGUCAAAACCGGCGGAUCUCGGGUAGGGGGUCCAAACUGUGCGUCUAAGGCUAAUGGUAACAGGAGGCAGGGGACACGAUGUUUUACCCAGGUUCAGGCCCUCUCGAUGGAGGUAAUACCCUACUUCCUGCUUGAUUGAUCUUGAUGAUAUGAGUAUUACAAGAGUUGAUCUACCACAAGAUCGUAGAGGCUAAACCCUAGAAGCUAGCCUAUGAUUAUGAUUGUUGUUGUCCUACGGACUAAACCCUCCGGUUUAUAUAGACACAUGAGGGGGCUAGGGUUACACAGAGUCGGUUAUAGAGAAGGAAAUCUACAUAUCUGAAUAUCCAAGCUUGCCUUCCACGCAAAGGAGAGUCCCAUCCGGACACGUGACGAAGCCUUCAAUCUUGUAUCUUCAUGGUCCAACAGUCCGGCCAAAGUAUAUAGUCCGGUUGUCCGAGGACCCCUUAAUCCAGGACUCCCUCACCCGUGCCCACCUUCUAAUGAGAGUAACUCUUCAACUCAUACAUUGUUUAAUGUCCCUUCGUUCUUACCGAAGGGCGAAUGCUAUGAUAAUUGCUAUGAUCCCGUUGAUUCGUCUGAAAUAUCCCCUUUUGAUGAUGCUUGCUAUGCUUGUGGCCAAGAUGCCAAUAUGAAUGGUGCUUAUGGAGAUGAACUCACUAUUGUUCCUUAUGUUAAACAUGAAAUCGUUGCUAUUGCACCCACACAUGAUAGUCCUAUUAUCUUUUUAAAUUCUCCAAACUACACUAUACCCGAGAAGUUUGCUCUUAUUAAGGAUUAUAUUGAUGGGUUGCCUUUUACCGUUGCACGUGAUAAUUUGGAUGAAUAUAAUAUGCAUGUGCUUGCUGCUCGUACUUGCAAUUAUUAUGAGAGAGGAACUACAUCUCCACCUCUUUAUGUUUCCAACAUGAUAAAAUUGCAAGAAACUACUUAUGCUAUGUAUUGGCCUUUACUUGAUGUGCAUGAAUUGUUCUUGUAUGACAUGCCGAUGCAUAGGAAGAGAGUUAGACUUCAUCAUUGCUUGAUAUAUGUUGCUUUGUGCUUACUACUAAAUGCCCAACCAUUGCUAAUUCAAAUUGGCUUUGAUAUACCUUGGGAUCCGGGUGGAUUCAUUACUUGAGCACUUUAUGCCUAGCUUAAUGGCUUUAAAGAAAGCGCUGCUAGGUAGACAACCCGGAAGUUUUAGAGAGUCAUUUAUUUCUGUUGAGUUUUGUGUGGAUGAAGUGUUUGAGGAUCGAGGAGGUCUCAAUGUGAGGAGAAGGAUGAGAGGCAAGAGCUCAAGCUUGGGGAUACCCAAGGCACCCCAAGUAAAUAUUCAAGGAGACUCAAGCGUUUAAGAUUGGGGAUGCUCCAGUAGGCAUCCCAUCUUUCUUCAACAAGUAUCGAUAUGUUUUCGAAUUCGUUUUGUUCAUAUGAUAUGUGCAAAUCUUGGAGCGUCUUUUGCAUUUAGUUUUCACUUUUCUUUUAUGCACCACGCUGGUAUGAGAUAGUCCAUGGUUGAUUUGUAGAAUGCUCAUUGCACUCACUUAUAUCUUUUUGAGUAUGGCUUUAUAGAAUGCUUUCACUUAUAUCAUUUGAAGUUUGGAUUGCCUGUUUCUCUUCACAUAGAAAACCGAUGUGCGUAGAAUGCUCUUUUGCUUCACUUAUAUGUUAGAGCAUGAUCUUUUGUAGAAAGAACUAAAAUCCCAUGCUUCACUUAUAUUUAUUUAGAGAGACAAAUGGAAUUGGUCAAUUGCAUGAUUAGUCAUAAAAUCCUACAUAAAACUUAUGGAUCACUGAAUAUGAUAUGUUUGAUUCCUUGCAAUAGUUUUGCGAUAUAGAGAUGGAAUAUGUGGGAAGUACUAGUAAAAGGUUGUGGUUAGUAAGAAUAUUGGUCUUAAAGUUUGUGAUUCCUGAAGCAUGCACAUAUAGUCUCUCGUUAUGCUAUGAAAGUUGGAGCGCAAUUUAUCCUUGCUUGUCUAUCUUUGUGUGAAGGUCGGGGGCGCGCGAUGGUUAACUCCUACCAACCCCCCCCCCCCUAGGGCAUGCGUAGUAGUACUUUGAUUUGAGGGCUAAUAAACUUUUGAAAUAAUUAUAUGAGUUCUUUAUGAAUAAUGUGAGUCCAUGUAUUAUAUGCACUCUUACCUUUCCGCAAUUUGCUAGCCUCUACGGUACCGUGCAUUGCCCUCUCUCACCUCGAGACGUGGUGCAAACUUUGCAGGUGCAUCCAAACCCCGUGAUAUGAUAAUAAGCCUUAUUAUAUCUUCCUCAAAACAGCCACCAUACCCUACCUAUUAUGGCUUUUUCAUGUCCAUUCCGAGAUAAAUUUCCAUGCAACUUCCACCGCUUUCGUUUGAUGACUUGAGCAUUCAUUGUCAUAUUGCUUUGCAUGAUCAUAUAGCUGACAUAGUAGUUGUGGUUCAGCCACCGUGCAUCAUUUUUCAUAGAUGUUAUGCUAGAUCAUUGCACAUCCUGGUACAUGCCAGAGGCAUUCAUAUAGAGUCAUAUUUUGUUAUAGGUAUCGAGUUGUAAUUUUAAUUCCUUUUGAGUUAUAAGUAAAUAGAAGUGUGAUGAUCAUCAUUUUUAGAGCAGUGCCCCAGUGAGGAAAGUAUGAUGGAGACUAUGAUUCCCCCACAAGUCGGGAUGAGACUCCGGACACCGAGAGAAAGAAAGGGGGAAGAAAAAAAUAAAAAAAAGAAGAAAGAAAAAAGAAGAAGAGAGAAGGGUCAUUGUUAGUAUCCUUUACCACACUUGUGCUUCAAAGUAGCACCAUGUUUUUCAUAUGGAGAGUCUCAUAUGUUGUCACUUUCAUAUACUAGUGGGAAUAUUUAAUUAUAGGAUUAGAUGCACACCCAACUAGUUUUCAUAUUGAGCUUUCACACACUUAUAGCUCUUAGUGCAUUCGUUGCAUGACAAUCCCUACUCCUCACGUUGAUAUCAAUUGAUGGGCAUCUCCAUAGCCCAUUGGUUAGCCGCGUCGAUGUGAGACUUUCUUACUUUUUGUCUUCUCUAUAUUUACCCCUAUCAUCAUACUCUAUUCCACUCGUAGUGCUAUAUUCUUGGCUUGCACUCAUGUAUUGCGUGAGGGUUGAAAAAGCUGAAGUGCGUUAAAAAGUAUGAACCAAUUGCUCGGCUUGUCAUCAGGGUUGUACAUGAUUUAUACUUUGUGUUAAGAAGAUAGGGCAUGACAAGACUAUAUGAUUUUGUAGGGAUAGCUUUCUUUAGCGUUGAUAUUCUGAAAGACAUGAUUGUUUAUUGGGAUGCCUGAGUAUUGAUGUCUUUAUAUCAAAUUAUAGACUAUUGCUUUGAAUCACUUAUGUCUUAAUAUUCAUGCCAUGACUAGACAUAUGAUCAAGUUUAUGUUAGGUAGCAUUCCACAUCAAAAAUUAUCUUUUUUAUCAUUUACCUACUCAAGGACGAGUAGGAAUUAAGAUUGGGAUGCUGAUACAUCCCAUCGUAUCUAUAAUUUUUGAUUGUUUCAUGCCAAUAUUAUUCAACUUUUAGAUACUUUUGGCACCUUUUUAUACGAUUUAUUUGGACUAAUUUACUUAUCCAGUGCCUAGUGCGAGUUCCUGUUUGUUGCAUGUUUUUGUAUCGCAGAAAACUCGUAUCAAAUGAAGUCCAAACGUGAUGAAACCCUACAGAGAAUUAUUUUGGAAUAUUUGUGAUUUUGGGGAGUUGGAAUCACCGCAAACGGAGGCCCACACAGACCACGAAACACCAGGGCACGCCCCAGGCCCCUGGCACGUGGUGGUGGGUUCUGGUCACCUCAUACGUCGGUUGGAGCUGUACUUCGGGCGCAAGGAAUCUUAUAUCAGGAAAAAAAUUGUGUAAAAAGAUCAGCGCAAUCGGAGUUACGGAUCUCCGGGAAUAUAAGAAACUACUUUUGGCCAGAUCUGGGGAGCGCAAAACAAAAGAGAACAGAGAGGGAGAUCCAAUCUCGGAGGGGCUCCUGCCCCUCCGCCGCCAUGGAGACCAUGGACCAGAGGGGGGAACCCUCCUCCCAUCUAGGGGGGAGGCCAAGGAAUAAGAAGAAGAAGGGGGGGGGCUCUCUCCCCCUCUCUCCCGGUGGCGCUGGAGCGCCGCUGGGGCUAGGAUCAUGCUACUGUCAACACCAACUCUCUCCCCCUCUAUGCAGAGGUGUAACACCCCUUUUCCCCACUGUAACCUCUACUUUAACAGGAUGCUCAACUCCAUAUAUUAUUUCCCAAUGUUCUAUGGUUAUCCUAUGAUGUUUGAGUAGAUCCAUUUUGUCCUAUGGGUUAAUCGUGAUCUUUUUUUGGUAUGAUUGUAUAUUUUAUUUAUGGUGUUGUCCUACGGUGCCCUCCGUCUCACGCAAACGUGAGGGCCCCCCGCUGUAGGGUGUUGCAAUAUGUUCAUGGUUUGCUUAUUGUCAGUAUUGCAAGGGUGACAGCAGCCUAAACGCGGAUAAGUGGGUCAUGGCGUAUGGGAGUAAAGAGGACUUGAUACUUAAUGCUAUGGUUGGGUUUCAUGACCUUAGUGAUCUUUAGUAGUUGUGGAUGCUUGCUAGGGGUCCAAUCACAAGUGCAUAUGAUCCAAGUAGAGAAAGUAUGUUAGCUCAUGCCUCUCCCUCAUAUAAAAUUACAAGAAUGAUUGCCGGUACUUGUUAUCGAUUGCCUAGGGACAAAUGACUUUCGUAUUGACAAAAGCUAUCCACUUUUACCACCUUGCAUUUUAUUUGUAGUUUUAUUCUCUCAAAGUACUCGUAGUUUUAUUCUUGCAAACUAGAUUCAUACUUGUUCUAGGUAAAGCAAAUGUCAAGUGUGUGUAGAGUUGUAUCGGUGGUCGAUAGAACUUGAGGGAAUAUUUGUUCUGCCUUUAACUCCUCGUUGGGUUUGACACUCUUAUUUAUCGAAGAUGGCUACAAACAAUCCCCUAUACUUGUGGGUUAUUACUUACCAUACCAUGGGAUCACUUGAUCCCUCUCGGUACAUCUUCUACGCUUUGUGUGUUGAUCAACUUGAUUCACUCUUUGACUUAGUCUUGAUCAGCAUCCCACAUGACCAAUCUUUAGGUAAUACUUGAAUAGCACCUUGGUCAUCACAAACUCUCCUUGAAACCAACAAAUGCACUCCAAGAAAAACCUAUGGACAAAUCCUUCAAAUAUAACUCAAGGCAACCAUUAGUCCAUAGAGAUUGUCAUUAAUUACCAAAACCAAACAUGGGGGCACCGCAUGUUCUUUCAAUCUCCCCCAUUUUGGUAAUUGAUGACAAUCACUUCCAAGAGAGUUUAUAUAUGGAAAUAUGCAUCACCAUGCAAUGCAAAUCAAGAAGAAACAACUCUAUAAUCUUCUCCACAAUACUCUCCGAAACUUCUCCCCCAUUGGCAUCGAUUGCCAAAAUGGGAGAAAAUCUUAGAAGGCCAAUAUAAAUCGCGUUCCUCCAUAAAUUGUGUAUUUCUCAACAAGAGAGUGGAAUGUAAUACACAUAUCCAAUGGUAAAUACUUGGAGGAAGAUAGACUAUGUUGAGGCCCAAAGAUUGCAAAAGAAUGAUAUGCCACAAAGACAUAACAAAGAGAGAAACAAGCAAUCAAGCAGUCAAAAGAUACCAAUUGAAGUGAGCUAUCAAAAGAUACCAAUUGAACCAACUAGACCAAUGAUCCUACAUGCCACAUCAAUAAAAGAUAUUAUGAUAUGAGCAAAGGAGUGUUCUAGAGAAGCUCCCCAUGAUUUGUGCACAGCUUAGUUUUGUAAUUAGAUACAAUGAGCACACAAUAGGAUCGUCACUCCCCCAAGUUCAAUAGAACCUCACAACAAGUGCAGGAGAGCAACGGAGUGUUCUAAAGACACUAGUGAAUCUCCCCAUGAUGUGUGCACUCCUUACAAUAUUUGCAUUAGGAUACCAAGUGCACAAAAUAGGAUCAUCACUCCUCGAAAAUCAAUAGAAACUCACAACAGGUGCAAGUGAGCAUGUAGGAAACAAAGGCUAGCACUUGCAACAAACAAAUGGUUGAUCAACAUAAAAGAGGCAACUUAAGAGUAGGCUCAACCAAAAUGAUGUGUGUGAGUCAUCGCAAAGCACUUGAGAAGACUAAGGUAAGGGUGAGCAUUAAGCAUCAACAUAGUCUUGAAUAGUGGAGAUACAAGGUGCAUGACAUGUCCUUCCCACACACACCAAACAAAUGGGUUCACAAGCACACUAAAUAUGCAAAAUGAAUAACCAACACUUAUGCAACCCAUGGUGAAGAAAGAAAAUGAUAGCUUUGUCAAGAGGAGGGAUACCAAUCGAAAUGGCAAAAGCCUCAUCAAGACAAGCAAGAGAGAAAAUAUCUUCACCGCAACAGAGUGCAUCAAGAUGCAACGAUAUUAGAUCUGCACUCAUGAUAAAUCCUUUCACAUAACCACCAAGGAAAGGUGGAUGCAAGAAUAAGGAUGUCAACUCCAGAUGUAACUUCUCUCAAGUGUAUAAGAUUCUAGGUAGAUGAAAAUCAUGAUGAUAUCAAUCCACAAAAAAGGAUAUACACACGAAAUAGUUACAAAAAGGAAAGAACAACAUAUCCACAACGAAGUCAUAAAUAUUCCAAUAAGAAAUUUGCUUGAGAGCAUAGCACAUGGCUAGAUAUGGUCUUAUUGUAUAUAAAUGAAUUCCAACCACACGAACAUCAAAGACAUCACAACUAGCAACAAGAGAUCAUUGUUGGGAUGCUUUGAGAAAGGAAACAAGUAUCACAAGAAAGAAUGAAUAACAUGCCAUGAUACAACCUACACAAGGUUGAUGCAAGAAAUGUGUGCAUGAAGUAUAUGAAGAUACUUGUUACCGAGUUAACAUUGGAAGGAUGAUGUAGAUACCAAUUGAAGGUAGAUAGUAGUUCAUUGAUCAUCCUAGAUUGACUCCAAUAAUUACUUGGAGACAACACCUUCCUUGUGAGUGAGCCGAGCAUCCAAUGAAUCUCGAAUUGUUCCUAGAACAACAACACACAAAAAAUGGUAGCCAACCUCAUUGGGACCAAAGAGUUAGAAACACCAAUACAUAGGAAAAACUCCACAUACAUAUAUAUGAAGAUAAAUUUCAUGCACAUCUCAUCCAAAUUGAGACUCGGUGGAGUUUCACUUAUAUAUUGGGUCAAAAAAAGAAAGCAUGCAAAAUAAAAUACAUGAAGUAAAUAUGCAUGCUCGAAACUUUCAAGAAACAAAACCAAAUGAAAAUAAAUAUCAAGUGAAAAUAGGUUAGCAAAUGGAGAAAUCAUCACUUGGAAGAUAUCAUUACAAGAUACAUCAAGGAAUGAGAUAUCCAUUGAAACACACAAAAUGAUCUCAAACUCCCAAAAUAGAGGAUGGUUCCAAACAAACCAAGCUCUCUACAAAGUUUGAUGAUGGCACAAAGUACCAAAAAGAAAGGGCUUGUCGUCCACCAAUACACACUUAAUAUGGAUCACAAGAUGAGUGUUUUAUAGAAAAUAGGAUAGCUCCCCCACGAGUUGUGCAUUAUAGAGAAUUUGCAUUUGAAUACAAAAUGCACAAGGUUGGAUCACCACUUACACUAUAUCAAGAAAACACUAGACAAGAUCAAGAAAACAAAAAGAUCCACAAGUGGCACGGAAGGCAAUGGGAGUUGACACAAUCUUGGCAAGAGAUAAGGCAAUGAAAACAAAACCCAAUGAAGAUGAUCAAUAAUUUUGACCACGCAUAAGUGAGUACCAAUUCUCAAAAGACAUGACGUAUUUGGAAAUGAUUCUCGGUGGUAGAUAGAAGGAAAUCCAAUAUCAUCUUCACACCAAGAACAAAUCAAAUUGCAACUUCUAGAGCUAACAUGUCACCUAGGAACAAGAUAAUUUACAAUAUCAACUCUAGGUGACAAUAUCUCAAAUGUACGCAUUUUCUAGGCUUGUAAUAUACACAUAGUAUGUUACUCCCCCAUAAUGUGUUACCAAAGAAAACUUAACAAGAGGCAAUAAGAGGAUCCAACAAGAGAAUUAAUGGACUAUUUAGAAUUUGAAUUUCUCAUGAGAAGACAUACCACAUAGUGACUAGACAAGCUUGCAAUAUAAAUACAAGGUAGUAUUCCUCAUGUACACACAUUUGUGGGACCGUGAGGUGCACAAAGUGAAUGAAAUAUGCCCUAGAGGAAAUAAUAAAGUUAUUAUUUAUUUCCUUAUUUCAUGAUAAAUAUUUAUUCUUCAUGCUAGAAUUGUAUUAACCGGAAACUUGAUACAUGUGUGAAUACAUAGACAAACAGAGCGUCACUAGUAUGCCUCUACUUGACUAGCUCGUUGAAUCAAAGAUGGUUAAGUUUCCUAGCCAUAGACAUGAGUUGUCAUUUGAUUAACGGGAUCACAUCAUUUGGAGAAUGAUGUGAUUGACUUGACCCAUUCCGUUAGCUUAGCACUUGAUCGUUUAGUAUGUUGCUAUUGCUUUCUUCAUGACUUAUACAUGUUCCUAUGACUAUGAUAUUAUGUAACUCCCGCUUACCGGAGGAACACUUUGUGUGCUACCAAACGUCACAACGUAACUAGGUGAUUAUAAAGGUGCUCUACAGGUCUCUCCGAAGGUACUUGUUGAGUUGACGUAUUUCGAGAUUAGGAUUUGUCACUCUGAUUGUCGGACAGGUAUCUCUGGGCCCUCUCGGUAAUGCACAUCACUAUAAGCCUUGCAAGCAAUAUAGUUAAUGAGUUAGUUAUGGGAUGAUGCAUUACAUAACGAGUAAAGAUACUUGUCGGUAAUCAGAUUGAACUAGGUAUUGAGAUAUCGACGAUCGAAUCUCGGGCAAGUAACAUACCGAUGACAAAGGGAACAACAUAUGUUGUUAUGCGGUUUGACCGAUAAAGAUCUUCGAAGAAUAUGUGGGAGCCAAUAUGAGCAUCCAGGUUCCGCUAUUGGUUAUUGACCGGAGACAUGUCUCGGUCAUGUCUACAUAGUUCUCGAACCCGUAGGGUCCGCACGCUCAAAGUUCGGUGACGAUCGGUAUUAUGAGUUUUUGUGUUUUGAUUUACCGAAGGUAGUUCGGAGUCCCGGAUAUGAUCACGGACAUGACGAGGAGUCUCGAAAUGGUCGAGACAUAAAGAUCAAUAUAUUGGACAACUAUAUUCGGACUUCGGAAAGGUUUCGAGUGAUUCGGGUAUUUAUCGGAGUACUGGAGAGUUACGGGAAUUCGCCGGGGAGUAUAUGGGCCUUAUUGGGCAUUAGGGGAAAGAGAGAGGGGAGGCUGCGUGCCCCCACAAGGCCUAGUCCGAAUUGGACUAGGGGGAGGGGCUGCGGCCCCUCCUUCCUUCUCUUCUCUUUUCCCUUUCCUUNNNNNNNNNNNNNNNNNNNNNNNNNNNNNNNNNNNNNNNNNNNNNNNNNNNNNNNNNNNNNNNNNNNNNNNNNNNNNNNNNNNNNNNNNNNNNNNNNNNNNNNNNNNNNNNNNNNNNNNNNNNNNNNNNNNNNNNNNNNNNNNNNNNNNNNNNNNNNNNNNNNNNNNNNNNNNNNNNNNNNNNNNNNNNNNNNNNNNNNNNNNNCCAGGGCGCGCCAUAGUUGAGGGCCGGCCCUCCGCCUCCUCCACUCCUUUAUAUACGGGGGAGAGGGGCAACCCAUGGACACACAAGUUGAUCUGUUGAUCUCUCCCAGCCGUCUGCGGUGCCCCCCUCUACCAUAUUCCACCUCGGUCAUAUCGUAGUGGUGCUUAGGCGAAGCCCUGCGUCGGUAGCAACAUCAUUACCGUCAUCACGCUGUCGUGCUGACGAAACUCUCCCGUGAAGCUCUGCUGGAUUGGAGUUCGCGGGACGUCAUCGAGCUGAACGUGUGCUGAACUCGGAGGUGCCGUACGUUCAGUACUUGGAUCGGUCGGAUCAUGAAGACGUACGACUACAAGAACCGCGUUGUGCUAACGCUUCCGCUUUCGGUCUACGAGGGUACGUGGAAGACACUCUCCCCUCUCGUUGCUAUGCAUCACCAUGGUCUUGCAUGUGCGUAGGAAAUUUUUGAAAUUACUACAUUCCCCAACAGUGGCAUCCGAGCCAGGUUUAUGUGUAGAUGAUAUAUGCACGAGUAGAACACAAGUGAGUUGUGGGUGAUACAAGUCAUACUGCUUACCAGCAUGUCAUACUUUGGUUCAGCGGUAUUGUUGGAUGAAGCGGCCCAGACCGACAUUAUGAGUACGCUUACACGAGACUGGUUCUACCGACGUACUUUGCACAUAGGUGGCUAGCGAGUGUCAGUUUCUCCAACUUUAGUUGAACCGAGUGUGGCUACGCCCGGUCCUUGAGAAGAGCACUAACUUGACGAACUAUCGUUGUGGUUUUGAUGCAUAGGCAAGAAUGGUUCUUGCUCAACCCAUAGCAGGCACGUAAAACUUGCAACAACAAAGUAGAGGAUGUCUAACUUGUUUUUGCAGGGCAUGUUGUGAUGUGAUAUGGUCAAGACAUGAUGCUAAAUUUUAUUGUAUGAGAUGACCAUGUUUUGUAACAAAGUUAUCGGCAACUUGCAGGAGCCAUAUGGUUGUCACUAUAUUGUAUGCAAUGCAAUCGCCCUGUAAUUGCUUUACUUUAUCACUAAGCGGUAGCGAUAGUCGUAGAGCAAUAGUUGGCGAGACAACAAUGAUGUUAUGAUGGAGAUCAAGGUGUCGUGCCGGUGACGAUGGUGAUCAUGAUGGUGCUUCAGAGAUGGAGAUCACAAGCACAAGAUGAUGAUGGCCAUAUCAUAUCACUUAUAUUGAUUACAUGUGAUGUUUAUCCUUUAUGCAUCUUAUUUUGCUUUGAUUGACGGUAGCAUUAUAAGAUGAUCUCUCACUAAAUUUCAAGAUAAAAGUGUUCUCCCUGAGUAUGCACCGUUGCCAAAGUUCGUCAUGCCGAGACACCAUGUGAUGAUUGGGUGUGAUAAGCUCUACGUUCAUCUACAACAGGUGCAAGCCAGUUUUGCACACGCAGAAUACUUGGGUUAAACUUGACGAGCCUAGCAUAUGCAGAUAUGGCCUCGGAACACUGGAUACCAAAAGUUCGAGCGUGAAUCAUAUAGUAGAUACACUACAAAAAAAAUACACAUCCGUGACAUUUUGGGCCGAACGAAAUUCUUUUCUAUCAUACAUAUGACACUUCUAGGACGAUAAUUGUGACAAAAUCCGGUAUCAUCAUAGAUGUGGUGGGCUCCUACUUCUAUGAUAAAAAAUCAUGACAGAAAAUGGGCUUUUCAUCCUAGGAGGGCCGGAGACGCAGUUGCAUGACAUUCUUUGGGCCGUCCAUGACAGAAAAAACCGUGGUAGAAGCGAGGGCGAGGAAAAUUUCGGGGAGUUCCCGGUUACGGUGAGCGGUCGGGGGUCGAGCGAUGCGCGUUUCUCUCGUACACGUACGCGCAUGUGUGCGAGGCAUUGGCUCUAACUGAACCCGAGUGAGGCGUUGGGCUCUAACUGAACCCGAGCGAUUGCACUGCAGGCUACGCGUUACUGAACCCGAGCGAUCGAUCGAUGGCUGUUAACUGAACCCGAUCAAGUGAUUUCUUCGCUACUGCUGCUAACUGAAGCCGAUCGAUGCUGCCUCUCUAGAUGAACAGUGAGCGUUGCACGCGGGGGGGGGGGGUGGAUGAACAGUGAGCGGUGACAUUGCCUCUGGAUGAACAUGACCCCGUGGUGUGGAGGGCUAGAUGAAUAGUAGACGGUGGAGGGGUGCCCGUGGAGGGGUGGUUGAACAGUAGCCGGUGGAGUAGCGCGCGGUGGAGGCUGGAUGAACAGGAGCCUGUGGAGGCUGGAAGAGGUCGACGGUGGAGAUGAACAGUAUCCCAUGGAGUCCCAUUUUGUGGUACGCCACACCCCUCCCGAUGAACAGGACCCCCGUUUCGACCGUAGCGCCCCAACACAAGUCCGUUUCGUCCAUUUUGCGGUACGCCACACCCCUCCCGAUAAAUAGGACCCCUGUUUCAAUCGUAGGAGGUCUGUUUCCUCCGUUUUGCGCUACACCACAUCCCUCCUGAUCAACGGGACCCCUGUUUCGACCAUAGGAGGUUCGUUUCCUCCGUUUUGCUGUACGCCAGACCUCUCCCGAUGAACAGGAUCCCGUUUCGAACGUGGCCAGUCGAACACAAGGCCGUUUCCUCCGUUCUGCGGUACGCCAGGCCUCGUUUCCAUCGCCUGUUCCGUCCAAGCCCUCCCGAUGAACACGAUGACGCAUUCCGUUCCGACCCAGCCGGUUGGCUGCCACGCGUUCCGUUGCCUCCCGAUGAACAUGACGCAUUCUGUUGCCUCCUCAUGAACACGACACAUUUUGUUGCCUCCCCAUGAACACGACGACGAUGAUGUUUCUCCGUUCCGACCCAGCCAUGUACACGAGACCUGGCCGUACGUAUGCGCGAGUAGGCGUUCGAGACCCUGCCCGUAUGUACGUAUGUGGCCGUAUUUUCUUUCUUGCACCCUGGCCGCUGUACUUACAUGUACAUGCUACGUGCGCGCCUCUACUACGACACGUGCGCGCCUCUACAACGACCAGUAUGUACGUACAUGUUCGCGACUAGAAUGACAACGCUAAGUACGCUUCGACCAGGUGGGUCCCGACUGACAGGCACUUCCUUGCCUGCGAAGAUGUGGCUGGUGGGUCCCAGCAGUCAGGGGGGCGAAUCUUUUUGGUUUUUUUUGCCCGGACGCACGUCCUUGCGUGCGAAGGUGUAGCUGGUGGGUCCCAGCAGCCAGGGGGGAAACGUUUUUUUGCGAAAUACGGUGGCCCGUCCGAUGGGUCCCAGUUGUCAGGUGGAGGAAUCAUUAUUUUCCGCGUAAUAAGGAGGCACUUCCUUGCUGUGGCCGUGGACCCAGCUGUCAGCCUCUCCACGUACAGUCCACGUCUGAUGGAAGUCGUUCCUUGACCACAUUGACCAUGCUGCACCGAGAGCACCAGGGAGGUGGACGAUAGUGAGGCCUAGGAAGGGGACGACACGGUGCCGGGGAAGAUGCCCACGCGGAGAGGAGUAUGAGGGUUCACUCAUUCGGCUGCGGUGUGAGGCUGCCGUUGCUGCAGGGCUUGGCCAGCGGUGGGAAUAGUAGGGGGCGGUGAGGCCUCCGCGGCUGCACAGCCGGCCACGGGAGGCAGGAGCAGGCGGCACGACCGACGCUGCUUUGGGCGGCUGGAGCAAGAAGACCAGAGGUUGAAGAAGCACUACAGCCGUUGGAUGGACAUCGUACGGUCACUGGAGCUAGAAUCGUUCAUAUUUACUAAGUUGACAAAGCCCUCCGUCCUCGUCAACUUAGUAGGCCCACAAGUCAGCCUCCCACCAAGGUGGGUCCUAGCUAGCAGGGGGAGUAUUCAUUUUUUUGUGCGUAAUGAGGAGGCACUUCCGGUGGGUCCGAGCUGACAGCGAGGGGAACAUUUUUUCGCAAAAUACGGUGGCCCGUCCGGUGGGUACCAGCAGUCAGGGGGGAAACGUUUUUUUGGCGAAAUAAGGUGGCCCGUCUGGUGGAUCCCUGCUGUCGGGUGGAGGAAUAAUUAUUUUGCGCGUAAUAAGGAGGCACUUCCUUGCGGCCGCCGUGGACCCAGCUGUCAGCCUCUCCACGUACAGUACUCUUCCGAUGGAAGUCGGUCGUUGACCACGCCGCGCCGAGAGCACCAGGGCGGUGGACGACGGCGAGGCCUAGGAAGGGGACGAUGCGGAGCCGGGGAAGAUGCAGCAGUGGAAGCCCGCGCGGAGAGGAGUACGAGGGUUCACUGGUUCGGCUGCAGUGUGAGGCUGCCAUUGCCGCAGAAUAACAGGGGGUGUGGGUGAGUGGAGGGAUGGCCUGGCCAGCGGUGGGAGUAGUAUGGGGGCGGUGAGGCCUCCGCGGUAGCACAGCCAGCCACGGGAGGCAGGAGUAGGCGGCACGACCGGCGCUGCUUUGGGCGGCUGGAGCAAGAAGACCACAGGUUGAAGAAGCACUACGGCCGUACGGUCACUGAAGCUAGAAUCGUUUAUAUUGACUAAGUUGACAAAGCACUUGGUACGCUCCAACUUAGUAGGCCCACAGGUCAGCCUCCGAAACGGUGCACCCCAGAUGACAAGGGGAGGAAUCAUUUUUUGGGCGGCCGAUGCUAAGAAUAUCUGAGAUUAAAGAAGAAGCACCACAUCCGUUGGAUAGACAUCCAAUGGCCACUACUGCUAGAACCGUGUGUUGACUAUAAUAAGUUGACAAAGCCUUGCAUACGCGUCAACUUAUUUUUUAGGGGACGCAUCACUUAGUAGGCCCACAAGUGCGUGGCAGAGAACUUAUAGCCCAUUUGCGAUUUGUAAGAAUGUACAGCCCAUUUUUGAAUUCAAAUGGAAUUUACAACAGCCCAUUUACAGUUUUUUAAAAGUACAACCCAUUUUCUAGCUAGGACAAUGAUUAAUAAUUUCAACCAACCGUUGAAGACAGAAUUCAAUAAGAUUUCCCACAUUUUUAUGGGAUCCGAAAUAUUUUUAUCCCGAAAUUUCUAGUCAGAUUAAAUAUAAAUUUGUAUUACAUAAAAAUCCAACAAAACAUUGCGCGCGCAACAAUGAAAAUUUAAGAUUUUCAAAAUCCAUAAAUAAUAUUUUAUAAACUAAUUUAGUGUUUGGUGCAUUUUUUAUAGUUACUGCCCAGUUUUUAUAAUUACAUCCCAUUUAUUAUUUUUUAAAGCCCAUUUUCCUGUUAAGCCUAAUACAUCCCUCCUAGGAAAGAUUUGCAGCCCAACGGGGCGGAGAAUAACAAGUUGACCUUGCCUGGGUAUUCCUCAAAAAAACGUAUAGCUAGGCUAGCCAUUUUCAUCUUGAAAAAAUUAGUAUCUGGGAUGGAUAUCUGGCCUGGGCUAGACGGGCCACAGCCCACCCAGUUAAUACCCUGCUCUCCUCUGAACAACAACGAAAUCAUCGCCAAGAAAAACUCUGCAGUGCUCACUCCUAAAAAACACAAAUACUGCUCGAGCUGCUUGGUCCCAGCUGUCGGCCGCACCUUGUGCAAUUCUCUCGUUUAUAUUGACUACUUAGGUUGACAAUGGUUUGGGACCGUGAUGUCAGGAAACCAGGAGAAAGCAAAAAAAAUAUAGUUGUACAUAAUAAGGAGGCACUUGCGUACGUACGGCUAUGGCCCUAGUGGGUCCCUAGUGUCAUCCAAUCAAAAUAAAGUCAUCUCCUGAAUCCGCAUGUUUGUUGACGAUGUUAAAAAUGCUCGGCGCCACGGCGAGUGCAACAACUCGAAGGACAACGGAGAGGGCCUCGCGGGCCCUACAGAUGCUCUGAUACAGCGCCCGCUGCUCAUUCAGGAAGCCAGGAUCAUUGGGCACCUAUGAGCACCUUCGAGAAACUGAGACGGCAUGAAACGGUAAGGCCGCGCUUGGGAGCUCUGGUUUAUUUCAAACCUGUAUUAACAUACAAGUGUAAUUUACUCGUCAUCGGAAACAACACAUAAAAUAUAGGCGUAAUGAAACCGAGGGCCCGAGGUCUGUAAGUAAAACCGGCGGGUUACGCGUGUAAUUUGAGAGACCAAUGUAUAUUUUACGAGCACUGCUAUAUGGACGACAUUACCAGACGAUACAUGAACGACGUGCGUAUCAUGCCAUCCAUGGGCAAGGCUGAAACAAUAGCUAACGGCUGGAUUAGCAAUCGUCCGAGUGUCGUUCAGUGUUUUUAUCGUGUGUGAAGUACUUAUGAUAUUUUACUAGUCGAAGUCGACCAACCAAGCGCUUCGCCAGAGACCAUCUGCUUUUCUUUACAAGCGUCAGUUUUACAAGCGGUUUUGGUUGGAAAACGAUGAUCCAAUCACGGCUUAAUAUCAUGAGUUGGUCGGAAGAUCAUAUGGUUUCACGUCUAACCUACCCGACUUGUCGUAUAGGCUAUGAAACAUCAAACGAUGAACUUCUUAAGCACGGAAACAACAGAAGAGGAUGAUCUUCUUAACAAGCAAAUCACUGGCAUUAGAUCGACAUGUAAAACAAUACGAAGCAUUAUUCUUAGGAGGCACGGUGAACAUCUCGUGAUGCCGCAUGCCACAACAUUCCAAGCUCAACUUUGCAAUCAAACACAAGGCCUGGCAUUACAUAGACAAUAUUCAGAACAAACUCUUAACAUAGGAAUAUCUCAGCAGAGUAACUAUUUACUUCUAAACUAAACACAGGAAUAGGAAAAAACACUCGACGCUGCUCACAGCAAGGGCGUCCCACUCAAAAAUAUCAAAUGCAUGUCUUCUCGCUAACAUCAAUGAGCAAAUUCUGACAAGGUUUUCCAAUUCCAAUAAUUAAACUAACGUCUUCUUGCUAACAUCAAUGAUUAAACUUUGACAAGCUUUUCCCAUUCAAAAUAUGUAAUUCCUAUGAUCGUGGAGUCCUGUUAUAGCUUCUUGUACUUGUUUGGGCACUUUUUGCCCAGGGCACUCCAUGUGUUGUUAAAUUGCCAAUGCUCUCUGCAGACUAGUCAUGUCACCAGCGUCUAAUAAUACUCUGUAAAGCUUCUCGGUCAUUCCUUUUGUAAUGUAGCGCAAAUAGUGACUGCUUCUUUCUGCAAAGUGGAAUGACCAACUGGACCCAGUAAUGCAGCAGUUUGCCUUGGACACAUUGGCUCCUUUUGUGCAGUUCAACUAAAAUCAAAGUCGGAAUAAAACCGAGCUUUAAUUUUGAUAUCCCUGUAAGCAACAGUAGGUAUAAGGGAAACAAUUUCUGAGAAAUAACGGUUGAUGACUUGUACUCCCAGAAGAAAAGCAUCUACUGAUCUACUUUAUCUUAAUGGGAAACAAAGCAGGAGAGUAGCAAUUCUCCAUCAGUGUGAUUCAUUCAUAUUGACUAAGACAUUAUCUUAACAAUGCCUUGUUCCAACAUGUAUAAAGAACAACAAAGCAGAAAAGUACCAUUCCUAAAACAAUGCAACUGAUUCAUUUUAACAGAGACAUUAUCUUAACAAUACCUUGGUUAAACAUGUAGAAAGAACUACAAAGCAGGAUAGUACCAUUCCUAACAAGUGUUGCAGUUUUGAACUAAGAUUCAGUAGUUAAUUAAUUCUAAGAGUGGCAUUGCUUAAUUUUACCAGCGGCAUUAGAUUAACGAAAAGCAUAAACAGUUCCAGGGGAGAGUGGGUGCAACAACAAUAUGUGCUUCCAUCUACUUAUAAAGGGGGUGAUGCAGAGUUUGUUGUAACAAAGCAACAAGCAUCAUGUCUGGGUUGCUCCCAUUUUUGUUCACUACUUAAUGUGAAAAGACAGCAAUACAAUAGCUUCAAUUCAACAUUUAUUUAAAACAGUACCAAUACAAGUAGCACAACAUCUCAAAGCACACUGCACAAUCAUGUGGAUGAAGGCCUGUACUGACCUUUCAUGAGACCACCAUGAUAAAAUACGAAUCUGCCAACACGAAUAGGAAAUCCAAUCUCGUUUUGUGCAGUUGCACUGAAAUCAAGAAAAGUGUUUCGCGUAGUGAAGCAAAAUGUCGCAAUAGCAACAAGUUGAAUAGAUAUCCCUGUUUAAACAGAGGCAAAAAAGGAAUCAAUUACUGGCUAAUAAAGGAGGAUGAAGCAUGCUGCCACAAAAAUGGUAAUACCGCCAAUCCCUAACAAGUGUUGCAGUUUUGAAAUAAGAUUUAGUAGUUAAUUCUGAGAGUGGCAUCAAUUACUGGCUUAUAAAGGGUGUGAUGCUGAAUUUGUUGUAACAAAGCAACAAGCAUCAUGUCUGGGUUGGUCCCAUUUUUGUUCACUACUUAAUGGGAAAAGACAGCAAUACAAUAGCUUCAAUUCAACAUUUAUUUAAAACAGUACCAAAACAAGUAGCACACCAUCUCAAAGCACACUGCACAUCAUGUGGAUGAGACCAAGAUUUGAAACAACUCGCCACGAAGACUGGAAACAAAUCUCGAUCUCCUUUUGUGCAGUUCCACCAAAAUUAAGCAAAGUCACUGGUGUGACAUUCAAGUUGAACUGCACAAACACUCUUAAAACAUAAGUGUUUCGAGUAGUGAAGCAAAAUGUCGCAAUAGCAACAAGUUGAAUCGAUACCCCUGUUUUAACAGAGGCAAAAAAGGAAACAAUUACUUGCCGAUAAAGGAGGAUGAAACAAACAGUGAUAGAAAGACGCAUCUAACUUAUCUUGGAUGGAAAACAAAGUAGGAUAGUAGCAUUUCUAAAACGGUUGCAUUGAUUCAUAUUAACAUAGACAUUCUCUUGAAAAAACAUUCGUUAAAAAUGUAAUUUACUUUUAAUAGCGGCAUUGCUUCAAUUUUCCGGCGGCAUUCUUAGAUUAACAACAACAAAUAGCUGUAUGGGACAUGCCAGCACCAUGUGCGCCCACACGUAUAAAUGGGUGAUGCAGAGUAUGUAGCCAAGCAGCAUAUAUGUGUCGGUCCCAUAUUCGUUCUCUUUGAACCUUUUUCCUAUGUGAGGGCAGCAAAUCUAGUCCUGCACAAACUACCCGACCCCCCAGUUUCUUUCCCUUUUCAACAAAGAGAUCGGUUCCUUAUAGAUGUGUGUACUGGGUUACCCCCUUUUUCCUUUUUCGACCAACAAAGCGGCUGGAUAGCCAGUCUAUACUACUUUCCGCUCCUCCUUUCCUCAUUGAACCACGUCCUUGAUUCUUGCUCCAGCCCACCACACCCUUCUUUCCUCUUUGAACUAAGACCUAGAGCAACAAGCAUCAACGACGAAAAAUUGAAACGUUACGCCUCCUUCAUGCAGCUAGAUCGAAAAAGAUCCACAUGCAGCUAGAGCAACGACGGUUUCAAAGAAACUUGUACCUUAGGGUCAUCGGGAUGUGGCAAGGCGUGCGGCAGAGGCCGGAUCUGCCCACACUACGUAUGACAGCGAGGAAGAAGGGGUCGGUGGCCCUCCCUCACAGGCGCUAGGUGAAAAAGAACAAUGCUGCACCUCCUCCCCUUCCCGGUGCGACGGGAUACGGACGCCUCCUUCACCAGCUGUGAGGAGGGGGAGAGAGACAAGAGGCCAACGCAGUCUUGUUUAGAUCAGGUGAAGAGAGGCCGAGUGACUGUGAAUAUAGCAAACCCUAGCAAAUGAACACUGAGCCUCCAGCGUGUAUACAUAUAUGUAGUGCGGCGAGAGUGUGGAGAGUGCAAACCCUAGCGAACAAGCGCUGAGGCUCCAGCUUAUAUAUAUAUAUAUAUAUAUAUAUAUAUAUAUAUAUAUAUAUAUAUAUAUAUAUACUAUUGUAGUACGGACUGAGCUCCGGUGCCUUCACUGGACCUGCUUUUGGCUGUAUGACAGGUGAGCCGGCCACAUUUUGGGCCCACCUGUCAUAAACCCAAAGGCAGGUGCACUAAGUCAAUGAAGCUGCGUCCAUAUAGUACUCUCGUGUAUACGACUAAUAUAUAGUGGAGUGGUUUUCUUAUUCUCUCCAUAACAAUCGUUUUAAAUUGUGUAAGUACGAAACAAAACUCUUUAUUUAAUGUACAGUGAAGAAAACUACUACUACUUCCGAUGAACUAACGAUCCACGCCCACGCGUCCUGGUCGCACUUCUUGUCCUUCACGUGCGGUACACUACCCUCCCUUAAGUGAACAACCACACAUGCGCCAAAUUAUCGGAAAUGUGUGAGAGUGUGUACAAAUAAAGAAUUUUAAUUUCAGUUAUCGGAAAGGUUUGAGAGCAUUACAAAGUUUGACUUCAGUCAAAUCUAAUAUGCGGAGUAAAUAAAAAUGGAGGGCUACUACGUCCAUCCGGGUUUUUAGUCCACACAUUUUUUAAAUCAAAGUUAAUAGCUGGACAAAUAAAAUUACAGAGGAGCUGGAGACAAAGUUGUGAGAAGGCUUAGAAAUCAAUACAAAACUUAUGCUAUUAGUACCAACGUCCUUCUUCGAGGAAACAUUUGGUUCAAAGCCAAUUGUGUGAUAAAAUUGCACCAACGUGAAAGCCGACUGCGUCUCCAACGGAACCAAGGUGAACAGACGAAGGAUAUCAUCUUUGUGUGUAACAAGCAAAGAUCACUGAUGGAAGACAACUUGUUUUUCAUUGAAAAUCGAUCAGCUUCACCAGCCGACGCAACCAUGAGGCGCAACCAUGAGCAUCGAUAGGUCAUCGUGGUGAUGCAUCAUCCAUUUGGCAUCAAGUUUGGGUGAGGCACCUAUGGAGUUCAACAAAUCCUCACUGUGGUCUGCUUCUUCUCAGUAAUCAAGCUCGAGGAAGGAAGAACCACGUGGCAGAGGACAGUGAGGCGGAACAACAAUGGCCAUCCAAUUUUCUGCAGUUCCACUAAAAUUGAGGAAGACAUGCCCGGGUAUGGAGACACGCAUUGUUGUUUCCAAAAAUAUAAAAAAGGGUUAGCAACGACAUCUCAAUUGUCAAUAAGAAUUAAUGAAAAGUACACCAACAAACAGAAGCAUCAUAAUUAUCUUGAUGGGAACUAAACCAGGAUACCCGAGAAAAAAACAUUUCUUUAUUUAACCAGUGAUAGUACUACCACCAUAUGGACAAUGACCGCACAACCACCAUGUACUUUUUGUCGAAACAACGUGUAUACGUCCACCGAGGAAUAAAUCAGGACAACUUUUCGAGUGGCAUUUCCUCUAUAAUAGUACUAGUAGGUGAUGUUGGACCAUCCGACGAACCCUAGCUACUACACAUGGGGAGCUGGGGAGUAGUCGCAUAGAAGAAAACCCGCACACAACGACCUGGGGAGCUGGACCAGUACAAGAAGUUAUACCUCAGGUGGGCGAGAUGUCGUUUAGGCGGGCGGGCGGGAUCUGCCCACACGACGGCAGCGAACAAGGGCGCGGAGGAUCUUCGUCCGUGCCAGCGCCGACUCCAAGAGGACGGUGCGCAUCGGCUUCCUCCGUCGCCGCCGGCGACAACGUCAACGCUGCACCUCCUCACCUCCCGCAGCGGACGGGAUUCGGCCGGAUCUGUGACCACCGAUGAGGAGAGAUAUAGAGUGGACACUGUCACCUUGUUUUGAUAUGGAGAGGGUGAGAGAGCGAGGCGCGAGAAACUCUAUCAAACAAUAGGCUAUAAUGGAGUAAAAAAAAUCUCCAUAGCAGUGGUUUUAAAUAGAAUACGCGUGUUCCCGGAAAAAAGAAACGAAAACUGGCGGACAAUUUUUUAAGGGCCAGUCUAGGACACAUCUAGAUGUGACAUAGUUAUGUCACAUCUAAGUUGAUGUCCACUCUGUUUGUGGUCUAUUUUUUUGUCCUAAUUUUUUUGUUUCUUGUUGCUACAUUAUAUACUUGUGGGAGCUUAGAUGUGAUAUCCUUAAAUAACAUCUAGAUGUGAAUUAGACAAACUGAUUUUCUAACGUACCAAGAAAGAAAACUCGAUCAAAAACACGCCCCCGCUUCCAGGUCGCGAGAGUCGUCGCACACACACACAUAGACAUAGACAUGCAUAUCCGUGUUUACGUAAAAUUCCAUUUCCAUCUCCAUCUCCGAUCAUAUUUGUCCAACUGGCACAUUAUUUACAUUGUUAAUUAUAUAAGCAGCAAUACUAACGUACAUCAUCUCUUGUUUGCGGACGUCUGGACCGCUGCCAUGGCCGGUCCUGACCAACCCGAACCCCCUUCAUCACCCGCGCAUGCUUCCCGCCCGAAACGGUCAGUGCCGCAUUCAUGCCCAGCCAGAGCGGACGCGACCUCUCACUAGCGCCGGCAUUGAAGCGGUGCGUCGGCCGAGAGAGCAUCGCCCGCGCCGCUUCCGGGUGCACGCGGCUGCUCCGCGUUCAAAGGUCGCAAUAGCCGGCUACAACAUGCAUGUAAAAAGUUCUUGGGAGUCCGUGCUACAGCUAGUUGUCCUCCCCCAACUCAUCAAUCUCUUCCAGUAGUGCUAGUACUCCAUGGCACGAUCCGUCGACAAGCAGGCGGGAAAGUUAUCCUAUACUCGGUUUGCAGUGAGUGGCAUGCCGAGCGACCAUGUGGUGUCGAGCCGUGGAGGAGGGUGAGACACGACCACGACAAACGUGAUUUAAAUGUUGGUUUUGUUCGAUGGCGCGAUCCAACGAAAUGAAACGUUGGUUUCUCUCCGUUUCCAUUUUUUCUCCGGAAAAACGGAAACUUUCCACUCCAUUUUCAUUCCUAUUCCAAGGUUGCCCCAUUACAACAUUCCAUCAAAUACAAAGGAAAACUAACACGCAUGCUGAUGCAUCUCAAUGAUUCACAGAUCAUAGCCAAUAUUUACUUCACAACUAAAGAAAAAAGUUGUGAGAGCGUGUACGAAAGAAAAACUAUUGAUGGGGUCACUACGACUUAAACGCUAAACCCUAAACAUGAUUUAAUUUCCUCGCCAGGUAGAACCUGUCGAAGGAAAGACGGCUGGCACCCUCGGAUCAUACGAUGCUUUUGUGCAGCUCCACUAAAAUCGACCUGAGCAUCCCUGAUGGCAAAGAUAUUGAAGAAGCGUGAUUAGAAUAAUAGUACUGGCACUAGUUCAUGAGACAUAAACUCAUCAUAAGUAGAAGCCGGUAGAAGUAGAGAAAGAUCGACAUGGAGAUGGAGCUACGGCAGUGGAGAAAGCCGGCUCCGAAAGGAAGAUGGACUACUUGGGACGUCGGGCUGUAGCUAGAAGGGCGGUUGGGACGCGGCAUCGGCCCAUACCGCGGUGACCCCCGAUUGGGACGCACCAACUGUGGGUUUUCUCCCUCGCCGAUAUCGACCGCGUCUAUGCAGAACAUUGUUCCCUUUCCCCAGCUGUGGGAUCAGUCCCGUCGUUCUAUGCUUGUGAAAAGAGCAACCUAAGCAAGCAGGCUUGUAGCUUAGGCUCCUGCUAGUGUAUACAUAGUGGUUUUCUUUUUCUCUCCAUAUCAACCAUUUUAUAUUGCGUACGUGUCAUUCAAGAGUGAAAUGAUGGUUGCAUCUUCCGACUAACUUACUGUGUGAUUUGACUGCUCCUUAGUGGCCCCUACACGUACUCCUCCUACGUGUAUGCAACAGUCACACAUACACAUGGACGCAAAAAUGCGCGCGACGCCCUAAUGCUUGCAUGUCUGAGCACACGAUGGAACACACACGGUCACGCUCAAGUGCUCAACCUACACAUGCAUGCACACACAUACUCAGUCAGGGUGAGCUAGUGACUGUAUAAACACCGAAAAAUAUAUAUAUUGAGCGCAAUGAGCGUAUUAUGAAGUCCACUGACCGUAUUUUUACAAAUAUACAGUGACAGACAGUGUAUUUAUCUUCUUUGAAAUUAAGCCAUAUUAACUGGAGAGGAGGCAAUAUGGACUAGCAUUACUUUUCUAUGUUCCGUCAACUUGCCGAACGAGGAGAAGGUUGCAGGUUGGGAGAAGCUUGCACGCGGUGGCUCGCAGGACAAGGAGAAACUUUUGACUAAUGCAAGCUCUCCCUCGCUCAGGCAGUGGACGUGCAACAGUUAAUUCGGUGUCAGAAUUGCCAGAAGCAUACACUAUACUACUAGUGCUAUUAUUGUUCGACUUCCCGAAUAGGCGAACAGCCAAGCGCAAAGUUUACUAGUAGUAGUAGUACUACUACUACUAUAGUCUAUAAAGGUAUGUAGUACUAUACUAGUACUAGGAACCGGAUGGAGGAGCGUCUGCACUCUUAUUAUAAUUUUAAAAUGUGAUAAAGCAAUCUUCAACACAUUAGGUUCUCUUUGAGGGUUCUCGCAUGUGAUAAUGGAAGUUGAUUGCAUGGAACACUCGCCACAAUUCUCACUUAAUUCUGGCUCAUAUCCUAUUACAAAUAGUAGUGCUCGGUAAUAUUUCCUCUUUUUUUGUUAUUCAACACGUAAACAAGUCAGCAAACCUUGUGGCACAUCUUUGUGUGAACCGUGCUUGCUGCACUUUGAAUGUGGCCGAGAGCUGGCUUGAUGAAACACCUCGCUUCCUACUUCUUUUUUGCGGGGUACCUCGCUUCCUAGUGACCAGUGUCUUGGCUGAUCGGCCUAAGAAUGCUUAUAUAUGAAUAAAGCUCUCUCAUUUACUCGCAAAAAAGAUUAAGCCAUAUUAACCGGAAAGGAGGGAGUAUGGACUAGCACUACUUUUUGGUGUGUCCUGUCAACUCACAGAACAAGGAGAAGCUUGCAGGACAAGGUGAAGCUCGCUUACGCCUUUUGACUAAUGCAACCUACACUCAGUGGACAUGCAUCAGUCCAUUUGGUGCUAGAUUGUCAGAGGCAUACACUUUAGUACCCAACAUGCGGAGUACCAUCAUUGUUCGACUUCACGAAGAGGCGAAGAGCCAAGCACAGUAGUACGAGCAGUACUACUACUAGAACCGCAUGGUGGAGCGUCUGUACUCUUAUUUUUUUAUCUCUGAUAAAGUACACAUUUAUUCCGGAGAAGGGCGGAAAAAGGCAGCCCAACAUGUAAUGAAUGAUAUCGAUCAACCAACCAUGCUCGAAUAUAUCUUGGCCCCCGUGCGAGCCUGUCUGUGUGUUCUCACUCCUCGUCUCUCUCAAGGAACGGCGGGUUGGCUCUUUGCCAUCAAUUGAGAUCGGUUUGCUCACACUCCUGUCCCACAUGUCAGUGAUAUGCCAAGAGGAGGUGCGUUGACCGACUGGCCAUACACGUACUUGGUUUUGCACCUUCAUACCACUCCUCCCUCCGUCACAGUUUACAGGGUGCGCUUCAUUAUGAUGCAUUUCUCUCAAUGCAUUUCCACCACCAGAGAGACUUCAGACGCAUUUGGUUUAAUGCUCAAUUAACUAGGGCGUGGUAACCACAAUCAAGUCCACAAUUUUCUCUCCAUGUACUAUACUACUAUGGAGUGGAGUAAGUGCAUGCAUGUGUGUACCUUGGGUGGAAGCACUGCAUGCAUGUGUCUACGCAUUAUUCCCUCUAGUAAUAGACACCGUGCUAUAACUACCAAUGCUAUUUUUUAGGCCGAUCGCUAGUCGCCUUGGUCCCAUAGAUUUUUUUUCUUUUUUCUGAAUCGCGCUCUAUAAACAGUGACGCAUGGAGUAGUAUGAGUGGAUUCAAAGAAGAGCGUAUUGAUGGUUGCUUCUUUCGAGCAACUUACAGUGGGAAAGGUGGGGCUUAUGAUUUGACUGCUCAUUACUCACUAUUAAUGCGGCGUAAUGACCGGGCUGAGUCUCCCAUGUGGUUGUGCACUACCCCCUCGAUUCUUAAAUAUACUCCGGAGUAUUUGUCUUUCUAGAGAUUUCAACGAGUGACUACUCAAAUAUUUAUCUUUUUAGAGAUUCAAAUGGACUACUACAUACGGAUAUAUAUAGACAUAUUUUAGAGUGUAGAUUCACUCAUUUUGCUCCGUAUGUAGUCACUUGUUGAAAUCUCUAGAAAGACGAAUAGAAUAUUUAGGAACGGAGGGAGUACACAUAUGAAGCAAAAUGAGUGAAUCUACACUCUAAAAUAUGCCCAUUUGAAAUUUGUAAAAAGACAAAUAUUUGGGAAUGAAGGAGUAUAAUUUUGUGCAUGGCACAUGGACCCGGAUGAUGAAGAGGCUUCUGGCAAUGCUAUCAAGCUUCCAUCAUUUGUUUACAUAAUUGACGUACUAUACAAAUAAUUUUCCAGCGACAUGAAAUUGUACAAUGGUGUGAGCUUUCAGCUUUUGUUUCGUGUGUCUUGCCAUCAAUGCUCUUUCGGAAACAAUAAAAAACUAACUUCAUGCUUUCAUUAGCAGCAAUGUCCCCCCAGCUCUGUCUAAAUCAACAAGGCAUGUUGGGAAAAAAGUAGCUGUCUGGAGCAUGCAACAUUCCGAUCAUUUUGUGCAGUUCCACUAAAAUAGAGCUGAGCGUCCCUGUUCCAAAGAUAUUAAGUGCGAUUACUAUAAUAGAGGACUGCUGAUGAAACAAUAAACAUACAAAUAGAAGCCGGUCACCUUUGUAGUCUCUCUUAACACUAACUAGUUGGAGAAGAUUAGGCUUGGAGUUGGAUGAGGAGGAUAGAGCAAAACCAAUCUCCCUUUGUGCAGUCGCACUGAAAUGUAGAGACAUCGCCCGUGUGACAUUUUAGUACAACUGCACAAAACACUCUUAAGAAAAAAGUGAUUUGUGUAGUUCACCAAAAGGUCGCAAUAGCAACAAGGUGAAAUGGAUAGCCCUGUUUGCAAAAAAGAGGUAGAAAGGAAACAAUUACUGGCCAAUGAUAGUUGAUGACACAUGCGACGACAAAAAAGAAGCAUAUUCCUUGUCCUAAGGGAAGAUAACAACAUGGUUGUGUUUGUCUAAGACGGUGUGAGGACGACAAUGCAAUAUGGAAAGUACGCGGACGUGCUACAUUUUGGGCAAAGAACUAUGGAAGAUCCACAUGCAGCGACGUGGGAAGACGGGUAGUGGAGCAAGGCCAGAGGGGAUACCUGGAAGUCGUCGGGAUGUAACUAGGUGAGUGGCGGCAGGCGGAAUCUGUGAGCAGGUGGCGUAGGCCCUGCCACGCCGGAGCUUGGUCAGAGAGAACGACGUGUAUCGCAGAUCAGGACGUGCUGCCUCGGCACCGUCGAACGGAGAAAUGAUGCACUUCCUCCCUUUCCCCCGGUGGACGGGAUGCGGCCGGAUCAGUGACCAACGGUGAGAGAGAGAGAGAGAGGCCACCGCACUCCCUUUCCCCCGGCGGACGGGAUGCGGCCGGAUCAGUGACCAACGGUGAGAGAGAGAGAGGCCACCGCAGCCUUGUGUGAGACACUCUGAAGAGCGACAAACCAGGCAGGCAGGCUCCAUUGUAUAUAGUGAGCGGACUACCUUUAUCUCCAUAAAAAUCAUUUAUAUUCUAUGUACGUGCCAUUGAGCGCUAUAACUUUAUUUAAAAAUAAUGCGGCAACGCGUCAAGUCGAACUUUGUUUCGUGCACGCGUGGUACACGACCUCCCUAGGUAAACAACCGCUACAGGCGUUCAAAUUAGCACGUGGGCCGCCAUUUCGUAAAGAAAUGAGCUCCACCGUGUACCCGCGCGGGUGUGGUUGGGCAUGAAGCGUGAGUAUGUGCACGGUGCACCUAUUCUCUUCUUGUAUACGUACACCACCUACGUGGGGUUGUGUGAGAGAGAUACAAACCUAGAGAGAUAUAGUGUGUGGGUUCUUGAGAGUUUUUUCUGGGGGGUGGGGGUCAAUCAAAAAAUGUAACAUAUGCAAUGUGUGUGAAAUAGAGUCCUGGAUAUAACAUAUAUAUAGAGGGGGCGAUCCACGAGAAGAGAGUGGAGGUAUCAUCGGUUUGAGGUGUCCAUAGAAUCGAAGAGAGGGAUGAUGUGUGUGUGUGUGCGCGCGCGCGCAAUCGAUAAAGAGUGCCAUCGAAUUUGUGUGUUCCCAUGUCAAAGAUAUAGAGUGGCUGGCCUACUGGAACGUGAGAGGGGACAUGUGCAGUUUGUCUCUGUGGCAUGGAUACUUACCUGCAGUGCUCGACUAUCGGUGUGUGGUGGGGGAAGAGGGAGACCCAAUUAACUAUAGAGGUACAAUGGCUGGUAUAUGUGUGGAGGAGGAGAGAGGCCUACCUCAUGUAUUAAGGAGAUUGAUCUGCCUCAUGUAUUAAGGGAGAUCGAUCGGCAUCCAUGCAUAUGUGCAUGAGAGGAAUAAGGUUGGGAGAGAGACAGAGCUAGAGUGCUGGAGGGGGUGAUAGUGGAGUUGCUUCUAACAAAUGGUGGGAUAGGCUUGCUAGACAAACGGAGGGCACGCCCGCAAUAUCAAUAAGAGAGGAGAUGGCUGCUUGUUGUCUGUGCACGUGCGCGUGAGAGACGGGUCAGGAGGCAUGCAAGAAUGAUGAGGGGGGACGAUGUGGCUGUGGUAAGCAGACAUAACUACAUAGGAAGAUCGAUCGCCCUUUGUUAGAGAAAGGAGAGACAUAACUUGUGAGGUACGUUGAUCGAUGGGGGGGUAGUUAAAGUCGAUCUAGGUAUAUGUUGGGAGAUCGAUUGGUAUACAUGCAUGUGUGUGUGUUAGAAGCAAAUGAGGCACAAGGAGAAGGAUAGAGAGAGAGGGAUGCAUCUAGGAGGUGGUACGAGAGGCAUACUAUAUCGAGGGGGAAGGAGUGUGCGAGUACGAGAACAAUGAAAAGAGUGGUGGGAGUGACGCAUGGAUGGUGACAAGAGAAGAGGGGAAGCUUGUGUUUCUGCUAGGCACACUUGGCUAGAGAGGCAUAUCAGUCGAUGUGUGCCGUAAAGAAGGAGCUGGGGGGCCUACACACACCAUGGGUGAACGACCUAAAGUGAAAAGAUGAAUUUGCACGAUGCAGCUAGAGAAUGCUGAGGGAGGGUGAGAGGGAUGCGGGUGUGUGCAUGCACAAGAGAAAGUUAGCGCUAGCUACAAAGAUAAGAGGGUUGUGUGGGUGUAGAAGAUGAAUAGAGAUCAUAUAUACUUCAUUAUAAAAAGCAAAUUCAGAUAUUUGAAGAAUUUAUCAUAGUGUUUUAAACCGACGCAUGUGUGAAUAUAUAUAACGGUGAUACACAUGGUGUGGUUAUGAACAUGUUAUACUACAUUUAAUAUAUUUUAUCUCUACUCUUAUAAAAAACGGAGUUGUUGAUGAUGGUGUGCCUGCCAUCCUGCAUUAUAGGUCGUCCGAUUUAUAUCUGGCAGAUAGCAAGGAAACUAUGAUGGUUGAAGUUGGCAACAAUCAUGAUUGUAGAUUCUUAUUGAAAUAGAGAAACGAAUUCAAAUUUAGUUCGAAUUGCAGCGGUAGUAUAGACAUUUGGAAUGCACUAAAAUGUUGGUAUGAGUAGGUUACAUGCAUUAUACAGCAAGCCAAAAAAAUUAAUCGGACAUAACAUGGAUUCAUACUCCCUCCUUCCAUUUAUAUAGGGCGUAAUGAUAUUUUUAAGACCGUCCUUGACUAUUGACAAGAUUAAUAGUACAUGACAUGCACAUGUGAAAAUUAUAUCAUUGAAAGAACCUUUCGCAAACGAAUUUAACGGUGUGCUUUGUGUAAGUUGCAUGUCAUAUAUUAUUGCUCUAAUAUUUGGUCAAAGUUAGCAUCGAAAAACGCAUUAGGCCCUAUAUAGAUGGAAGGAGGGAGUAGCUUUGAAUAGCAUUUUAUAGUAAAACGGGGCAAGACUCUCUCUUUGUGUGCUGUGAAUAGUUUUAUUUUUUUUUGUUUUCUUUUUGGUUGAGAGAAGUGCAAAUUGAUUUGGUACGUACAAGUAUAAUAUUACUACACAUUAGGCUUGUCCCUAAAAUUCAACCCGUGUCUUGUUAUAUCCUGAAAAUUCAGAUAUCGUGCUCCCAAAACCGGUGCCUUCACAACCCGCGCCUUGCUAUCCCGAAAUUACAACGCGCGCGAAAACUCCCUCCAGCUGCAAAAUCCCGACACACGAAAUCCCCCUUCUAACCCUGAGCCGAAAGGGCCGCUAGUUCAAAUCGGUGGGGGGUACUUUUGUAACACACCCUACAUUUUGGACAAGCGCGUCCCUAAGUCAUGCUUCACCCCCUCCCAUCGCCCCCUUUUCGCCAUUGGAAAUCCCAGGCCGCCAUAACCUCUUUGCUCCAGCCGCGAAACCCCACCCUCCUUCGUCCGCCACGUCACCGCUGCCCAGCGGGAGCCUCUUCCCCGACGACGUCAUCCACCGCAAUAGCUCGACGUCCCUCGUCCACCUCCCCGGAUGAGGAUCCGUCGUCCAUCUCGCCAUCCCGCCGGUUCAGCCACCCCGUCCUCCACCUCCAAGGAGCUGCUCCGACGAUCGCCUCGUCUAUCGCGGCCGCUCCAUCCCCACAGCGCCGCCUUAACCUGCUCCACCGGAACCGCAGCAUCCUCACCGACUCCUCGGACGAAGCCGAGGCCUACUAGGCGCCACCAAAGAGGUUGUACACUCAUCACGCCACACCUUCUCCUUAACUCGGCCUCCCGGUGCCGACGAUGCUCCAUCCUGCACCCCCAUGGAGUGGCUACCUUGAAGCCGGCGCCGCGAGCGACAUCUCCAUGGCGGCUCUCCCCUAGUGUGAGGCCCCUUCGGUAGCGGUGUCCAUACCAGCCAGAUCUACUGCUGCUGCUCCGGCUCUCGCUCACGCUGCUGCUGCUGCUCCGGCUCUCGCUCGAUCACUUGCUCGCCCAGCUGCUGCUGCUGCUCUCCCCCUCGCUCAUGUUGCUGCUCUGCUCCGAUUAAGCCACACUUCAGUCGACUGAAUCGACUUUUGGGUCAGUCGAUUUUUAGGGGUUAGGGGGGCUCGCCGGAGUUAAGGAAGAACCACCCGCAGCGGGGACGGGGGCUCGCCGGAGAGGUACCCCACUAUCUAUCUUAGGGUUCAGGGUGGGGCGAGGGGCCUAGAGGGCUGGCCGAGGCGGCGGUGGCGAGUUGUUUCGGGGCGGCGAGGCGGCACUGGGGCUGGUAGUUCGGCCGGUGGUGGCUGGUGGCUCAGGGGGGUGCAGGUUGAAGAUGAACUGCAGGCCCUCGCUAAACUACGUGUCAAGUGCCCCUCUGCUACCAUUGCAUUCAGUUUUGAUAGUAGCAUUCAGAUUCCAAAGUAAAUUUCAGUUUCGAUAGUUAAGUUCAGAGUCAAUAGUUUUUACCUCUUUUGUUGUAGUCAGGUGGUUUUUGGUGAUGUAAAUUUUACAUCCAUUUUACAUCAUCUAUUAGAGAUGCUAUUAGAAUCCCACUUGAGAUUGAGGAUGUCUGUCUUGUGCUGCUUCAGCCUUACGUCUUAUGGCUCACCAGAGCUGCUCCAACGACAGAACGAUCCAUCACAACAGAGCAGUGCCCUGGACGCCGUCUACAGAUUCCUCAGAUCUUCCUCCACACCUCUGAUAGCCACCUCUGCCUCAACUGCUUCAGCAGCCAACCCAAUGAUGCUGAGGUCGACAUGGCUACGACAAAGAGGUUGUACACUUGUUGCAUCACUUAUUACUAUACAUUCACGUCGAUCCAUUAGGGCUAUUUUGGUUCAACAGAAAAACGUCGAUCCACUGGUUGUUACCAAAUUUCUGCAUGCUCUCCUUACAUAAUCUCACCAUAUUUUUUUCGUAUGCAUGUCAGAUAUUGUACACAGUCAUGCUGCACAUGUACAGAAAAAGAGAAGAGUUUUGCGCGGCAAUACAAUGUCAUGCAGACAUCGCUCCAUGGUGGAUUCAAUGGCAAACCCUCCCCACCCCUCUCCAGAUUGUAAUCCAGAGGAAGAUAUCUGUUCUGAGGAGGAUUCAGACGCUGCUAACCACUCCUAUUUACCCCCCAAGGUGUUUGCUCUACCUUGGCAUGAUGAUGUUAGUCAUAUCAUGCAUAUGUUGCCUUGCAGUGCCUACUUUUGACAUCAUAUAUGUCAUCUGCUUAGUUUAGACAUGUUUUGUAAUGCCACCUGUUUAGUUUCUAUAUCAUAUAUGGGAAUUAUGCAGUCUCAUGUCUUUUAGCCAGCCAUAAUAUAUGUGAAAUGUGCAAUGCCAUCCUGUUUAACCAGGCAUCAUAUAUUUGAAUGAUAUCUUGACCAUCCUUUUCUUCAUUACAUUUCCAUUUGUCGACAAUGUUUGUACAUUAAACUACUCUUCCUGUGAAUCAGCCAUUUGGGUGGGAGAUGGAAAAAUCUGGAGUGAAAACAAGGCCUUCAGAGCAGACAGUGCUACAUGUCGAAGCAGAUCUCUUGUUGGGUCCCGAUAGCUCCUUAGAGAUGGAUUCAGAGACAGAUGACCAGUCCUAUUCCCCCACUGAGGUGUAUGCUCUAACUUGGCACAGUUAUACUGCUCAUAGCAUGCAUACGGUGUCUUGCAUUGCAUAGUUUAGACAUCAUCUACACAAUAUUCAACACCAUGUUCUUAGUUCAGACAUCAUAUCGAAUGCCCUCUAUUUAGCAUAUAAAUCACAUAUGUGAAUUAAAUGAUGCGAUCCUAAUUACUUAGAUAACAUGUAGGUGAAUUAUGUCAUGUGAUCCUGUUUAGUUAUUCAUCAUAUCUUUGAAUUAUGGUAUGCUAUGCUAUCCAGUUUAGAUAGACAUCAUAUAUGUGAAAUUAUGUCAUGCUAUCCGUUUUAGUUAAACAAUAUACAUGUCAACUAUUUCAUGCCCUCUUUUUCCACACUAUCUAUUGCAUUGUCUCUCAUACAAUGUCUGUACAUUCAACUAUGUUUCCUGUUUAUCAGCCAUUUGAAUUGGAGAGGGUGAUGCCAGUAUCUAGCGGACUAAAAACACGGUCUUCAAAUAAAACAGUGCUACCUCUUGGUGGAGAUAGCACCCCGGUUGUACAUGCACAAGAACCAGCUUCACCCAAUCUAACCCCAACCCCGGCCGAUAGUAACCCAGUUCCUGUUGACACAUCACCAUCUCCACCACAGAGCUCCCAAACAAGAGCAGUUAGUAAGGCAGCUCCCGUGCCCAAAGGGCCAGUACUAUCAUGGCGAACCCCAACUCCACCAGUUAGUACGCCUAUUCCUGUGGAGGAAGCACAACCAGCUAGUCGUAGUUUAGCAUCUAUCGCAUUUGAUGUUGUUAAAUCAUAUGUGCGUAUCUUCCCAUCUUGGAAAUAUUAUACUGAAGAUGAAGGAAAAAUGCCAGUUGCAGGUGUUUGUCCAGGAGUUAUGUGUAAGUAAUGUUAUUCAUGGCAAUUACUUUGCUUCGUCCCAUACAUCCUACCUCCAUGAUGGUUAUAAUACAACAAAUUUUCCCAUUUUUCUCUAUAGAGAAGGACCGAUUUGGAAACUCAGGAUGACGUAACAUGUGCUAAUACCUCUGCUAUCUUCAAGAAUGCUUGGUGGUAGUAUUGGAAUUACCUGAAGAAAACGUAUUUCACCGGCAAAGAAACUCAUCAAAUUCCCUUAUGUUCUCCUAAGACACAUUUACUGGACGAUGACUGGGAACGCCUUGUUCUGUACUGGUCCCAAACCAAGAAUGUGGUAAGGUCUAUGAGCUCAUUUUCUAUUUUUAAGUAUUAUAUUCUUGCGUCUUACUGUACUCUAUUCAUGUAGGACAAGUGCCUAAACCUAAAGAACAACUGUUCUAAUUUAAGAUUCCAUUGCUAUCAUAGUUCAAAAAGGCGCUAGGCGUUAAUUGUGCGUUUUGCCACCGCCUUGCGCUUUACUGACCAAAGCGCAUGCUUAUGCGCAGUUAUGCACAGAUUAAGCGUAGUUAUGCGCAAUGCGUUUUGCCAACGCCUAGAGCCUAGGCGCGCUUAAACGCUCGCUUAGGCGCGCCUUUUUUAACUAUGAUUGCUUUGCUCUUGUAUCACUGUAUUUACUCAUACAAACUUAUUUUCAAAUUGAAGGAUCCAAUUGAAACUCCAAUGGCACAGCAGGUAUGUCCACGCAUGUUUCUUUAACAGGUUUGCUCUUAUCAAUAGCUCUAUUGAUUUCAAUUUCAAUUGUGUAUACAGUUGACUUUCAUAUCAUGCACAUUACUAGCAUCACAACAGAGCCAAUAGUGUUGUUGUACAUGUAGACCCGUGGUACCCAUCUGAAAUCUUGUUGUGCCGUGUAGUUUCCCAUGCUUUGUAUUCUUUCAUUGCUGCUUUGUCUUGAACUGAUAUGAUUUGAACCGUGUCUCUACUUUGAUUUGGCAACACAAUGUAGUGACCAUAGGACAUAGAUAUAUGUUUGUUUGAUGAUUUUAUUAUGUACUAGUACUUGGAAAUAGAAGACUUGGUAGUUUAAUCCUGUCCACCUUACUAAUGAACUGGUUCACCGAAAUGAGUUUCAUAUACUAGUACAUGCUAAACUUGUUAUGUGUCUGCUUGUUUCUUCUUUUACAAUGCUGACAGAAUAUUGGGGAAGAGUGCCUUAUUAAGCAAUGGUAAAGGAAGUAAUGCAGAUAAGGUUCACGAUAGUGACACAUCCUUGUUGGUCUCCAACAAAGCUGAUAAAACAGCUAAGGAAGACUAUCUUGAAGAUAGCGAGACAACCCCAAAGUCCUGUCUUGGUUUACUGUUUGAGUUACUGGCCACUACCGCUUGCACAAGCUAUUCAAACUCACUGUCUGAAUCAGUUCGAUUUCUUGAGUCUCAACUACAAGCUGAAAGACAUCGAUCAGCUGUGCUGCGACAAGAAGCGGAAGGACUGCGGAAGUCCCUAGAGCAUUAAGAUGCAUACUUUCUGGUGCAACAGCAAGCGUCGGAGGAUUUUAGCGCCAAACAGGACAAAGCUAAUAAGCUUGCUAAGCUUAUUGCCAGCAUGGUGGAUACCCAGGAUAACGUUUCUUGAGCUCUUCUAAAGUUGUUUCAGUUAUGCUCUUGUUUUGCUGCCGUGUUUAUUUGCACUGGUGGCCAAUUUUGAUGACCAGUGUAUGUAAUAUGCUGCUUUGUUCCCUAUAUUUGCACUGGUGGCGAACUUUGAUGCCCAGUGAAUGUAAUAUGUGUAACAGCGGUAAUAGGCUAGCGUUAAUUGCUUGCUUAUUUAUUUCCUUAUUGUCUUGUUUAGUUGUUUGCUUGUAGUCACUGCAGUUCUUUUUGUGUGUUUUUCUAGUGGCCACAAUAGCCUACUUUUGGUAACUAGGCCAAAAUAAUCAUGGCAACACACGUACUGUUGUAACCAUGGGCCUCCUGCAGGCCGUAUGAUCCAUGGGCCUUCUUCCGGCCGUAGGAUCCAUUGGCCUUCUAUACGGGCCGUAGGAUCCAUUGGCCUUCUAUACGAGCCUUAGGAUUCAUGGGCCUUCUACAGGCCGUAGGGUCCAUGGGCCUUCUAUGGGCCAUACGAUCCAUGGACCUUCUACGGGCCGUACUAUCCAUGGGCCUCAUACGGGCCGUAGGAUCCAUGGGCCUUCUACGGGGCGUAUCAUCAUUUCGCCAAUCAUGGGCCGUACUAUUCAUGGACCAUAACGGGUCGUUAAUAGGCCGUAUUUGAUAACUCUAUGAAAACAGCCCAAUGGUUUUUUUUACAUGAAAACGGCCCAACAUAUUAACGGUCCGCAAACGGGCCGACUGUAACGACGAGCUGAAUUUGGCCCACAAACAAAAAAUGACAGUAACGGGCCGUAUGUAACCGAAUGCGGCAAAUGAGCCCAAGAAUCAAUGGGCCCUGAGAAGGCCGAAAGAUAAAUUGGGCUGGAACGGCCCAAUGGAAUAAUGGGCCAUUAAUGGGUAUAAAGUGAUACAUUGUUCAUUACGGGCCAGUUUCACCACGGGCCGUUAAUGGGCCAAGAGUUACAAAGGGCCUCAUAUGGGCCGAAAGAAGUCAUGGGCCACACAUGGGCCGGAAGUUAAAACGGGCUAGAAUCAUAUUGGAGGGCCCAUAUGACGCUACUGGGCCUAAUUCGGAGAGGUUGUAAUGGGCCCUGGGUUAGCGAGCUGUAAAUGGGCUAUAUGUGAACAGGCCGUUAACAGGCUUUCCGUGGGACGGCCCGCCACCUUUUGACCAAGUCAAACGGGUGGACCUUUUCAUAGGAAUGGGCCUCUGUUGGGCCGUGCCAUGUGUCGCCGUAUCAUAGGCGCCUUUGGUCCAAUGAGUGGAUGACAUCUGUCCCAACGGUGAGCCGACACGUGUUUCCUCCAGCCAAUGAUGAUUUUACACGUGGAAAAUCCCCAUUGGUCGGGGCUUUUAACGGGUUAUUGGAUCCGAAAUCGGACCCGAUAGCUUAACUGCGUUCCGUUACGGUGGAUGCCACGUGUUGGUCACCCUUGAUGAAAACACUUCUGUGAUGCACGAUUUAUCGUCAUGGAAGUGGACACUUCCGUGAUGAUAAUUUUGGUAAUGUCAUGGAACACUUCUACGACAUCACAAGUAUGACUAUCUUGAUUCUGUCAUAAAAUUGUCAUGGAUGUACAUGCAUGACAAAAAACGUGACCUACUGUGACAAACACGUAUCAUCACGGAAGUGUAUUUUUUUUUAGUGAUAUGAUCAACAUAGUGAUGUUCACCAUUGAAAACUACUCCAUCUCAUGUGAUGAUCGGACAUGGUUUAGUUGAUUUGGAUCACGUGAUCACUUAGAUGAUUAGAGGGAUGUCUAUCUAAGUGGGAGUUCUUAAGUAAUAUGAUUAAUUGAACUUUAAUUUAUCAUGAACUUAGUCCUGGUAGUAUUUUGCAAAUUAUGUUGUAGAUCAAUAGCUCGCCUUGUUGCUUUCAUAUGUUUAUUUUGAUAUGUUCCUAGAGAAAACUGUGUUGAAAGAUGUUAGUAGCAAUGAUGCGGAUUGGAUCCGUGAUCUGAGGAUUGUCCUCAUUGCUGCACAGAAGAAUUAUGUCCUUGAUGCACCGCUAGGUGACGGACCUAUUGCAGGAGCAGAUGCAGACGUUAUGAAUGUUUGGCAAAGCUUGGUACGAUGACUACUUAAUAGUUUAGUGCACCAUGCUUUACGGCUUAGAACCGGGACUUCAAAAAUUGUUUUGAACACCACGGAGCAUAUAAGAUGUCCCAGGAGUUGAAAUUAGUAUUUCAUACCCAUGCCUGUGUCAAGAGGUAUGAGACCUUUGACAGUACUUUGCCUACACGAUGGAGGAGAAUAGCUCAAUUAGUGAGCGUAUGCUCAGAGUGUCUGAGUACUACAAUUGCUUGAAUCAAGUGGGAGUUAAUCUUCCAGAUAAGAUAGUGAUUGACAAAGUUCUCUAGUCACCAUCACCAAGUUACUGGAACUUCGUGAUGAACUAUAGUAUGCAAAGGAUGACGAAAACGAUUCCCGAGCUCUUCGUGAUGUUGAAAUCGACAAAGGUAGAAAUCAAGAAAAGCAUCAACAGUUGAUGGUUGAAAAGACCACUAGUUUCAAGUAAAAGGGCAAAGGGAAAGAAAGGGAACUUUAAGACGAAUAGCAAGCAAGUUGCUGCUCCAAUGAAGAAGCCCAAAGCUAGACCAAAGCCUGAAACUGAGUGCUUCUACUGCAAAGGAAAUUGUCACUAGAAGUGGAAAUACCCUGAAUAUUUGGUAGAUAAGAAGGAUGGCAAAGUAAACAAGGGUAUAUCUUAUAUACAGGUUAUUGAUGUGUACCUUACUAGUGUUUAUAGUAACCCCUGGGUAUUUGAUGCUUGUUCGGUUGCUAAAAAUUAGUAACUUGAAACAGGAGUUACAGAAUAAACAGAAACUAGUUGAGGGUGAACUGGCGAUGUGUGUUGGAAGUGGUUCCAAGAUUGAUAUGAUCAUCAUCGCACACUCCCUAUAUUUUCGAGAUUAGUGUUGAACCUAAAUAAAUGUUAUUUGGUGUUUGCGUUAAGCAUAAAUAUGAUUAGAUCAUGUUUAUUGUGAUACGAUUAUUCAUCUAAGACAGAGAAUAAAUUGUUAUUCUGUUGAUAUGAAUAAAACCUUCUAUGGUCAUACACCCAAUAUUGAUGGUUUAUUGAAUCUUGAUCGUGGUGAUACACAUAUUCAUAAUAUUGAUGCCAAAAUAUACAAAGUUGAUAAUGAUAGUGCAACAUAUUUGUGGCACUGCCAUUUGGGUCAUAUCGGUGUAAAGCGCAUGAAGAAACUCCAUAAAGAUGGACUUUUGGAAUCACUUGAUUAUGAAUCAUUUGAUUCUUGCGAACCAUGCCUUUUGGGCAAGAUGACUAAAACUCCGUUCUCUGGAACAAUGGAACGAGCUGCUGACUUGUUGGAAAUAAUACAUACCAAUGUAUGCGGUCCAAUGAGUGUUGAUGCUCGUGGCAAGUAUCGUCAUUUUCUGACCUUCACAGAUGGUUUGAGCGGAUAUGAGUAUAUCUACUUAAUGAAGCACAAGUCUGAAACAUUUGAAAAGUUCAAAGAAUUUCAGAGUGAAGUGUAGAAUCAUUGUAACAACAAAAUAAAGUUUCUACAAUCUGAUCGUAGAGGAGAAUAUUUGAGUUAUGAGUUUGGUCUUCAUUUGAAACAAUGCAGAAUAGUUUCGCAACUCAUGCCACCUGGAACACCAUAGCAUAAUGGUGUGUCCGAACGUCGUAAUCAUACUUUACUAGAUAUGGUGCGAUCUAUGAUGUCUCUUAUCGAUUUACCAUUAUCGUUUUGGGGUUAUGCAUUAUAGACAGUUACAUUCACAUUAAAAAGGGCACCAUCAAAAUCCGUUGAGACGACGCCUUAUGAACUAUGGUUUGGCAAGAAACCAAAGUUGUCAUUUCUUAAAGUUUGGGUCUGCGAUGCUUAUGUGAAAAGGUUUUCAACCUGAUAAGCUCGAAGCCAAAUCGGAGAAGUGCGUCUUCAUAGAAUACCCAAAGAAAACUGUUGAGUACACCUUCUAUCACAGAUCCGAAAGCAAAAUAUUCGUUGCUAAGAUGGAUCAUUCCUAGAGAAGGAGUUUCUCUCGAAAGAAGUGAGUGGGAGGAAAGUAGAGCUUGAUAAAGUAAUUGUACCUUCUCCCAAAUUGGAAAGUAGUUCAUCCCAGAAAUCAGUUCCAGUGAUUCCUACACCAAUUAGUGAGGAAGCUAAUGAUGAUGAUCAUGAAACUUCAGAUUAAGUUACUACAGAACUUCGUAGGUCUUCCAAAGUACAGUCUGCAUCAGAGUGGUUCGGUAAUCCUGUUCUGGAAGUCAUGUUACUAGACCAUGAUGAACCUAUGAACUAUGAGGAAGUGAUGAUGAGCCCAGAUUCUGUGAAAUGGCUUGAGGCCAUGAAAUCUGAGAUGGGAUCCAUGUAUGAGAACAAAGUGUGGACUUUGGUUGACUUGCCUGAUGAUCGGCAAGCCAUAGAAAAUAAAUGGAUCUUCAAGAGGAAGACAAACGCUGAUAGUAGUGUUACUAUCUACAAAGCUAGACUUGUCGAAAAAGGUUUUUGACAAAGUUCAAAAUGUUGACUACGAUGAGUUUUUUCUCACUCAUAUCGAUGCUUAAAGUCUGUCCGGAUCAUGUUAGCAAAUGCCACAUUUUAUGAAAUAUGGCAAAUGGAUGUAAAAACUACAUUCCUUAAUGUAUUUCUUAAAUAAGAGUUGUAUAUGAUGCAACCAGAAGGUUUUGUCAAUCCUAAAGGUGCUAACAAAAUGUGCAAGCUCUAGUGAUCCAUCUAUGGACUGGUGCAAUCAUCUUGGAGUUGGAAUAUAUGUUUUGAUAAGUUGAUCAAAGCAUAUAGUUUUAUAUGGACUUGCGCUGAAGCCUGUAUUUACAAUAAAGUGAGUGGGAGCACUACAGUCUUUCUGAUAAGUAUAUGUGAGUGACAGAUUGUUGAUCGGAAAUGAUGUAGAAUUUUUCUGGAAAGCAUAAAGGAGUGUUUGAAAGGGUUGUUUAAACGAAAGACCUCAGUAAAGCUACUUACAUAUUGAGCAUCAAGAUCUAUUGAGAUAGAUCAAGACGCUUGAUAAGAUUUUCAAUGAGUACAUACCUUGACAAGUUUUUUAAGUAGUUCAAAAUGGAACAGUCAAAGAAAGAGUUCUUUCCUGUGUUGCAAAGGUAUGAAAUUUAGUAAGACUCAAAUCCCGACCACAACAGAAAAUAGAAAGAGAAUGAAAGUCAUUCCCUAUGCCUCAGUCAUAGGUUCUAUAAAAUAUGCCAUGCUAUGGACCAGACCUAUUGUAUACCCUGCCCUGAGUUUGGCAAGGGAGUACAAUGAUCUAGGAUUAGAUCACUGGACAUUGGUAAAAAUUAUCCUUAGUGGAAUAAGGAUAUGUUCUCGAUUAUGGAGGUGACAAAAAGGUUCGUCGUAAAGGGUUACGUCGAUGCAAGUUUUGACACUGAUCUAGAUGACUCUAAGUCUCAAUCUGGAUACAUAUUGAAAGUGGGAGCAAUUAGCUAGAGUAGCACCGUGCAGAGCAUUGAAUACAUAGAAUAUUUGCAAAAUACAUACGAUUAUGAAUAUGACAGACCCGUUGACUAAACUUCUCUCACGAGAAAAACAUGAUCAUACCUUAGUACUCUUUGGGUGUCAAUCACAUAGCAAUGUGAACUAUAUUAUUGACUCUAGUAAACCCUUUGGGUGUUGGUCACAUGACGAUGUGAACUAUGGGUGUUUAUCAUAUACAGAUAUGAAAAUUGGUGUUAAAUCACAUGAUGAUGUGAACUAGGUUAUUGACUCUAGUGCAAGUGGGAGGCUGAAGGAAAUAUGCCCUAGAUGCAAUAAUAAAGUUAUUAUUUAUUUCCUUAUUUCAUGAUAAAUGUUUAUUAUUCAUGCUAGAAUUGUAUUAACCGGAAACUUGAUACAUGUGUGAAUACAUAGACAAACAGAGUGUCACUAGUAUGCCUCUACUUGACUAGCUCAUUGAAUCAAAGAUGGUUAAGUUUCCUAGCCAUAGACAUGAGUUGUCAUUUGAUUAACGGGAUCACAUCAUUAGGAGAAUGAUGUGAUUGACUUGACCCAUUCCGUUAGCUUAGCACUUGAUCGUUUAGUAUGUUGCUAUAGCUUUCUUCAUGACUUAUACAUGUUCCUAUGACUAUGAUAUUAUGUAACUCCCGCUUACCGGAGGAAAACUUUGUGUGCUACCAAACGUCACAACGUAACUAGGUGAUUAUAAAUGUGCUCUACAGGUGUCUCCGAAGGUACUUGUUGAGUUGACGUAUUUCGAGAUUAGGAUUUGUCACUCCGAUUGUCGGACAGGUAUCUCUGGGCCCUCUCGGUAAUGCACAUCACUAUAAGCCUUGCAAGCAAAGACACUUGUCAGUAACGAGAUGAUGCAUUACAUAACAAGUAAAGACACUUGUCAGUAACGAGAUUGAACUAGGUAUUGAGAUACCGACGAUCGAAUCUCAGGCAAGUAACAUACCGAUGACAAAGGGAACAACGUAUGUUGUUAUGCGGUUUGACUGAUAAAGAUCUUCGCAGAAUAUGUGGGAGCCAAUAUGAGCAUCCAGGUUCCGCUAUUGGUUAUUGACCGGAGACAUGUCUCGGUCAUGUCUACAUAGUUCUCGAACCCGUAGGGUCGGCACGCUUAAAAUUCGGUGACGAUCGGUAUUAUGAGUUUUUGUGUUUUGAUGUACCGAAGGUAGUUCGGAGUCCCGGAUAUGAUCACGGUCAUGACGAGGAGUCUCGAAAUGGUUGAGACGUAAAGAUCGAUAUAUUGGACGACUAUAUUCGGACAUCGGAAAGGUUCCGAGUGAUUCGGGUAUUUAUCGGAGUACCGGAGAGUUACGAGAAUUCGCCGGGGAAUAUAUGGGCCUUAUUGGGCUUUAGGGGAAAGAGAGAGGGGAGGCUGUGCGCCCCCCAAGGCCUAGUCCUCAUUUGACUAGGGGGAGGGGCUGCGCCCCCUCCUUCUUCUCUUUUCCCUUUCCUUCUCUCCUACUCCUACUACAUGGAAGUGGGGGAAUCCUACUCCCGGUGGGAGUAGGACUCCCCAGGGCGCGCCAUAGUUGAGGGCCGGCCCUCCCCCUCCUCCACUCCUUUAUAUACGGGGGAGGGGGCACCCCAUGGACACACAAGUUGAUCUGUUGAUCUCUCCCAGCCGUGUGCGGUGGCCCCCUCUACCAUAUUCCACCUCGGUCAUAUCGUAGCGGUGCUUAGGUGAAGCCCUGCAUCGGUAGCAACAUCAUCACCGUCAUCACGCCGUCAUGCUGACGAAACUCUCCCGUGAAGCUCUGCUGGAUUGGAGUUCGCGGGACGUCAUCGAGCUGAACGUGUGCUGAACUCAGAGGUGCCGUACAUUCGGUACUUGGAUUGGUCGGAUCGUGAAGACGUAUGACUACAUCAACCGCAUUGUGCUAACACUUCCGCUUUGAGUCUACGAGGGUACGUGGACGACACUCUCCCCUCUUGUUGCUAUGCAUCACCAUGAUCUUGCGUGUGCGUAGGAAAUUUUUGAAAUUACUACGUUCCCCAACACAAAGCACAUCACUCCCCCCCAAAAUGGAAUGUUCCAUUAAUCUCUCACAAGAGCCAAUUAAGAUACAAACAAGAUGCAAAAAGGCUCAACACACAACUCACACAUACAUUAAGUGCAAACCAACAUACACAUACUUGAUUACUGAAGAUAAGCAAAUUGGAAGCACAUAUAUACAAACACAUGCAAGGUACAAAACGAAAACAUGCAAAGGGGCAAGUAACUUUCAAUAUAAACAAUUUAAGUACAAGUUACCGCAAGGAGACACAUUGGAUAUGAGAUAGAAACUUGAUAAUCCGAAUGACUUGGCUUGAGACAAUGAAUGAUGAAGACCCCUUAAUUCUUCAUAAUGUAGCCAAGUCUCCAAUGCCCUCCAACAACACCUAUUUAUCAAGUUUGAGCUUGUUGGUCCCCAACCAAGUUGGGUCCUAAGAGGUUAGUCACAAUAGGCUUGGCAACCCAAAUGGUUCUUUUCUUGACACCACUUUGAGUACCAACAAACUUGGCAAACACAUUGCCAACCUCAUCCUUCCUAAGAGAAUAGAUAUUAGCAAUGAUAAUUGGGUUGGAUAAGUUACCACUAGUCAUGAAGAAGCGACUUGACCUUUCUCACGACAUAAGUAGCAACGUCUACUCUUCAUUUUCUUCUCACUUGAUUUCUCAACAAGAGAAGCAUUAACUUGAGUCUUCUUGGGAAGUGGCCUUUCUUCAACUUGAGGUUGAGCAUGAGAUUGAACUUGUGGCAUCUUCCCUUGUUGCUUGUCACUAAUGGCCUUCUUCUUCAAUGGGCAAUAUCUAACAUGACGCCCUUCAAUUUUGCACUUGAAGCAAAUGAUCUUGGCCGAAUUCGUGAGUUGUUCUUGGCCCUUCUUGUUGUUUCUCUUGGACUCCUUCCUCAUAUUGGAGUUGAAUCCAAGUCCACCUUUGUCAUUGGGGGAUUUUUGCACAAUCAAGAUAUUUUUGAGUGUGGACUUCCCUUCAUGACACUUUUCCAAGUCUUUCUUCAAAAAAGUGAUUUCGUCCUUGAGCUCUUGGAUUUCCUCUACAUGGUUAGUAUCAACACAAGUGCUAGAGGAAGUAAAAGCUUCAUAGUUAGAGCAACAAGGCAAGGAAAGCAAUUCAUCACAAGAAGUGCCAAUGUUAUGCAUAGAUGAAUUACGUGGACUAGCACAUGGCAAGAUAUCAUUUUGACUUGAAUUAAUGCUAGUAUCCACAUGAGACUCACUAGAUGUUACCUUGAUAAUCAUAGCCUCAUGAGCUAUCUUUAGCACAUUAUGGGAUACUAGAAGAUCAUCAUGAGAGCUUGUGAGCUUUACAUGACUUUCUUCCAAUUUCCUAUAAGUGCUAGAUAGCAAUUCAAGUUGAGCCCUUAUCUCAACAUUCUCCUUCAAAAUGGAUGCAUCACUACAAAUAGAGUUAGUAGCACAAGCAUCAUCAAUAAUAGAAAGAGGAGAAGGCAACUUGUCAAGCUCUUUAGAGUAUGAAGCUUUAAGUUGAGCAUGAGACUUGGUGAGUUUGAUGAGCUCACUCUUAAUGACCCUUGAGCCAUUUUUGAGGUGCCCAAAGUCCUCAAGGAGUUUAGCAUGCGCAACUUCAAGCUUCUCAUAUUUAUUUACAAAGACAUUGUCCACCUCAAGAGCUCUAUCAUGAGAUUCCUUCACUCUAGAUAAUUCUAGAGAAAAAUUCUCCUCAAGAGAUUCCUUGGUGGUUUGUGCAAGUUCAAGAGCUUGGGAGAGGUCUGCAAUCUCAUUAGCGUAAUCACGCUCAUGACCUUACAUUUUUUCAAUGGCGACCUCAUGCUCCUCAAGACGAGAUUCCAACUCAUCAAUAUAUUUCUUACCCUCAAUAGCAAUAGACAUGAUUUCCGUGAAGUUGGAAUGAGCAAUUUUAUUCUUAAGAAGAGCUUUAAAAAUCAUUUCCCCCUAAUUUUUAAGGAGACAAAAGUAUCAUUCUCUUCAUCAUAAUCAACAUCAUCAUCAUUUUUGCCAUCAUCAAUAUCAUCACAAGAUAUAUUGGGAUUCAAAGUGGGAGAUACGUUUGAAGCCUUGGCCAUAAGGCAAAAUGCAAUAGAUGAUGAUGUAGGAUCCCUUGAAGCACCAUUCAAGACCACAUCUCGCUCCAUGGGGUGUUGGGUUUCCUCUACAUUGUUUGCACAAUAAUUCGAGGAAAUAGAUGCAUUUUUAUCAUGGCAACAAGACAUAGCAAGCAUAUCAUCAUGAGAUUUAGUCAAGCAAUUUCUACAUGAUAUGCAAGGACUAUCAACACAUGCACAUGAAACAUUUGGAGUGCUCGAAGUGCUAAAGUCCAAAGAUGAAACUUUGCAAUAAGAAAGUGAUGAAGGAUUAUCAACAAUAAUCCCACUAUCAUCAUUGCAAUGAAUACCACUACUCACCAUGUCAUUACCUUGUGGCAAACCACAUGUAGGUGAAGUAGAAGAAGUUGAGAACUCAACAUGGACGGAGGUGGAGGGAGAACAAUCAUCCCCACAAAACUUGGACACGCCAUAUUUAUCUUGAAGAUUUGUCCACAACUCAUGAGCGUCCCAGAACGGCAUGAGUUGAAUUAUAAGAACUCAAAGCAUCAAAAAGCACAUUAGAAGCUUGAGCACUGAGAUAAGAGUUUUUCUCAUCCUCUAAAGAUAAUCUUUGGGGGUCCAUUCGAGGAAAAAACCCCAUAUAUACAAUUCGCUCUAAAUUUGGGUCCAUGACCCGAAAGAGAUUAAGCAUGUGAAUUACCCAAACAUAAAGAUUUGUGCCAACUAAACUAGGGUGAGAGAAUCCUAAAACCCUAGUCGACAUCCUUACUCUCUAGGCGGUUAAGCCCUAUAAAGAGAGACGAGGCCCUGAUACCAAAUGAAAGAUCAAGGAUGUCGCCUAGAGGGGGGGUGAAUAGGCGCUUUAAAAUGAUUACGGUUUAGGCUUGAACAAAUGCGGAAUAAACCUAGCGGUUAAAUUGUCAAGCACAAAACCUACAACAACUAGGCUCACCUAUGCGAACCAACAACAUAUGCUAAGUAAGAUAAACAACUAAGUGAUAGAAAGAUAUAUGACAAGAAACAAUAUGGCUAUCACAAAGUAAAGUGCAUAAGUAAGGGGCUCGGGUAAGAGAUAACCGAGGCACGCGGAGACGUCAAUGUAUCCCGAAGUUCACACCCUUGCGGAUGCUAAUCUCCGAUUGGAGCGGUGUGGAUGCACAAUGCUCCCCAAGAAGCAAGAUGUCGUGAUUCCACUAAGGGACCCUUGAGGGCGGUCACCGAACCCGUACAAAUGGCAACCCUUGGGGAUGGUCAUCGGCACCCGUCAAAUUGCUCGGGGCGAUCUCCACAACCUAAUUGGAGACCCCGAUGCUUGCCCGGAGCUUUACACCAUAAUGAUUGAGCUCCUAACACCACCAACCGUCUACGGCGCCCAAGCACCUAAGAGGAACAAGCUCAAGGAUACCAAGGACCCAAGAGUAAUAAGCUUCUCAACUUGUAACUUCCAUGUAUCACUAUGGAGAACUCAAACCGAUGCACCAAAUGCAAUGGCAAGGGCACACGAAGUGCCCAAGUCCUUCUCUCCAAAAUCCCACCAAAGCAACUAAUGCUAGGGAAGAAAAUGAGAGGAAGAACAAGAAGGAGAACACCAAGAACUCCAAGAUCUAGAUCCAAGGGGUUCCCUCACAUAGCAAGAAUCCAUGGAGGGAUUGAGAGAUAGCAAGCCCGAAGACGGUCAACAAUGGGGGAAGAACACAAGCUCAAAGGAUAAGGUUCAUUGGGGAAGAAGACCCCCUUUUAUAGGUGGGAAAAAUCCAACCGUUAUGCUCACAGCCCGCACAGAGCGGUACUACCGCUAGGGCGGUGGAAGCCCUUUGAAAAACAACAGCGAGGAGGCAAAAGGUCGAUGGAACUACCGGAGCGGUAUGAUGUUUACUAUGCAACCUUCUUCUUGUAGACGUUGUUGGGCCUGCAAGUGCACAGGUUUGUAGGAUAGUAGCAAAUUUCCCUCAAGUGGAUGACCUAAGGUUUAUCAAUCCGUGGGAGGCAUAGGAUGAAGAUGGUCUCUCUCAAACAACCCUACAACCAAAUAACAAAGAGUCUCUUGUGUCCCCAACACACCCAAUACAAUGGUAAAUUGUAUAGGUGCACUAGUUCGGCGAAGAGAUGGUGAUACAAGUGCAAUAUGGAUGGUAGAUAUAAGUAUUUGUAAUCUGAAAAUAUAAAAACAGCAAGGUAACUAAUGAUAAAAGUGAGUGUAAAUGGUAUUGCAAUGAUAAAAAACAAGGCCUAGGGUUCAUACUUCCACUAGUGCAAGUUCUUUCAACAAUAAUAACAUAGAUAGAUCAUAUAACAAUCCCUCAACAUGCAACAAAGAGUCACUCCAAAGCCACUAAUAGCAGAGAACAAACGAAGAAAUUAUGCUAGGGUACGAAACCACCUCAAAGUUAUUCCUUCAGAUCAAUCUAUUCAAGAGUUCGUACUAGAAUAACACCUUAAGACACAAAUCAACCAAAACCCUAAUGUCACCUAGAUACUCCAUUGUCACCUCAAGUAUCCGUGGGCAUGAUUAUACGAUAUGCAUAACACAAUCUCAGAUUCAUCCAACCAACACAAAGUACUUCAAAGAGUGCCCCAAAGUUUCUACCAGAGAGUCAAGAAAACGUGUGCCAACCCCUAUGCAUAGGUUCAUCGGCGGAACCCGCAAGUUGGUCACCAAAACAUAUAUGAAGUGGCACGUGAUAUCCCAUUGUCACCACAGAUAAACAUCGCAAGACUUACAUCAAGUGUUCUCAAAUAAAGACUCAAUCCAAUAAGAUAACUUUCAAGAGGGAAGCUCAAUUCAUCACAAGAGAGCAGAGGGGGAGAAACAUCAUAAGAUCCAACUAUAAUAGCAAAGCUCGCGAUAAAUCAAGAUCGUGCCAUAGAGAGAACACAAGAGAGAGAGAGAGAGAGAGAUCAAACACAUAGCUACUGGUACAUACUCUCAGCCCCGAGGUUGAACUACUCCCUCCUCGUCAUGGAUAGCGCCGGGAUGAUGAAGAUGGCCACCGGUGAUGGGUUCCCCCUCCGGCAGGGUGCCGAAACAGGCUCCCGAGAGGUUUUUGGUGGCUACAGAGGCUUGCGGCGGCGGAACUCCCGAUCUAUCUUCUCCGUCGAUGUUUUUAGGGUAUGUAGGCUUAUAUAGGCGAAAGAAGUCGGUCAGGGGAGCCUCGAGGGGCCCACGAGAGGGUAGGGCGCGCCCAGGGGGUGGGAGCGCCCCCUUAUCUCGUGGCCUCCUCGAUGAUCUCCUGGCUUGCACUCCAAGUCUCCUGGGUCAUGUUCGUUCCAAAAAUAAGUUUCCCGAAGGUUUCAUUCCAUUUGAUAUUCCUUUUCUUCGAAAUACUGAAACAGGCAAUAAAACAACAAUAUGGGAUGGGCCUCCGGUUAAUAGGUUAGUCCCAAAAGUAAUAUAAAAAUGUAUAAUAAAGCCUGUAAUCAAUAAAAACAGAUAGGAUAAUAGCAUGAAUGCUUCAUAAAUUAUAGAUACGUUGGAGACGUAUCAGCAUCCCCAAGCUUAAUUCCUACUCGUCCUCGAGUAGGUAAUUGAUAAAAGAAAGAAUUUAUGAAGUGUGAAAUCUAGCAGGUGCACAAGUUUGAUCAAUGAUAAUUUCAAUCACCUUUUCUAGCAUGAUUAUAUGUCAUAACAGUAGUUCAUCUCAUGAAACUUCUCACGAACAAGUAACAAACAAUUCACAUGUUAAAGCAUAGACCAUAAACUUUCUUAAAAACUAGCAAACUUCAUUCUUAAUCAUCAAACAAUUGCAAUUCAUCUUAUUUUUAGGAAGGGUCUAUGUCAGAGCUUUAAUUUACCAAACUCCGCAUACUCAACUAUCAUAUAGUCUUCUACAAUUGCUAACACUCACGCAAUACUAGUGGUUAUGGAGUUUUAAUCGUACACUGAGAAAGGUAGGGGCUUAUAGUGUUGCCUCCCAACGUAUUCACCUUUGGGUGAUGUCAACAAUAAUAGUUCAUACUAACUCACAUCCAAUUGGAUAUAUAUAUCAGGAUCUUCCCAACACGAGGUGCUUGCCAAAGGAUAAAAUGAAAAAGGGAAAGGUGAAGAUCACCUUGACUCUUGCAUAAAGUAAAAGAUAGGCCCUUCGCAGAGGGAAGCAGAGGUUGUCAUGCGCUUUUAGGGUUGGAUGCACAAAAUCUUAAUGCGAAUGAACGUCACUUUGUAUUGCCACUUGUAUAUGGACCUUUAUUAUACAGUUCGUCGCUUUUAUUGCUUCCAUAACAAGAUCGUAUAAAGCUAUUUUCUUCACACCAAAAGAUCAUACAUAUUUAGAAAGAAAUUUUUAUUGCUUGCACUGAUGACAACUUACUUGAAGGAUCUUACUCAAUCCAUAGGUAGGUAUAGUGGACUCUCAUGGCAAAACUGGGUUUAAGGAUAUCUGGAAGCACAAGUAGUAUCUCUACUUGGUGCAAGGAAUUUGGCUAGCAUGAGGGGGAAUGGCAAGCUCAACAUGUUUGAAUGAUCCAUGACAAUAUACUUUAACUGAGAUGUCGGAAAACAUAACCCAUUACAUUGUCUUCCUUGUCCAACACCAACUCUUUAGCAUGUCAUACUUAAUGAGUGCUCCCAAUUAUAAAAGAUGUCUAGGGUAGUAUAUUUACAUAUGGAAUCUCUCUUCCUUCAAUAUUCUUUCAUUAAUUGUUCAAAUGACCAAUACAAUGCUUGCUAAGCUUCAAUAAAUUUACAACCUCUACUUCUUAGAUGUGAAGUCAUUACUCCCCAUGGGAUAAGCAAAUGAAACAUACAUAAUUUCAGAUUUAUGACAAUCAACUCAUUCAACAAUUUACUCAUAAGAUAUAAGUGAAGCACACGAGUAAAUGACAAACUACUCCAAAAAGAUAUAAGUGAAGAUCAAUGAGUAGCUAAAUAAUUAUGUAACUAUACGAAGACUCUCUCUCUCAUUUAAGAAUUUUAAAUCUUGGUAUUGUAUUCAAACAGCAACCAAAACAAAAUAAAAUUACACUGCAAGGAUAGCACAACUCAUGUGAAGAAGCAAAAACUUAGGCUCAACCGAUACUAACCGAAAAUUGUUGAAGAAAGGUUGGAUGCCUACCGGGGCAUUCCCAAGCUUAGAUGCUUGAGACUUCUUGGAAUGUUAUCUUGGGGUGCCUUGGGCAUCCCCAAGCUUGAACUUUUGUGUCUCCUUAAUUCCUCUCGUAUCAUGGUUUCUCUAUUUCUCAGAAGCUUCAUCCACACCAAACUCAACAAGAACUCGUGAGAUAGGUUAGUAUAAACCAAUGCAAAACUUUAUCAUUUUCUACUGUAACAAAUCACUAAAAUUAUUAUUCAACAUUGCAUACUAAAUGUCUCUGCAUAUUUAACACUCCUAUCCUCAAAUAUAAUCAUUAAACAACCAAACAUAUGCAAACAAUGCAACCAUAACAGCAAUCUUUCAAAACAGUACAGUCCGUAAAGAACACAAGAGUAUCAAUACUUACCUAACUCCAAAAAUUAUGAAAGAAAAUUCCCACUAUAGUAAAUUCAUCAGAUCUUAUUAUGCAAAACGUUUCAACAUUAUACCAUUCUCUGACUUUUCUAGGGAAUUUUUGCAACAGCGGUAAACUUUCUGUUUUCAAACAGCAACAUGUAUACUAGCAAAAUAAGCAUGGUAAAGGCCAUCCUUGACAUUUUUAUUGAAACUAAAGAUGCAAAAAAUUAUUCUAAAUAACAGAAAGAAAAUACUAACAAAAGAAAAUGACGCUCCAAGCAAAACACAUAUCAUGUGGUGAAUAAAAAUAUAGCUCCAAGUAAAGUUACCGAAGAACGAAGACGAAAGAGGGAAUGCCAUCCGGGGCAUCCCCAAGCUUAGGCUCUUGGUUGUCCUUGAAUAUUAUCUUCGGGUGCCUUGGGCAUCCCCAAGCUUAGUCUCUUGCAACUCCUAAUUCCAUAGUCCAUCGAAUCUUUACCCAAAACUUGAAAACUUCACAACACAAAACUCAACAGAAAACUCGUAAGCUCCGUUAGUAUAAGAAAAUAAAACCACCACUUAGGUACUGUAAUGAACUCAUUCUAAAUUCAUAUUGGUGUAAUAUCUACUGUAUUCCAACUUAUCUAUGGUUCAUACCACUUCAUACUAGCCAUAGAUUCAUCAAAAUAAUCAAUCAACACAUAGAAAACAGAAUCUAUCAAAAAAAGAACAGUCUGUAGUAAUCUGUAUCAAACGUGUACUUCUGGAACUCCAAACAUCCUACCAAAUUAGGAAGUCCUAAGCAAUUCGUGUACCAAUCCAGAGAAAAAAGAAUCAGAUCAAGAGCACAUUUCUGUGAAUUAACAAAACUAAUUUACUGGGUGCAAAAGUUUCUGAUUUUCAGCAAGAUCAACACAACUAUCACCGUAAGCUAUCCUAAAGGUCUUACUUGGCACUUUAUUGAAACAAAAGCUAUAAAAUAUGAUUACUACAGUAGCAUAAUCAUGUGGACAGACAAAAAUAGUAAGGAUAAAUAUUGGGUUGUCUCCCAACAAGCGCUUUUCUUUAAUGCCUUUCUAGCUAGGCAUGAUGAUGACAAUGAUGCUCACCUAAAAGAUAAGAAUGGAAACAUAAGGGGAGCAUCAUGAAGCAUAUGACUAGCAAAUUUAAGCCUAACCCACUUCCUAUUCAUAGGGGUUUUGUGAGCAAACAACUUAUGGGAACAAUAAUCAACUAUCAUAGGAAGGCAAAACAAGCAUAGCUUCAAGAUUUUCAACACAUAGAGAGGAAACUUGAUAUUAUUGCAAUUCCUACAAGCAUAUGUUCCUCCCCCAUAAUGAUUUUCAGUAGCAUCAUGAAUGAAUUCAACAAUAUAACCAGCACCUAAAGCAUUCUUUUCAUGAUCUACAAGCAUAGAAAAUUUACUACUCUCCACAUAAGCAAAAUUCUUCUCAUGAAUAGUAGUGGGAGCAAACUCAACAAAAUAAUUGUCACAUGAGGCAUAAUCCAAUUGAAAACUAAAAUCAUGAUGACAAGUUUCAUGGUUAUCAUUAUUCCUAAUAGCAUACAAGUCAUCACAAUAAUCAUCAUAGAUAGCAACUUUGUUCUCAUAAUCAAUUGGAACCUCUUCCGAAAUAGUGGAAUCAUCAGUAAAUAAAGUUGACACUCUUCCAAAUCCACUUUCAUAUUCAUCACAAUAAGAUUCAACAUCCUCCAAAAUAGUGGGAUCACUACUUCCUAAAGUUGAAACUCUUCCAAACCCACUUUCUUCAAUAUAAUCAUCAUAAAUAGGAGGCAUGCUUUCAUCAUAACAACUUUGCAUAUCAAAACUUGGGAUGCUAAGAAUAUCAUCUUAAUCAAACAUAGCUUCCCCAAGCUCGGGCCCUUUCAUAUCAUAAGCAUAAUCACUCUCAUCAUUAAAAAUAUGGAUAGCACCAAUAGUAUAGCAAUUAUCAUCAUCACCAUGAUUAGUAUGAGCAAUAUCAUUUGGGGGAUACCUUUUUACCUUUGUUGCUCCUUCUUUUCUUUUUCUUCUUCAUAUUAUGUGUGGGUUCAACCUUCCUCUUUGAGCUCCUUAUUGACGAGAUUGGUUGAAUAGAAAGCUCCUCCUUGUUACCUGAUUCAUAAGAAAUAAUAGGAGGAUAUUGGGAAGUCUCUUCCCUUUCAUUAUUAUUCUCAUAAUCUUCUAUUUGCUUUCUUUUCUUUAGGUAAUUGGCAAUAUAAGGAUUUUCAAUGCAAUUCACCGCACAAUACAAAUAAAUCUUCUCUAGAUUAAUAUCAAGGAAUUUCUUAUGGGCAAAUUCUAGAAGGUCCUUAAUUAAACGUUUCAAUUCUUCAUAACCUAAAAGAAAACUAAGUUCAUUGUAAUGAGAAAGGGAGAUCAAAUCAUCAAAAUUUUUGGACACGAUUCGAUCAUGAAACAAUUUGCAUAGGAGAUGUAAAUGACCACGUUCAUUGCAAAGUUCACAAGUACGGCAAAGGAAAUUUAAAUUUUCAGCACUCACAUUUAGCCUUUCUUGCAACCAUUUAGUUUCUAAAUGCUUGUGCCUCUUGCAAUAUCUAUCUUCCCUAUUUGGCGUGUACUUGCAAACCCAAUCUACUCCACAAAAAUCAACAUGCUUAUAAGAGCCAUUUUCAUCAUAACUAGUGCAAUCAUCAUUAGUACUAUGGAUAUUCAAAGAGUUUAUACUAACAACAUUGCAAUCAUGCUCAUCAUUGAAAGAUUUAGUACCAAGCAUUUUAAUGCAUUCUUCUUCUAGCACUUGAGCACAAUUUUCCUUUCCAUCAUACUCACGAAAAAUAUUAAAAAUAUGAAGCGUAUGAGACAAGCUUAACUCCAUUUUUGUAGUUUUUCUUUUAUAAACUAAACUAGUGAUAAAACAAGAAACAAAAAGAUUCGAUUGCAAGAUCCAAAGAUAUAUCUUCAAGCACUCACCUCCCCGGCAACAGCGCCAGAAAAGAGCUUAGUUGACGGGGUGUGGGAGCCGCUUACCUAGCCUCCCCGGCAACGGCGCCAGAAAAGAGCUUGAUGUCUACUACGCAACCUUCUUCUUGUAGACGUUGUUGGGCCUGCAAGUGCACAGGUUUGUAGGACAGUAGCAAAUUUCCCUCAAGUGAAUGACCUAAGGUUUAUCAAUCCGUGGGAGGCAUAGGAUGAAGAUGGUCUCUCUCAAACAACCCUACAACCAAAUAACAAAGAGUCUCUUGUGUCGCCAACACACCCAAUACAAUGGUAAAUUGUAUAGGUGCACUAGUUCGGCAAAGAGAUGGUGAUACAAGUGCAAUAUGGAUGGUAGAUAUAGGUAUUUGUAAUCUGAAAAUAUAAAAACAGCAAGGUAACUAAUGAUAAAAGUGAGCGUAAACAGUAUUGCAAUGAUAGAAAACAAGGCCUAGGGUUCAUACUUUCACUAGUGCAAGUUCUCUCAACAAUAAUAACAUAGAUAGAUCAUAUAACAAUCCCUCAACAUGCAACAAAGAGUCACUCCAAAGCCACUAAUAGCGGAGAACAAACGAAGAGAUUAUGGUAGGGUACAAAACCACCUCAAAGUUAUUCUUUCGGAUCAAUCUAUUCAAGAGUUCGUACUAGAAUAACACCUUAAGACACAAAUCAACCAAAACCCUAAUGUCACCUAGAUACUCCAUUGUCACCUCAAGUAUCCGUGGGCAUGAUUAUACGAUAUGCAUCACACAAUCUCAGAUUCAUCCAACCAACACAAAGUAAUUCAAAGAGUGCCCCAAAGUUUCUACCGGAGAGUCAAGAAAACAUGGGCCAACCCCUAUGCAUAGGUUUAUGGGCGGAACCCGCAAGUUGGUCACCAAAACAUACAUCAAGUGGCACGUGAUAUCCCAUUAUCACCAUAGAUAAACACGGCAAGACAUACAUCAAGUGUUCUCAAAUAAAGGCUCAAUCCAAUAAGAUAAGUUUCAAGAGGGAAACUCAAUUCAUCACAAGAGAGUAGAGGGGGAGAAACAUCAUAAGAUCCAACUAUAAUAGAAAAGCUUGCGAUACAUAAAGAUCGUGCCAUAGAGAGAACACGAGAGAGAGAGAUCAAACACAUAGCUACUGGUACAUACCCUCGGCCCCGAGGGUGAACUACUCCCUCCUCGUCAUGGAUAGCGCCGGGAUGAUGAAGAUGGCCACCGGUGAUGGGUUCCCCCUCCAGUAGGGUGCCAGAAUGGGCUCCCGAGAGGUUUUUGGUGGCUACAGAGGCUUGCGGCAGCGGAACUCCCGAUCUAUCUUCUCCGUCGAUGUUUUUAGGGUACGUAGGCUUAUAUAGGCGAAAGAAGUCGGUCGGAGGAGCCUCGAGGGGCCCACGAGAGGGUAGGGCGCGCCCAGGGGGUGGACGCGCCCCCUGUCUUGUGGCCUCCUCGAUGAUCCCCUGGCUUGCACUCCAAGUCUCCUGGGUCACGUUCGUUCCAAAAAUAAGUUUCCCGAAGGUUUCAUUCCGUUUGGACUACGUUUGAUAUUCCUUUUCUUCGAAAUACUGAAACAGGCAAUAAAACAGCAAUAUGGGCUGGGCCUCCGGUUAAUAGGUUAGUCCCAAAAGUAAUAUAAGAGUGUAUAAUAAAGCCCGUAAUCAUUCAAAAUAGAUAGGAUAAUACCAUGAAUGCUUCAUAAAUUAUAGAUACGUUGGAGACGUAUCACGGUACUAAAAAAAUACAUCCGUGCCUACCACCGCUGGACUUAUGAUGAGUUUUUGGUCCGGAGCGGAAGUAGCCAUGGAAGUAGCCGCGGUAGUACCGCUCCAAGUGGUAGUAUCGCUCCCAAUAGCGGUAGUAAAAAAUUACAUCCCCUCCAAGCGGUAGUACCGCUCCCAUGAGCGGUAGUACCGCUGCAACCUUUUUAAGGACACCAAAACUGACACAACUUCUGCAAACGGACUCCAAAUUCAACGAAACCAUGUUUGUUGAAAAGCUAGCAACAAGGGAUAACACAAUCUUUAUUGAAAUAACAAUAAGAAGGAAAUUAGAAAAGGCCCGUAAGAAAAUGGUGAGAACCCUUCCACGAAUAAGACCGGUAAAACCUCCAACACCGAAAACACAAUAGAAGAAGCAUGUGAACUCCGUUUUCGAUGAACUCGAGCUUGUCAAGAAGAUGACCAUAAGCUCCAAAUCUCACAAGGAUAAAACCAAACAAGAACCAAGAAAUAUGAUGCAAUCAUGCAAUGAUUUGAGCUCUCUACGAACGGUACGAUCAAGCUUCUCACUUGAGAGCCCCCCUUGAUAGUACAGCAAUCGAUCCUAUAACCCGGUAUCCAAACUACCACCAUGAGACCGGUAAAAUAGAGAACCUAUCAAGGCCAAACCUUUGCCUUGCACAAAGUCCACUUGAGCUAGAUGUAGACGGUCUUGACUUCCUCAAGUUGGACAACCUUUCUUGAUUGCGUUGGCUUGGUGAAGACUAGUAGAUUCUUCCCCCAUACUCCACCAUGCGUGAGCCACUCUUCGGCACAUGUUCACAAGUCCAUUGUCACCACAAUGGACGACAAUCUUCAAGCACUUGAUGUCUUUGUGAUGCAUCACUUGAACAUGUACACUGCAACCUAACCCCACAAAGAACUCUCACGAAGACCAUGGGUUAGUACACAAAGCAUAAUUGACAAUGCUUACCAUACCAUGGCAUCACUUGAUCCCUCUCGGUAAAUAUUCUAUGCUUUGUGUGUUGAUCAACUUGAUUCACUCUUUGACUUAGUCUUGAUCAGCUCUCACAUGACCAAUAUUUAGAUAAUACUUGAAUAACACCUUGGUCAUCACAAACUCUCCUUGAAACCAACAAAUGCACUCCAAGAAAAACCUAUGGACAAAUCCUUCAAAUAUAACUCAAGGCAACCAUUAGUCCAUAGAUAUUGUCAUUAAUUACCAAAACCAAACAUGGGGGCACCGCAUGUUCUUUCAGUAGUGAUUGAAGAACUCUGUCAAUGAAACUAUCAACAGGAAGAUUAACUCCCAACAGAGUCAUGUGGGUAUGGUACCCAGACAUUCUGAGUAUGUGUUCACUGAUAGAACUAUUCUCCUCCAUCUUGCGGCUAUAGGAACUUAUUUGAGACUUCAUAUCUCUCAACUCGGGCAUUUGCUUGAAAUAUUAACUUCAAUUCUUGGAAUAUCUCAUAUGCUCCAUGUCGUUCAAAACGUCUUUGAAGUCCCGAUUCUAAGCAGUAAAGCAUGGCACACUGAACUAUUGAGUAGUCAUCAACACACGACUACCAGCCAUUCACAAUGUCUGUAGUUGCUGGGGCAGGUGGUACACCUAUCGGUGCUUCAAGGACAUAAUUCUUGUGUGCAGCAAUGAUGAUAAUCCUCAAAUUACGGACCCAGUCCGUGUAGUUGCUACCAUCAUCUUUCAACUUAGCUUUCUCUAGGAAUGCAUUAUAAUUCAAGGGAAUGGUAGCACGGGUCGUUGGAUAUGCAAAAAACUAUCAGGACUAAGUUCAUGAUAAAUUAAAGUUCAAUUAGUCAUAUUACUAAAGAACUCCCACUUAGAUAGACAUCCCUCUAGUUAUCUAAAUGAUCACGUGAUCCAUAUCAGCUAAACCAUGUCCGACCAUCACGUGAGAUGGAGUAGUUUUCAAUGGUGAACAUCUCUAUGUUGAUCAUAUCUACUAUAUGAUUCACGUUUGACCUUUCGGUCUCAGUGUUCUGAGACCAUAUCUAGAUAUGCUAGGCUCGUCAAGUUUAACCCAAGUAUUCUGCACGUGGAAAAUUGGCUUGCACCCAUUGUAUGUGAAUGUAGAGCUUAUCACACUCGAUCAUCACGUGGUGUCUCGGCACGACGAACUAUAGCAACGGUGCAUACUCAGGGAGAACACUUAUAUCUUGAAAUUUAGUGAGGGAUCAUCUUAUAAUGUUACCGCCGUGCUAAGCAAAAUAAGAUGCAUAAAAGAUAAACAUCACAUGUAAUCAAAAUAUGUGAUAUGGUCAUCAUCAUCAUCUUGUGCCUUUGAUCUCCAUCUCCAAAGCACCGUCAUGAUCUCCAUUGUCUCCGGCUUGACACCUUGAUCUCCAUCGUAGCAUUGUUGUCGUCUCGCCAACUAUUGCCUCUACGAGUAUCGCUACCGCUUAGUGAUAAAGUAAAGCAAUUACAUGGCGGAUAUAUUUCAUACAAUAAAGCAACAACCAUAUGGCUCCUACCAAUUGCCGAUAACUUUGUUACAAAACAUGAUAAUCUCAUAUAACAAUUUAUAUCACAUCAUGUCUUGACCAUAUCACAUCACAACAAGCCCUGCAAAAACAAGUUAGAUGUCCUCUACUUUUUUGUUGCAAGUUUUACAUGGCUGCUACGGGCUUCUAGCAAGAACCAUUCUUACCUACGCAUCAAAACACAAAGAUUUUUUGUCAAGUGUGUUGUUUUAACCUUCAACAAGGAUCGGUCGUAGUCAAACUCGAUUCAACUAAAGUUGGAGAAACCGACACCCGCCAGCCACCUGUGUGCAAAGCACGUCGGUAGAACCAGUCUCAUGAACGCGGUCAUGUAAUUUCAGCCCGGGCCGUUUCAUCAAACAAUACCGCCGAAUCAAAGUAAGACGUUUGUGGCAAGCAGUAUGACUAUUAUCGCCCACAACUCUUUGUGUUCUACUCGUGCAUAUCAUCUACGCAUAGACCUGGAUCCGAUGCCACUGUUGGGGAACGUCGCAUGCAGUUUCAAAAAAUUUCCUACGAUCACGCAAGAUCUAUCUAGGAGAUGCAUAGCAAAGAGAGGGGAGAGUGUGUCCACAUACCCUCGUAGACCGAAAGCGGAAGCGUUAGUUAACGCGGUUGAUGUAGUUGAACGUCUUCACAAUCCAACCAAUCCAAGUACCGAACGUAUGACACCUCCGUGUUCAGCACAUGUUCAGCUUGAUGACAUCCCUCGAACUCUUGAUCCAGUAGAGGGUCGAGGGAGAGUUUCAUCAGCACGACGACAUGGUGACGGUGUUGAUGAUGUGAUCCGCGCAGGGCUUCGCCUAACCACUACAACGCUAUGAUCAGAGGAGUAAACUGUGGAGGGGGGCACCGCACACGGCAAAGAGAACAAUUGAUGUGUCUUUGGGGUGCCCCCUGCACCCGUAUAUAAAGGAGGAGGGGAGGAGGCGGCCGGCCAAGGGGCGCGCCAAGUGUGGGGAGUCCUACAAGGACUCCCAGUCCUAGUAGGAUUCCCCCUUCCUUUUCUGGAGUGGGAAAGGGGGAAAGAAGUGGAGAGGGAGAAGGAAAAAGGGGGGCUGCACCCCACCCCUUGUCCAAUUCGGAUUGGGCUUGGGGGGGCGCCACCUCCUGGCCACUGCCUCCUCUCUCCACUAAGGCCCAUGUAGGCCCAUUAACUUUCCCGGGGGGUUCCAGUAACCUCCUGGUACUCCAAAAAUGCCCGAACCUCUCCAAAACUAUUCUGGUGUCCGAACAUAACCUUACAAUAUAUCAAUCUUUACCUCUUGACCAUUUCGAGACUCCUCGCACGUCCGUGAUCUCAUCCGGGACUCCGAACAAACUUCGGUCACCAAAACACAUAACUCAUAAUACAAAUCGUCAUCAAACGUUAAGCGUGCGGACCCUACAGGUUCGAGAACUAUGUAGAUAUGAUCGAGACACAUCUCCGAUCAAUAACCAAUAGCGGAACCUGAUGCUCAUAUUGGAUCCUACAUAUUCUGCGAAGAUCUUUAUCGGUCAAACCGCACAACAACAUGCGUUGUUCCCUUUGUCAUCGAUAUGUUACUUGCCCGAGAUUCGAUCGUCGGUAUCAUCAUACGUAGUUCAAUCUCAUUACCGGCAAGUCUCUUUACUCGUUCCGUAAUGCAUCAUCCCAUAACUAUCUCUUUAGUCACAUUUCUUUCAAGGCUUAUAGUGGUGAGCAUUACCGAUAGGGCCCAAAGAUACAUCUCCGAUACACGAAGUGACAAAUCCUAUUCUUGAUCUAUGCCAACCCAACAAACACCUUCGGAGACACUUGUAGAGCAUCUUUAUAAUCACUCAGUUACGUUGUGAUGUUUGAUAGCACACAAGGUGUUCCUCCAGUAUUCGGGAGUUGCAUAAUCUCAUAGUCAGAGGAACAUGUAUAAGUCAUGAAGAAGCAAUAUCAAUAAAACUUAACGAUCAUGAUGCUAAGCUAACGGAUGGGUCUUGUCCAGCACAUCAUUCACUAGUGAUGUGAUCCCAUUCAUCAAAUGACAACACAUGUCUAUGGUUAGGAAACAUAACCAUCUUUGAUAACGAGAUAGUCAAGUAGAGGCAUACUAGGGACACUUUGUUUGUUGGGGAACGUAGCAGAAAUUCAAAAUUUUCCUACGUGUCACCAAGAUCUAUCUAUGGAGAAACCAACAACGAGGGGAAGGAGAGUGCAUCUACAUACCCUUGUAGAUCGCUAAGCGGAAGCGUUCAAGAGAACGGGGUUGAAGGAGUCAUACUCGUCGUGAUCCAAAUCACCGGAGAUCCUAGUGCCGAACGGACGGCACCUCCGCGUUCAACACACGUACAGCCCGGUGACGUCUCCCAUGCCUUGAUCUAGCAAGGUGAGAGGGAGAGGUUGAGGAAGACUCCAUCCAGCAGCAGCACAACAGCGUGGUGGUGAUGGAGGAGCGUGGUAGUCCAGCAGGGCUUCGCCAAGCACCGCAAGAUAUGAGGAGAAAGAGAGGUAGGGCUGCGCCAACAGGAGAAGAAACUCAUGUAUUGGGCUGCUCCUAUGCCUCCACUAUAUAUAGGGGAGAGGGGGCUGCACCCCCACCUAGGUUUCCACCCCUAGGGGGCGGCGGCCAGCCCUAGAUCCCAUCUAGGAGGGCGGCCAAGGGGUGGAGAGGGGGAAACUUGCCCCCCAAGCAAGGUGGGGCGCCCCCUCCCCAAACCCUAGGCGCCUAGGGCCCUUGUGGGGGGGCGCACCAGCCCACCUGGGGCUGGUCCCCUCCCACACUUGGCCCAUGCAGCCCUCCGGGGCCGGUGGCCCCACUUGGUGGACCCCCAGGACCCUCCCGGUGGUCCCGGUACGUUACCGAUAAAACCCGAAACUUUUCCGGUGACCAAAACAGGACUUCCCAUAUAUAAAUCUUUACCUCCGGACCAUUCCGGAACUCCUCGUGACGUCCGGGAUCUCAUCCGGGACUCCGAACAACAUUCGGUAACCACAUACAAACUUCCUUUAUAACCCUAGCGUCAUCGAACCUUAAGUGUGUAGACCCUACGGGUUCGGGAACCAUGCAGACAUGACUGAGACGUUCUCCGGUCAAUAACGAACAGCGGGAUCUGGCUACCCAUGUUGGCUCCCAAAUAUUCCACAAUGAUCUCAUCGGAUGAACCAUGAUGUCAAGGACUGAAUCGAUCCCGUAUACAAUUCCCUUUGUCUAGCGGUAUUGUACUUGCCCGAGAUUCGAUCGUCGGUAUGCCGAUACCUUGUUCAAUCUCGUUACCGGCAAGUCUCUUUACUCGUUCCGUAACACAUCAUCCCGUGAUCAACCCCUUGGUCACAUUGUGCACAUUAUGAUGAUGUCCUACCGAGUGGGCCCAGAGAUACCUCUCCGUUAACCGGAGUGACAAAUCCCAGUCUCGAUUCGUGCCAACCCAACAGACACUUUCGGAGAUACCUGUAGUGCACCUUUAUAGCCACCCAGUUACGUCGUGACGUUUGGUACACCCAAAGCAUUCUUACAGUAUCCGGGAGUUGCACAAUCUCAUGGUCUAAGGAAAUGAUACUUGACAUUAGAAAAGCUUUAGCAUACGAACUACGAUCUUUGUGCUAGGCUCAGGAUUGGGUCUUGUCCAUCACAUCAUUCUCCUAAUGAUGUGAUCCUGUUAUCAACGACAUCCAAUGUCCAUGGUCAGGAAACCGUAACCAUCUGUUGAUCAACGAGCUAGUCAACUAGAGGCUUACUAGGGACAUGGUGUUGUCUAUGUACCCACACAUGUAUCUGAGUUUCCUAUCAAUACAAUUAUAGCAUGAUAAUAAACGAUUAUCAUGAAUAAGGAAAUAUAAUAAUAAUAACCAAUUUAUUAUUACCUAUAGGGCAUAUUUCCAACAGUCUCCCACUUGCACUAGAGUCAAUAAUCUAGUUCACAUUGCCAUGUGAUUAACACUGAUAGGUCACAUCGCCAUGUGACCAGCAUCCAAAGAGUUUACUAGUGUCUAAACUAGUUCACAUCACCAUGUGAUUAAGUCUCAAUGUGUUCUGGGGUUUGAUCAUGUUUUGCUUGUGAGAGAGGUUUUAGUCAACGAGUCUGUAACAUUCAGAUCCGUAUGUACUUCGCAAUUCUCUAUGUCAUAUUGUAAAUGCUGCUUCCACGCUCCACUUGAAGCUAUUCCAAAUGGUUGCUCCACUAUACGUAUCCGGUUUGCUACUCAGAGUCACUCGGAUAGGUGUUAAAGCUUGCAUCGAUGUAACCCUUUACGCCGAACUCUUUAUCACCUCCAUAAUCGAGAAACAUGUCCUUAUUUACUCCAAGGACAAUUUUGACCGUUGUCCAAUGAUCCCCAUACCUGGAUUAUUCUUGUACCCCUUGACUGACUCAUGGCAAGGCACACUUCCGGUGCGGUACACAGCAUAGCAUACUAUAGAGCCUAUGUCUGAAGCAUAGGGGACGACAUUCGUCAUUUCUCUCUCUUCUGCCGUGGUCGAGCUUUAACUCUUAACUUCAUACCUUACAACUCAGGCAAGAACUCCUUCUUGACUGAUCCAUCUUGAACACCUUCAAGAUCAUGUCAAGGUAUGUGCUCAUUUUGAAAGUACCAUUAAGCGUUUUGACCCAUCUUCAUAGAUCUUGAUGCUCAAUGUUCAAGUAGCUUAAUCCAGGUUUUCCAUUGAAAAACACCUUUCAAAUAACCCUAUAUGCUUUACAGAAAAUUCUACAUCAUUUCUGAUCAUCAAUAUGUCAACAACAUAUACUCAUCAGAAAUUCUAUAGUGCUCCCACUCACUUCUUUGGAAACACAAGUUUCUCACAAACUUUGUAUAAACCCAAAAUCUUUGAUCAUCUUAUCAAAGUGCAUAUUCCAACUCCGAGAUGCUUACUCCAGUCGAUGGAAGGAUCGCUGGAGCUAGCAUACCUUUUAGCAUCCUUAGGAUCGACAAAACCUUUCUGAUUGUAUCACAUACAACCUUUCCUUACGAAAACUGGUGAGGAAACUUGUCUUGACAUCCAUCUGCCAGAUUUCAUAAAUGCAGCUAAUGCUAACAUGAUUCCAACAGACUUAAGCAUCGCUACGGAUGAGAAAAUCUCAUCGUAGUCAACUCCUUGAACUUGUGAAAAACUCUUCGCCACAAGUCGAGCUUCAUAGACGGUGACAUUACCAUCCACGUCUGUCUUCUUCUUAAAGAUCCAUUUAUCUCAAUGGCUUGCCGAUCAUCGGGCAAGUCCACCAAAGUCCAUGCUUUGUUCUGAUACAUGGAUCCUAUCUCGGAUUUCAUGGCUUCUAACCAUUUGUCGGAAUUUGGGCCCACCAUCGCUUCUCCAUAGCUCGUAGGUUCAUUGUUGUCUAGCAACAUGACCUUCAAGACAGGAUUACUGUACCACUCUGAAGUAGUACGCAUCCUUGUCACCCUACGAGGUACAGUAGUGACUUGAUCCAAAACUUCAUGAUCACUAUCAUAAGCUUCUACUUCAGUUGGUGUAGGUGCCACAGGAACAACUUCUUGUGCCCUGCUACACACUAGUUGAAGUGAUGGUUCAAUAACCUCAUCAAGUCUCCACCAUCCUCCCACUCAAUUUUCGAGACAAACUUUUCUCGAGAAAGGACCCGAUUCAAGAAACAAUCCCUAUUGCUUUCGGAUCUGAAUUAGGAGGCAUACCCAACUGUUUUGGGUGUCCUAUGAAGAUGCAUUUUAUCCGCUUUGGGUUCGAGCUUAUCAACCUGAAACCUUUUCACAUAAGCGUCGCAGCCCCAAACUUUUAAGAAACAACAACUUAGGUUUCUCCAAACCAUAGUUCGGUGUCGUCUCAACGGAAUUAUGUGGUACCCUAUUUAAAGUGAGUGCGCUUGUCUCUAAUGCCUAACCCAUGAACGAUAGUGGUAAUUCGAUAAGAGAUAUCAUGGUACGCACCAUAUACAAUAGGGUGCAACUAUGAUGUUCGGACACAGCAUCACACUAUGGUGUUCCAGGUGGUAUUAAUUGUGAAACAAUUUCCACAAUGUCUUAAUUGUGUGCCAAAGCUCGUAACUCAGAUACUCAUCUCUAUGAUCAUAUCAUAGACAUUUUAUCCUCUUGUCACAAUGACCUUCAACUUCACUCUGAAAUUACUUGAACCCUUCAAUAAUUCAGACUUGUGUUUCAUCAAGUAAAUAUAUAGUACCUACUUAAAUCAUCUGUGAAGUAAAACAUAACGAUAUUCACUGCAUGCCUCAGCACUCAUUGGACUGCACACAUCAAAGUGUGUUACUUCCAACAAGUUGCUAUCUUGUUCCAUCUUACUGAAACUGAGGCUUUUCAGUCAUCUUGCCUAUGUGGUAUGAUUUGCAUAUCUCAAGUGAUUCAAAAUCAAGUGAGUCCAAAUGAUCCAUCUGCAUGGAGUUUCUUCAUGCGUAUACACCAAUAGACAUGGUUUAAAUGUCUCAAACUUUUCAAAAACGAGUGAGUCCAAAGAUCCAUCAACAUGGAGCUUCAUCAUGCGUUUUACACCAAUAUGACUUACAUGGCAGUGCCACAAGUAAGAGGUACUAUCAUUACUAUCUUAUAUCCUUUUUGGCAUGAAAAUGUGUAUCACUACGAUUGAGAUUCAAUAAACCAUUCCUCUAGGUGCAAGACCAUUGAAGGUAUUAUUCAAAUAAAUAGAGUAACCAUUAUUCUCCUUAAAUGAAUAGCCGUAUUGCGAUAGACAUAAUCCAGUCAUGUCUAUGCUCAACGCAAACACCAAAUGACAAUUAUUUAGGUUUUUACACCAAUCUCGAUGGUAGAGGGAGUGUGCGAUGCUUGAUCACAUCAACCAUGGAAACACUUCCAACACAUAUCAUCAGCUCACCUUUAGCUAGUCUCCGUUUAUUCCGUAGCUUUUAUUUCGAGUUACUAACACUUAGCAACCGAACCGGUAUCUAAUACCCUGGUGCUACUAGGAGUACUAGUAAAGUACACAUUAACAUAAUGUAUAUCCAAUAUACUUCUAUCGACCUUGCCAGCCUUCUUAUCUACCAAGUAUCUAGGGUAAUCCCGCUCCAGUGGCUGUUCCUCUUGUUACAGAAGCACUUAGUCUCGGGUUUAGGUUCAACCUUGGGUUUCUUCACUGGAGCAGCAGCUGAUUUGCCGUCUCAUGAAGUAUCCCUUAUUACCCUUGCCUUUCUUGAAACUAGUGGUUUAACCAACCAUCAACAAUUGAUGCUCCUUCUUGAUUUCUACUUUCGCGGUGUCAAACAUCGUGAAUACCUCAAGGAUCAUCUAUCCCUGAUAUGUUAUAGUUCAUCACGAAGCACUAGCAGCUUUGUGGCAAUGAUUUUGGAGAAAGAUCACUAUCUCAUCUAGAAGAUCAACUCCCACUUGAUUCAAGUGAUUGUUGCACUCAGACAAUCUGAGCACAAUCUCAACGAUUGAGCUUUUCUCCGUUAGUUUGCAGGCUAAGAAAAUUGUCGGAGGUCUUGUACCUCUUGACGUGGGCACGAGCCUGAAAUCCCAAUUUCAGCCCUCGAAACAUCUUAUAUGUUCCGCGACGUUUCAAAAAAACGUCUUUGGUGCCUCAACUCUAAACCGUUUAACUGAAAUAUCACGUAGUUAUCAAAACGUGUAUGUCUGAUGUUCGCAACAUCCACAGACGACGAUUGGGGUUCAGCACACUAAGCGGUGCAUUAAGGACAUAAGCUUUCUACUGUCCGCAUAAUCGCUACUGUCAACUUUCAACUAUAUUUUCUCUAGGAACAUAUCUAAACAGUGGAACUAAAGAGCGAGCUUACGACAUAAUUUGCAAAGAUCUUUUGACUAUGUUCAGGAUAAUUAAGUUCAUCUCAUGAACUCCCACUCAGAUAGACAUCCCUCUAGUCAUCUAAGUGAUUACAUGAUCCGAGUCAACUAGGCCGUGUCCGAUCAUCACGUGAGACGAACUAGUCAUCAUCGGUGAACAUCUUCAUGUUGAUCGUAUCCACCAUACGACUCAUGCUCGACCUUUCGGUCUCUUGUGUUCCGAGGCCAUGUCUAUACAUGCUAGGCUCGUCAAGUCAACCUAAGUGUUUUGCGUGUGUAAAUCUGGCUUACACCCGUUGUAUGUGAACGUAAGAAUCUAUCACACCCGAUUAUCACGUGGUGCUUCGAAACGACGAACUUUCGCAACGGUGGACAGUUAGGGGGAACACUUUCUUGAAAUUUUAAUGAGGGAUCUUCUUAUUUACUACCGUCGUUCUAAGCAAAUAAGAUGCAUAAACAUGAUAAACAUCACAUGCAAUCAAAUAGUGACAUGAUAUGGCCAAUAUUAUAUUGCUCCUUUUGAUCUCCAUCUUGGGGGCUCCAUGAUCAUCAUCGUCACCGGCAUGACACCAUGAUCUCCAUCAUCGUGUCUUCAUGAAGUUGUCUCGCCAACUAUUACUUCUACUACUAUGGCUACCGGUUAGCAAUAAAGUAAAGUAAUUACAUGGCGUUGUUCAAUGACACGCAAGUCAUACAAUAAAUUAAGACAACUCCUAUGGCUCCUGCCGGUUGUCAUACUCAUCGACAUGCAAGUCGUGAUUCCUAUUACAAGAACAUGAUCAAUCUCAUACAUCACAUAUCAUUCAUCACAUUCUUCUUGGCCAUAUCACAUCACAUAGCAUACCCUGCAAAAACAAGUUAGACGUCCUCUAAUUGUUGUUUGCAUGUUUUACGUGGCUGCUAUGGGUUUCUAGCAAGAACGUUUCUUACCUACGCAAAACCACAACGUGAUAUGCCAAUUGAUAUUUACCCUUCAUAAGGACCCUUUUCAUCGAAUCCGUUCCGACAAAAGUGGGAGAGACUGGCACCCGCUAGCCACCUUAUGCACCAAGUGCAUGUCAGUCGGUGGAACCUGUCUCACGUAAGUGUACGUGUAAGGUCGGUCCGGGCCACUUCAUCCCACAAUACCGUCGAAACAAGAUUGGACUAGUAACGCUAAGCAUAUUGAACAAAAUCAACGCCCACAACUACUUUGUGUUCUAUUCGUGCAAAGAAUCUACGCAAUAGACCUAGCUCAUGAUGCCACUGUUGGGGAACGUAGCAGAAAUUCAAAAUUUUCCUACGUGUCACCAAGAUCUAUCUAUGGAGAAACCAAUAACGAGGGGAAGGAGAGUGCAUCUACAUACCCUUGUAGAUCGCUAAGCGGAAGCGUUCAAGAGAACGGGGUUGAAGGAGUCGUACUCGUCGUGAUCCAAAUCACCGGAGAUCCUAGUGCCGAAUGGACGGCACCUCCGCGUUCAACACACGUACAGCCCGGUGACGUCUCCCAUGCCUUGAUCCAGCAAGGUGAGAGGGAGAGGUUGAGGAAGACUCCAUCCAGCAGUAGCACAACGGCGUGGUGGUGAUGGAGGAGCGUGGUAGUCCAGCAGGGCUUCACCAAGCACCGCAAGAUAUGAGGAGAAAGAGAGGUAGGGCUGCGCCAACAGGAGAAGAAACUCAUGUAUUGGGCUGCUCCUAUGCGUCCACUAUAUAUAGGGGGAGAGGGGGCUGCGCUCCCACCUAGGUUUCCACCCCUAGGGGGCAGCGGCCAGCCCUAGAUCCCAUCUAGGGGGCGGCCAAGGGGUGGAGAGGGGGAAACUUGCCCCCAAGCAAGGUGGGGCGCCCCCUCCCCAAACCCUAGGCGCCUUGGGCCCUUGUGGGCGGGCGCACCAGCCCACCUGGGGCUGGUCCCCUCCCACACUUGGCCCAUGCAGCCCUCCGGGGCCGGUGGCCCCACUUGGUGGACCCCCGGGACCCUCCCGGUGGUCCCGGUACGUUACCGAUAAAACCUGAAACUUUUCCAGUGACCAAAACGGGACUUCCCAUAUAUAAAUCUUUACCUCCGGACCAUUUCGGAACUCCUCGUGACGUCCGGGAUCUCAUCCGGGACUCCGAAAAACAUUCGGUAACCACAUACAAACUUCCUUUAUAACCCUAGCGUCAUCGAACCUUAAGUGUGUAGACCCUACGGGUUCGGGAACCAUGCAGACAUGACCGAGACGUUCUCCGGUCAAUAACCAACAGCGGGAUCUGGAUACCCAUGUUGGCUCCCACAUAUUCCACGAUGAUCUCAUCGGAUGAACCACGAUGUCAAGGACUCAAUCGAUCCCGUAUACAAUUCCCUUUGUCUAGCGGUAUUGUACUUGCCCGAGAUUCGAUCGUCGGUAUGCCGAUACCUUGUUCAAUCUCGUUACCGGCAAGUCUCUUUACUCGUUCCGUAACACAUCAUCCCGUGAUCAACCCCUUGGUCACAUUGUGCACAUUAUGAUGAUGUCCUACCGAGUGGGCCCAGAGAUACCUCUCCGUUAACCGGAGUGACAAAUCCCAGUCUCGAUUUGUCCCAACCCAACAGACACUUUCGGAGAUACCUGUAGUGCACCUUUAUAGCCACCCAGUGACGUUGUGACGUUUAGUACACCCAAAGCAUUCUUACGGUAUCCGGGAGUUGCACAAUCUCAUGGUCUAAGGAAAUGAUACUUGACAUUAGAAAAGCUUUAGCAUACGAACUACGAUCUUUGUGCUAGGCUCAGGAUUGGGUCUUGUCCAUCACAUCAUUCUCCUAAUGAUGUGAUCCUGUUAUCAACGACAUCCAAUGUCCAUGGUCAGGAAACCGUAACCAUCUGUUGAUCAACGAGCUAGUCAACUAGAGGCUUACUAGGGACAUGGUGUUGUCUAUGUACCCACACAUGUAUCUAAGUUUCCUAUCAAUACAAUUAUAGCAUGGAUAAUAAACGAUUAUCAUGAAUAAGGAAAUAUAAUAAUAAUAACCAAUUUAUUAUUGCCUCUAGGGCAUAUUUCCAACAUUGUUUUGUCUAUGUAUUCUCACAUGCACUAAGUUGCCGGUUAAUACAAUUCUAGCGUGAAUAAUAAACAUUUAUCAUGAUAUAACAAAAUAUAAAUAACAACUUUAUUAUUGCCCCUAGGGCAUAUUUCCUUCACGUACCCCCUUGCCAAACUGAUGGCAAGGUACACAAUAGGUCUGAUACACAUCAUACCAUACUUUAUAGAACCUACGACUGAGGCAUAGGAAAUGAGUUUCAUUCUCUUUCUAUUUUCUGCCGUGGUCGGGUUUUGAGUCUUACUCAACUUCACACCUUGCAACACAGACAAGAACCCUUUCUUUGACUGAUCUAUUUUGAACUUCUUCAAAAUUUUGCCAAGGUAUAUAUUUUGUGAAAGUCCUAUUAAGCGUCUUGAUCUAUCCCUAUAGAUCUUGAUGCCCAAUAUAUAAGCAGCUUCACCGAGGUCUUUCAUUGAAAAACUCGUAUUCAAGUAUCCUUUUAUGCUAUCUAGAAAUUCUAUUUUCAAUCAACAAUAUGUCAUUCACAUAUAAUAUUAGAAAUGCUACAGAGCUCCCACUCACUUUUGUGUAAAUGCAGGCUUCUCCAAAAGUCUGUAUAAAACCAUAUGCUUUGAUCACCUCAUCAAACCGUAUAUUCCAACUCCGAGAUGCUUGCACCAGUCCAUAAAUGGAUCGCUGGAGCUACCAGGACCUACCAGGACCACUGGAUGACUCCACCUGUGGCCGUUAGAUCAGAAUCCCACGUCAUCUUUUCCCUUCCCCACUGCUUCGUCUCAGAUCAGAUCGAGAGAGAUGGGCACAUCGUUGACCUUCUGUAGACAAACUGCCCCCUGCAGGCUGCCUCUUCGGCGGCAACACGCCAUCUCGCCAUGGCCGUCGAUGCAUCACCGGCGCCUUCGCGGCCGUCGCCUUCACCAUGCCCACCGUCUCGCAAUCCGUUCGUGAUCUACGCAUCAAACCACGCCGUUGUGGCCCUUGCCACCGCCAGUUGUAACAUACUGUACACUCGCCGUCGCAGCCCUCCUGUCCGUCUCUGGUGCAGCUUCGAUGUCCCAGCAAAAAGAUGAGCAGCCAUCACUGUAGCGACCAGACCUCAAACAGUCUGAUCUCUGUGCAUCAGUGUCAUCCCUGGAUCGGUAAUGCUGACACGCACAGUACUUGAAGGACUUAUAAUAGAGUAGCAAUCACACACUUAUUACAUCGAAUGUCUCAAAAGAGAACUUAUUACAAUGAAUAUGGCUUAAGGCCAUCUAUAAAUGAUAACAACGGAAGGCUUGGAAGAUAAAGUGACUCCAUCAACUCCAACGGCAUCACUGAGUGAAAGAUCACGACCUAAGGCACCUUCCUCACGAAAGAUAUUAAAACGAUGAAGCAUAUGAGACAAGCUUAACUCCAUUUUUUGUAGUUUUUCUUUUAUAAACUAAACUAGUGAUAAAACAAGAAACAAAAAGAUUCGAUUGCAAGAUAUAAAGAUAUACCUUCAAGCACUCACCUCCCCGGCAACGGUGCCAGAAAAGAGCUUAGUUGACGGGGUGUGGGAGCCGCUUACCUAGCCUCCCCAGCAACGGCGCCAGAAAAGAGCUUGAUGUCUACUACGCAACCUUCUUCUUGUAGACGUUGUUGGGCCUGCAAGUGCACAGGUUUGUAGGACAGUAGCAAAUUUCCCUCAAGUGGAUGACCUAAGGUUUAUAAUUCCGUGGGAGGCAUAGGAUGAAGAUGGUCUCUCUCAAACAACCCUACAACCAAAUAACAAAGAGUCUCUUGUGUCCCCAACACACCCAAUACAAUGGUAAAGUGUAUAGGUGCACUAGUUCGACGAAGAGAUGGUGAUACAAGUGCAAUAUGGAUGGUAGAUAUAGGUAUUUGUAAUCUGAAAAUGUAAAAACAGCAAGGUAACUAAUGAUAAAAGUGAUCGUAAACGGUAUUGCAAUGAUAGAAAACAAGGCCUAGGGUUUAUACUUUCACUAGUGCAAGUUCUCUCAACAAUAAUAACAUAGUUAGAUCAUAUAACAAUCCCUCAACAUGAAACAAAGAGUCACUCCAAAGCCACUAAUAGCGGAGAACAAACAAAGAGAUUAUGGUAGGGUACGAAACCACCUCAAAGUUAUUCUUUCGGAUCAAUCUAUUCAAGAGUUCAUACUAGAAUAACACCUUAAGACACAAAUCAACCAAAACCCUAAUGUCACCUAGAUACUCCAUUGUCACCUCAAGUAUCCGUGGGCAUGAUUAUACGAUAUGCAUCACACAAUCUCAGAUUCAUCCAACCAACACAAAGUACUUCAAAGAGUGCCCGAAAGUUUCUACCGGAGAGUCAAGAAAACGUGUGCCAACCCCUAUGCAUAGGUUCAUGGGCGGAACCCGCAAGUUGGUCACCAAAACAUACAUCAAGUGGCACGUGAUAUCCCAUUGUCACCACAGAUAAACACGGCAAGACAUACAUCAAGUGUUCUCAAAUAAAGACUCAAUCCAAUAAGAUAACUUUCAAGAGGGAAACUCAAUUCAUCACAAGAGAGUAGAGGGGGAGAAACAUCAUCAGAUCCAACUACAAUAGCAAAGCUCGCGAUACAUAAAGAUCAUGCCAUAGAGAGAACACGAGAUAGAGAGAGAGCAAACACAUAGCUACUGGUACAUACCCUCGGCCCCGAGGGUGAACUACUCCCUCCUCGUCAUGGAUAGCGCCGGGAUGACGAACAUGGCCACCGGUGAUGGGUUCCCCCUCCGGCAGGAUGCCAGAACAGGCUCCCGAGAGGUUUUUGGUGGCUACAGAGGCUUGCGGCGGCAGAACUCCCGAUCUAUCUUCUCCAUCAAUGUUUUUAGGGUACGUAGGCUUAUAUAGGCAAAAGAAGUCGGUCGGGUGAGUCUCGAGGGGCCCACGAGAGGGUAGGGCACGCCCAGGGGGUGGUCGCGCCCCCUGUCUCGUGGCCUCCUUGAUGAUCCCCUGGCUUGCACUCCAAGUCUCCUGGGUCACGUUCGUUUCAAAAAAAAGUUUCCCGAAGGUUUCAUUCCGUUUGGACUCCGUUUGAUAUUCCUUUUCUUCGAAAUACUGAAAUAGGCAAUAAAACAGCAAUAUGGGCUGGGCCUCCGGUUAAUAGGUUAGUCCCAAAAGUAAUAUAAAACUGUGUAAUAAAGCCCGUAAUCAUUCAAAACAGAUAGGAUAAUAGCAUGAAUGCUUCAUAAAUUAUAGAUACAUUGGAGACAUAUCAGCAUCCCCAAGCUUAAUUCCUACUCGUCCUCGAGUAGGUAAAUGAUAAAAUAAAGAAUUUAUGAAGUGUGAAUGCUAGCAGGUGCACAAGUUUGAUCAAUGAUAAUUUCAAUCACCUUUUAUAGCAUGAUUAUAUGUCAUAACAGUAAUUCAUCUCAUGAAACUUCUCAUGAACAAGUAACAAACAAUUCACAUGUUAAAGCAUAGACCAUAAACUUGCUUGAAAACUAGCAAACUUCAUUCUUAGUCAUCAAACAAUUGCAAUUCAUCUUAUUUUCAGGAAGGGUCUACGUCAGAGCUUUAAUUUAGCAAACUCCACAUACUCAACUAUCAUAUAGUCUUCUACAAUUGCUAACACUCACGCAAUACUAGUUGUUAUGGAGUUUUAAUCGGACACUGAGAAAGAUAGGGGCUUAUAGUGUUGCCUCCCAACGUAUUCACCUUUGGGUGAUGUCAACAAUAAUAGUUCAUGCUAACUUACAUCCAAUUGGAUAUAUAUAUCAGGAUCUUCCCAACACGAGGUGCUUGCCAAAGGAUAAAAUGAACAAGGGAAAGGUGAAGAUCACCUUGACUCUUGCAUAAAGUAAAAGACAUAAAGUAAAAUAUAGGCCCUUCGCAGAGGGAAGCAGAGGUUGUCAUGCGCUUUUAGGGUUGGAUGCACAAAAUCUUAAUGCGAGUGAACGUCACUUUAUAUUGCCACUUGUAUAUGGACCUUUAUUAUACAGUCCAUCACUUUUAUUGCUUCCAUAACAAGAUCGUAUAAAGAUAUUUUCUUCACACCAAAAGAUCAUACAUAUUUAGAGAGCAAUUUUUAUUGCUUGCACCGAUGACAACUUACUUGAAGGAUCUUACUCAAUCCAUAGGUAGGUAUAGUGGACUCUCAUGGAAAAACUGGGUUUAAGGAUAUUUGAAAGCACAAGUAGUAUCUCUACUUGGUGCAAGGAAUUUUGGCUAGCAUGAGGGGGAAAGGCAAGCUCAACAUGUUUGAAUGAUCCAUGACAAUAUACUUUAACUGAGAUGUCGGAAAACAUAACCCAUUACAUUGUCUUCCUUGUCCAACAUCAACUCUUUAGCAUGUCAUACUUAAUGAGUGCUCCCAAUUAUAAAAGAUGUCUAGGGUAGUAUAUUUACAUGUGGAAUCUCUCUUCCUUCGAUAUUCUUUCAUGAAUUGUUCAAAUGACCAAUACAAUGCUUGCUAACCUUCAAUAAAUUUACAACCUCUACUUCUUAGAUGUGAAGUCAUUACUCCACAUGGGAUAAGCAAAUGAAACAUAUAUAAUUUCAGAUUUAUGACAAUCAACUCAUUCAACAAUUUACUCAUAAGAUAUAAGUGAAGCACACGAGUAAAUGACAAACUACCCCAAAAAGAUAUAAGUGAAGAUCAAUGAGUAGCUAAAUAAUUAUGUAACUAUGCGAAGACUCUCUCUCAUUUAAGAAUUUCAGAUCUUGGUAUUGUAUUCAAACAGCAAUCAAAACAAAAUAAAAUGACAUUGCAAGGAUAGCACAACUCACGUGAAGAAGCAAAAACUUAGGCUCAACCGAUACUAACCAAUAAUUGUUGAAGAAAGGUGGGAUGCCUACCGGGGCAUCCCCAAGCUUAGAUGCUUGAGACUUCUUGAAAUGUUAUCUUGGGGUGCCUUGGGCAUCUCCAAGCUUGAACUUUUGUGUCUCCUUAAUUCCUCUCAUAUCAUGGUUUCUCUAUUUCUCAAAAGCUUCAUCCACACCAAACUCAACAAGAACUCGUGAGAUAGGUUAGUAUAAACCAAUGCAAAACUUUAUCAUUUUCUACUGUAACAAAUCACUAAAAUUAUUAUUCAACAUUGCAUACUAAAUGUCUCUGCAUAUUUAACACUGCUAUCCUCAAAUAGAAUCAUUAAACAAGCAAACAUAUGCAAACAAUGCAACCAUGACAGCAAUCUGUCAAAAUAGUACAGUCUGUAAAGAAUACAAGAGUAUCAAUACUUCCCUAACUCCAAAAAUUAUGAAAGAAAAUUCCCACUGUAGUAAAUUUAUCAGAGCUUAUUAUGCAAAAGGUUUCAACAUUAUAACAUUCUCUGACUUUUCUAGGGAACUUUUGCAACAGCGGUAAACUUUCUGUUUUCAAACAGCAACAUGUAUACUAGCAAAAUAAGCAUGGUAAAGGCCAUCCUUGACAUUUUUAUUGAAACUAAAGAUGCAAAACAUUAUUAUAAAUAACAUAAAGCAAAUACUAACAAAAUAAAAUGACGCUCCAAGAAAAACACAUAUCAUGUGGUGAAUAAAAAUAUAGCUCCAAGUAAAGUUACCGAUGAAUGAAGACGAAAGAGGGGAUGCCAUCCGGGGCAUCCCCUAGCUUAGGCUCUUGGUUGUCCUUGAAUAUUACCUUGUGGUGCCUUGGGAAUCCCCAAGCUUAGGCCCUUGCCAUUCCUUAUUCCAUAGUCCAUCGAAUCUUUACCCAAAACUUGAAAACUUCACAACACAAAACUCAACAGAUAACUCGUAAGCUCUGUUAGUAUAAGAACAUAAAGCCACCACUUAGAUACUGUAAUGAACUCAUUCUAAAUUCAUAUUGGUGUAAUAUCUACUUUAUUCCAACUUAUAUAUGGUUCAUACCACUUAAUCUAGCCAUAUAUUCAUCAAAAUGAGCAAACAACAGAUAGAAAACAGAAUCUGUCAAAAACAGAUCACUCUGUAGUAAUCUGUAUCAAAUGUGUACUUCAGGAACUCCAAAAAUCCUACCAAAUUAGGAAGUCCUAAUAAAUUCGUGUACCAAUCCAGAGCAAAAAGAAUCAGAUCAAGAUCAUGUUUCUGUGAAUUAACAAAACUAAUUUACUGGGUGCAAAAGUUUCUGAUUUUCAGCAAGAUCAACACAACUAUCACCGUAAGCUAUCCUAAAUGUCUUACUUGGCACUUUAUUGAAACAAAAGCUAUAAAACAUUAUUACUAAAGUAGCAUAAUCAUGUUUACAUACAAAAACAGUAAGGAUAAAUAUUGGGUUGUCUCCCAACAAGCGCUUUUCUUUAAUGCCUUUCUAGCUAGGCAUGAUGAUGACAAUGAUCUCACCUAAAAGAUAAGAAUGGAAACAUAAUGGGAGCAUCAUGAAGCAUAUGACUAGCACAUUUAAGCCUAACACACUUCCUAUGCAUAGGGGUUUUGUGAGCAAACAACUUAUGGGAACAAUAAUCAACUAGCAUAGGAAGGCAAAACAAGCAUAGCUUCAAGAUUUUUAACACAUAGUGAGGAAACUUGAUAUUAUUGCAAUUCCUACAAGCAUAUGUUCCUCCCCCAUAAUGAUUUUCAGUAGCAUCAUGAAUGAAUUCAACAAUAUAACCAGCACCUAAAGCAUUAUUUUCAUGAUCUACAAGCAUAGAAAAUUUACUACUCUCCACAUAAGCAAAAUUCUUCUCAUGAAUAGUAGUGGGAGCAAACUCAACAAAAUAAUUGUCAUGUGAGGCAUAAUCCAAUUGAAAACUAAAAUCAUGAUGACAAGUUUCAUGGUUAUCAUUAUUCCUAAUAGCAUACAAGUCAUCACAAUAAUCAUCAUAGAUAGCAACUUUGUUCUCAUAAUCAAUUGGAACCUCUUCCGAAAUAGUGGAAUCAUCAGUAAAUAAAGUUGACACUCUUCCAAAUCCACUUUCAUAUUCAUCACAAUAAGAUUCAACAUCCUCCAAAAUAGUGGGAUCACUACUUCCUAAAGUUGACACUCUUCCAAACCCACUUUCUUAAAUAUAAUCAUCAUAAAUAGGAGCAUGCUUUCAUCAUAACAACUUUGCAUAUCAAAACUUGGGAUGCUAAGAAUAUCAUCUUCAUCAAACAUAGCUUCCCCAAGCUCGGGCCCUUUCAUAUCAUAAGCAUAAUCACUCUCAUCAUUAAAAAUAUGGAUAGCACCAAUAGUAUAGCAAUUAUCAUCAUCACAAUGAGUAGUAGGAGCAACUUCAUUUGGGAGGCAUACCUUUUUACCUUUGUUACUCCUUUUCUUUUUCUUCUUCAUAUUAUGUGUGGGUUCAACCUUCCUCUUUGAGCUCCUUACUUGACGAGAUUGGUUGAAUAGAAAGCUCCUCCUCGUUACCUGAUUCAUAAGAAAUAAUAGGAGGAUAUUGGGAAGUCUCUUCCCUUUCAUUAGUAUUCUCAUCAUCUUCUAUUUGCUUUCUUUUCUUUAGGUAAUUGGCAAUAUAAGGAUUUUCAAUGCAAUUCACCGCACAAUACAAAUAAAUCUUCUCUAGAUCAAUAUCAAGGAAUUUCUUAUGGGCAAAUUCUGGACGGUCCUUAAUUAAACGUUUCAAUUCUUCAUAACCCAAAAGCAAACUAAGUUCAUUGUAAUGAGCAAGGGAGACCAAAUCAUCACAAUUUUUGGACACGAUUCGAUCAUGAAACAAUUUGCAUAGGAGAUGUAAAUGACCAUGUUCAUUGCAAAGUUCACAAGUACGGCAAAGGAAAUUUAAAUUUUCAGCACUCACAUUUAGCCUUUCUUGCAACCAUUUAGUUUCUAAAUGCUUAUGCCUCUUGCAAUAUCUAUCUUCCCUAUUUGGUGUGUACUUGCAAACCCAAUCUACUCCACAAAAAUCAACAUGCUUAUAAGAGACAUUUUCAUCAUAACUAUUGCAAUCAUCAUUAGUACUAUGGAUAUUCGAAGAGUUUAUACUAACAACAUUGCAAUCAUGCUCAUCAUUCACAGAUUUAGUACCAAGAAUAUUAAUGCAUUCUUCUUCUAGCACUUGAGCACAAUUUUCCUUUCCAUCAUACUCAUGAAAGAUAUUAAAAAGAUGAAGCGUAUGACACAAGCUUAAUCCCUUUUUUUUAGUAGUUUUACUUUUAUAAACUAAAGUAGUGAUAAAACAAGAAACAAAAAGAUUCGAUUGCAAGAUCUAAAGAUAUACCUUCAAGCACUCACCUCCCCGGCAACGGCGCCAGAAAAGAGCUUAGUUGACGGGGCGUGGGUGCCGCUUACCUAGCCUCCCCGGCAACGGCGCCAGAAAAUAGCUUGAUGUCUACUACGCAACCUUCUUCUUGUAGACAUUGUUGGGCCUGCCGGUGCACAGGUUUGUAGGACAGUAGCAAAUUUCCCUCAAGUGGAUGACCUAAGGUUUAUCAAUCCGUGGGAGGCAUAGGAUGAAGAUGGUCUCUCUCAAACAACCCUGCAACCAAAUAACAAAGAGUCUCUUGUGUCCCCAAGGUGCACUAGUUCGGUGAAGAGAUGGUGAUACAAGUGCAAUAUGGAUGGUAGAUAUAGGUAUUUGUAAUCUGAAAAUAUAAAAACAGCAAGGUAACUAAUGAUAAAAGUGAGCGUAAACGGUAUUGCAAUGAUAGAAAACAAGGCCUAGGGUUCAUACUUUCACUAGUGCAAGUUCUCUCAACAAUAAUAACAUAGAUAGAUCAUAUAACAAUCCCUCAAAAAGCAACAAAGAGUCACUCCAAAGCCACUAAUAGCGGAGAACAAACGAAGAGAUUAUGGUAGGGUAUGAAACCACCUCAAAGUUAUUCUUUCGGAUCAAUCUAUUCAAGAGUUCGUACUAGAAUAACACCUUAAGACACAAAUCAACCAAAACCCUAAUGUCACCUAGAUACUCCAUUGUCACCUCAAGUAUCCGUGGGCGUGAUUAUACGAUAUGCAUCACACAAUUUCAGAUUCAUCUAACCAACACAAAGUACUUCAAAGAGUGACCCAAAGUUUCUACCGGAGAGUCAAGAAAACGUGGGCCAACCCCUAUGCAUAGGUUCAUGGGCAGAACCCGCAAGUUGGUCACCAAAACAUACAUCAAGUGGCACGUGAUAUCCCAUUGUCACCACAGAUAAACACGGCAAGACAUACAUCAAGUGUUCUCAAAUAAAGACUCAAUCCAAUAAGAUAACUUUCAAGAGGGAAACUCAAUUCAUCACAAGAGAGUAGAGGGGGAGAAACAUUAUAAGAUCCAACUAUAAUAGCAAAGCUCGCGAUACAUAAAGAUCGUGCCAUAGAGAGAACACGAGAGAGAGAGAGAGAUCAAACACAUAGCUACUGGUACAUACCCUCGGCCCCGAGGGUGAACUACUCCCUCCUCGUCAUGGAUAGCGUCGGGAUGAUGAAGAUGGCCACCGGUGAUGGGUUCCCCCUCCGGUAGGGUGCCGGACAGGCUCCCGAGAGGUUUUUGGUGGCUACAGAGGCUUGCGGCGGCGAAACUCCCGAUCUAUCUUCUCCGUCGAUGUUUUUAGGGUACGUAGGCUUAUAUAGCCGAAAGAAGUCGGUCGGGGGAGCCUCGAGGGGCCCAUGAGAGGGUAGGGCGCGCCCAGGUGGUGGACGCGCCCUUCUGUCUUGUGGCCUCCUCGAUGAUCCCCUAGCUUGCACCUCCAAGUCUCCUGGGUCACGUUCGUUCCAAAAAUAAGUUUCCCGAAGGUUUCAUUCUGUUUGGACUACGUUUGAUAUUCCUUUUCUUCGAAAUACUGAAACAGGCAAUAAAACAGCAAUAUGGGCUGGGCUCCGGUUAAUAGGUUAGUCCCAAAAGUAAUAUAAAAGUGUAUAAUAAAGCCCGUAAUCAUUCAAAACAGAUAGGAUAAUAGCAUGAAUGCUUCAUAAAUUAUAGAUACGUUGGAGACGUAUCACGGUACUAAAAAAAUACAUCCGUGCCUACCACUUCUGGACUUAUGAUGAGUUUUUGGUCCGGAGCAAAAGUAGCCAUGGAAGUAGCCGCGGUAGUACCGCUCCAAGUGGUAGUAUCGCUCCCAAGAGCGGUAGUAAAAAAUUACAUCCCCUCCAAGCGGUAGUACCGCUCCCAUGAGCGGUAGUACCGCUGCAACCUUUUUAAGGACACCAAAACUGACUCAACUUCUGCAAACGGACUCCGAAUUCAACGAAACCAUGUUUGUUGGAAAGCUAGCAACAAGGGAUAACACAAUCUUGAUUGAAAUAACAAUAAGAAGGAAAUUAGAAAAGGCACAUAAGAAAAUGGUGAGAACCCUUCCACGAAUAAGACCGGUAAAACCUCCAACACCGAAAACGCAAUAGAGGAAGCAUGUGAACUCUGUUUUCGAUGAACUCGAGCUUGUCAAGAAGAUGACCAUAAGCUCCAAAUCUCACAAGGAUAAAACCAACCAACAACCAAGAAAUAUGAUGCAAUCAUGCAAUGGUUUGAGCUCUCUACGAACGAUACGAUCAAGCUACUCACUUGAGAGCCCUCCUUGAUAGUACGGCAAUCGAUCCUAUAACCCGGUAUCCAAACUACCACCAUGAGACCGGUAAAAUAGAGAACCUAUCAAGGCUAAACCUUUUCCUUGCACAAAGUCCACUUGAGCUAGAUGUAGACGGUCUUGACUUCCUCAAGUUGGACCACCUUUCUUGAUUGCGUUUUUCGGUGAAGACUAGUAGAUUCUUCCCCCAUACUCCACCAUGCGUGAGCCACUCUUCGGCACAUGUUCACAAGUCCAUUGUCACCACAAUGGACGGUAAUCUUCAAGCACUUGAUCUCUUCGUGAUGUAUCACUUGAACAUGUACACUGCAACCUAACCCCACAAAGAACUCUCACGAAGACCAUGCGUUAGUACACAAAGCAUAAUUGACAAUGCUUACCAUAUCAUGGCAUCACUUGAUCCCUCUCAGUAAAUUUUCUAUGCUUUGUGUGUUGAUCAACUUGAUUCACUCUUUGACUUAGUCUUGAUCAGCCUCUCACAUGACCAAUAUUUAGAUAAUACUUGAAUAACACCUUGGUCAUCACAAACUCUCCUUGAAACCAACAAAUGCACUCCAAGAAAAACCUAUGGACAAAUCCUUCAAAUAUAACUCAAGGCAACCAUUAGUCCAUAGAGAUUGUCAUUAAUUACCAAAACCAAACAUGGGGGCACCGAAUGUUCUUUCAGUAGUGAUUGAAGAACUCUAUCAAUGAAACUAUCAACAGGAAGAUUAACUCCCAACAGAGUCAAGUGGUUAUGGUACCCAGACAUUCUGAGUAUGUGUUCACUGACAGAACUAUUCUCCUCCAUCUUGCAGCUAUAGGAACUUAUUGGAGACUUCAUAUCUCUCAACUCGGGCAUUUGCUUGAAAUAUUAACUUCAAUUCUUGGAAUAUCUCAUAUGCUCCAUGUUGUUCAAAAUGUCUUUGAAGUCCCGAUUCUAAGCUGUAAAGCAUGGCACACUGAACUAUUGAGUAGUCAUCAACACACGACUACCAGCCAUUCACAAUGUCUGUAGUUGCUGGGGCAGGUGGUACACCUAGCGGUGCUUCAAGGACAUAAUUCUUGUGUGCAGCAAUGAUGAUAAUCCUCAAAUUACGGACCCAGUCCGUGUAGUUGCUACCAUCAUCUUUCAACUUAGCUUUCUCUAGGAAUGCAUUAAAAUGCAAAAACUAUCAGGACUAAGUUCAUGAUAAAUUAAAGUUCAAUUAAUCAUAUUACUAAAGAACUCCCACUUAGAUAGACAUCCCUCUAGUCAUCUAAAUGAUCACGUGAUCCAUAUCAGCUAAACCAUGUCCGACCAUCACGUGAGAUGGAGUAGUUUUCAAUGGUGAACAUCUCUAUGUUGAUCAUAUCUACUAUAUGAUUCAAGUUUGACCUUUCGGUCUUAGUGUUCUGAGACCAUAUCUAGAUAUGCUAGGCUCGUCAAGUUUAACCCAAGUAUUCUGCACGUGGAAAACUGGCUUGCACCCAUUGUAUGUGAAUGUAGAGCUUAUCACACUCGAUCAUCACGUGGUGUCUCGGCACGUUGAACUGUAGCAAUGGUGCAUACUCAGGGAGAACACUUAUAUCUUGAAAUUUAGUGAGGGAUCAUCUUAUAAUGUUACCGCCGUGCUAAGCAAAAUAAGAUGCAUAAAAGAUAAACAUCACAUGCAAUCAAAAUAUGUGAUAUGGCCAUCAUCAUCAUCUUGUGCCUUUGAUCUCCAUCUCCAAAGCAGCUUCAUGAUCUCCAUUGUCUCCGCUUGACACCUUGAUCUCCAUCGUAGCAUUGUUGUCGUCUCGCCAACUAUUGCCUCUACGACUAUCGCUACCGCUUAGUGAUAAAGUAAAGCAAUUACAUGGCGGAUGUAUUUCAUACAAUAAAGCAACAACCAUAUGGCUCCUGCCAAUUGCCGAUAACUUUGUUACAAAACAUGAUAAUCUCAUAUAACAAUUUAUAUCACAUCAUGUCUUGACCAUAUCACAUCACAACAAGCCCUGCAAAAACAAGUUAGAUGUCCUCUACUUUCUUGUUGCAUGUUUUACAUGGCUGCUACGGGCUUCUAGCAAGAACCAUUCUUACCUACGCAUCAAAACACAAAGAUUUUUUGUCAAGUGUGCUGUUUUAACCUUCAACAAGGAUCGGCCAUAGUCAAACUCGAUUCAACUAAAGUUGGAGAAACAGACACCCGCCAUCCACCUGUGUGCAAAGCACGUCGGUAGAACCAGUCUCAUGAACGUGGUCAUGUAAUGUCGGCCCAGGCCGCUUCAUCAAACAAUACCGCCGAAUCAAAGUAAGACGUUGGUGGCAAGCAGUAUGACUAUUAUCGCCCACAACUCUUUGUGUUCUACUCGUGCAUAUCAUCUACGCAUAGACCUGGCUCGGAUGCCACUGUUGGGGAACGUCACAUGCAGUUUCAAAAAAUUUCCUACGAUCACGCAAGAUCUAUCUAGGAGAUGCAUAGCAAAGAGAGGGGGAGAGUGUGUCCACGUACCCUCGUAGACCAAAAGCGGAAGCGUUAGUUAACGCGGUUGAUGUAGUUGAACGUCUUCACAAUCCAACCAAUCCAAGUACCAAACGUAUGACACCUCCAUGUUCAGCACAUGUUCAGCUCGAUGACAUCCCUCGAACUCUUGAUCCAGUAGAGGGUCAAGGGAGAGUUUCAUCAGCACGACGGCAUGGUGACGGUGUUGAUGAUGUGAUCCACGCAGGGCUUCACCUAAGCACUACAACGCUAUGAUCAGAGGAGUAAACUGUGGAGGGGGGCACUGCACACGGCAAAGAGAACAAUUGAUGUGUCUUUCGGGUGCCCCCUGCACCCAUAUAUAAAGGAGGAGGGGAGGAGGCGGCCGGCCAAGGGGCGCGCCAAGUGUGGGGAGUCCUACAAGGACUCCCAGUCCUAGUAGGAUUCCCCCUUCCAUUUCUGGAGUGAGAAAGGGGGAAAGAAGUGGAGAGGGAGAAGGAAAAAGGGGGGUUGCACCCCACCCCUUGUCCAAUUCGGAUUGGGCUUGGGGGGGGGCGCCACUUCCUGGCCGCUGCCUCCUCUCUCCACUAAGGCCCAUGUAGGCCCAUUAACUUUCCUGGAGGGUUGCGGUAACCUCUCGGUACUCCAAAAAUGUCAGAACCUCUCCAAAACUAUUCUGGUGUCCGAACAUAACCUUCCAAUAUAUCAAUCUUUACCUCUUGACCAUUUCGAGACUCCUCGCACGUCCGUUAUCUCAUCCGGGACUCCGAACAAACUUCGGUCACCAAAACACAUAACUCAUAAUACAAAUCGUCAUUGAACGUUAAGCGUGUGGACCCUAUAGGUUCGAGAACUAUGUAGAUAUGAUCGACACACAUCUCCGAUCAAUAACCAAUAGCGGAACCUGAUGCUCAUAUUGGAUCCUACAUAUUCUAUGAAGAUCUUUAUCGUCAAACUGCACAACAACAUACGUUGUUCCCUUUGUCAUCGGUAUGUUACUUGCCCGAGAUUCGAUCAUCGGUAUCAUCGUACCUAGUUCAAUGUCGUUACUGGCAAGUCUCUUUACUCGUUCCGUAAUGCAUCAUCCCAUAACUAUCUCUUUAGUCACAUUGCUUUCAAGGCUUAUAGUGGUGAGCAUUACCGAUAGGGCCCAGAGAUACAUCUCCGAUACACGAAGUGAGAAAUCCUAUUCUUGAUCUAUGCCAACCCAACAAACACCUUCGGAGACACCUGUAGAGCAUCUUUAUAAUCACUCAGUUACGUUGUGACAUUUGACAGCACACAAGGUGUUCCUCCGGUAUUCGGGAGUUGCAUAAUCUCAUAGUCAGAGGAACAUGUAUAAGUCAUGAAGAAGGAAUAUCAAUAAAACUUAACGAUCAUGAUGCUAAGCUAACGGAUGGGUCUUGUCCAUCACAUCAUUCACUAGUGAUGUGAUCCCAUUCAUCAAAUGACAACACAUGUCUAUGGUUAGGAAACAUAACCAUCUUUGAUUAAUGAGAUAGUCAAGUAGAGGCAUACUAGGGACACUUUGUUUUGUCUAUGUAUUCACACAUGUACUAAGUCGCCGGUUAAUACAAUUCUAGCAUGAAUAAUAAACAUUUAUCAUGAUAUAAGGAAAUAUAAAUAACAACUUUAUUAUUGCCUCUAGGGCAUAUUUCCUUCACGUACCCCGUUGCCAAACUCAUGGCAAGGUACACAAUAGGUCUGAUACACAUCAUACCAUACUUUAUAGAACCUACGACUGAGGCAUAGGAAAUGACUUUCAUUCUCUUUCUAUUUUCUGCCGUGAUUGGGUUUUGAGUCUUACUCAACUUCACACCUUGCAACACAGACAAGAACCCUUUCUUUGGCUGAUCUAUUUUGAACUUCUUCAAAAUUUUGCCAAGUUAUAUAUUUUGUGAAAGUCCUAUUAAGCGUCUCGAUCUAUCCCUAUAGAUCUUGAUGCCCAAUAUAUAAGCAGCUUCACCGAGGUCUUUCAUUGAAAAACUCUUAUUCGAGUAUCCUUUUAUGCUAUCUAGAAAUUCUAUUUUCAAUCAACAAUAUGUCAUUCACAUAUAAUAUUAGAAAUGCUACAGAGCUCCCACUCACUUCCGUGUAAAUGCAGGCUUCUCCAAAAGUCUGUAUAAAACCAUAUGCUUUGAUCACCUCAUCAAACCGUAUAUUCCAACUCCGAGAUGCUUGCACCAGUCCAUAAAUGGAUCGCUGGAGCUACCAGGACCUACCAGGACCACUGGAUGACUCCACCUGUGGUCGUUAGAUCAGAAUCCCACGUCAUCUUUUCCCUUCCCCACUGCUUCGUCUCAGAUCAAAUCGGGAGAGAUGGGAACAUCGCUGACCUUCUUUAGACAAACUUCCCCCUAUAGGCUGCCUCUUCGGCGGCAACACGCCAUCUCGCCAUGGUCGUCGACGCAUCACCGGCGCCUUCGCGGCUGUCGCCUUCACCAUGCCCACCGUCUUGCAAUCCGUUCGUGAUCUACGCAUCAAACCACGCCGUUGUGGCCCUUGCCACCGCCAGUCGCAACAUACUGUACACUCGCCGUGGCAGCCCUCCUGUCCAUCUCUGGUGCAGCUUCGAUGUCCCAGCAAAAAGAUGAGCAACCAUCACUGCAGCGACCAGACCUCCAACAGUCUGAUCUCUGUGCAUCAGUGUCAUCCCUGGAUCGUUAAUGCUGACAGGCACAGUACUUGAAGGAUUUAUAAUAGAGUAGCAAUCACACACUUAUUACAUUGAAUGUCUCAAAAGAGAACUUAUUACAAUGAAUAUGGCUUAAGGCCAUCUAUAAACGAUAACAGCGGAAGGCUUGGAAGAUAAAGUGAGUCCAUCAACUCCAACGACAUCACUGAGUGAAAGAUCACGACCUAAGGCACCUUACUCGUCGUCUGAAAAUUCUGCAACAUGAAUGUUGCAGUCCGGAAACGGGUCAGCACAUGGAAUAUGCUGGCAAUGUAACACAUAGAAAGUAAUGAACAAAAAGAUGCUAUCACUACAUGCAAAUUUGGCUGGUUGAAAGCUCUAUGGUUACAGUUUUGCAUAAAGCCUAUUUUCCCCUACAACAAAGGAAUAAAUUUUAUUUAACUAUCAUGGUGGUUAUUAAACAUUGAGAAGGUUCCUCCAACUCAAACCCAAUUAAGCAUCAUCAUUAAACCCAAUCAAAAUUAAAUUAAGUAACAUGACGAGAUCCACAUGAUAAUCCAGGAACUAGAUACUCAAAACGUCCAUAACCGGGGACACGGCUAACCAUGAUUAGUUUGUACACUCUGCAGGGGUUUGCGCACUUUUCCCCACAAGACUCGAAUACAUCCAUGGUCGGAGAAAUGAGACACAGUCUUUCUGAAACAAUAACUCUUUACUCUGGGUGGACAGUUACACCUACUUUCCCCUACAUCUGCUAGCCCACCACUCAAAGAGGUCUUGCAACAUACUCAACUAUGCUAGAGCCCAUAAUAGCUUGUGGCUGCACACGGAAGUUUCUAGCAUGAAUAAUCUUAUGACCCCUUUGAGCCUGGGUGGCGGUCCAUAGGAGAAUCACACGGUACCCCGGGAUUUCCAAAGAUACACGCAACACUGGGUUCCCCAGGUGCCUCAAUCCACCCAGAUGUGAAUUAAAGUAGCCACCUUAAGUUAACCAUUAAUUAACAGCACUCACAUCUGUUAUGGAUACACUCACCCAAUCCACGUCUACAAGCAUAGCAUAGCAAUAUAAGCAACGUAGAAGUAACUCCCAAAGGUUUGAUAACUAAAUAGGACAAUAGGUACUACCUCAUCUACUUCCCAAAACCCACAUAUUAAUCAAAUCCUAACCAUGCAAUUGUUUGAGGAUUGAUCUAAUGCAAUAAAACUGGGUAGUAAAGAGGUAUGAUCAAAGUGUUACUUGCCUUGCUGAUGAUCCGUGAAACCUAGAGACUCAUAGUAGCAUGCUUCGCACUCCGGGUACUCCAUCGCAAACAAACAAGCAUAAAAUAAGCACUCAACUAGAAGCACGGGUAAAACUCAAAUAAGAGAUCUUAACCAGAAAGUUCAACUUAGGAACUCCGGUUUGCAAAAAGAAUCAAACCGAACGAAACAACGAAACUCAAAUUGCGGAAAAAACAAGCUUCGUUUACUAAUCUAGACUUAAGUCAAAUUUUACAGAAGCAAAAUCAUGUUUAAAUUGAUUAAACAGAAAGAGGGUUUUGAGACGAAACUCUAGGCAUUUGAAUCGCCUUAUUCCGAUAAACGAGCGAAGAGAAAAACUAAAACGAAAAUCAGGGCAUAAAUCGCGAUCGAAAAUAUUCGCGGAAAACCCUGGAAAAAGAAAAACUGACGAACAGGCUAACGAACAGACGUUCGCUGUCUGCGGCUAAAUGGUGAACCUUGCUCGUUAAAACGAAUGAACGAGUGGGCGCUCGCUCAGUAAAUAAACCAGAAAAAAUAAACCGAUCUAAAAAUAAAACCUAGGGUUUUCUAAAAAAACGAAUCAGUUUUCUCUAGAAAACUGGCGGCGGCGGGCGGCUACCUCGUCGGGGCUCCUGCGAGAUCUGGCGGCUCAGGCUGGGUCUGGUGGGGCGGCGUGGCUCCCUGGCGACGGCGGGGCGGCAGAGGCAGGCGGCGGCGACGGCAGCGCUAGGCAGCGGCAUCGGCAAAUGGUGGCGCUAGGCGGGGGGGUGGUUCGGGUGGUGGUGGGGGUCGGUAGCGGUGGUAUUUUAGAGGGAGGCGCUGGCUUGGAGGAGAGGGCGCCGGGUCGGGGUCGGCCUCGGGAGGCGUGCCUCGGCCGGACUCGACAUCGGCGGCGGGGUGGCCUCCCUUCCGCGGGGGAAGGCGGUGGCAGCGCGGGCUUGGCCCAGCUUGGUUGGGCCUUCGGCCCAGUCGGGCGCGUGGAGAUUUUUUUUAAAAUGUUCCGCCGUAAAUAAAUCCUAGAAAAAUAAAUAAAAAUAUAAAAAUGCCAAAAUAAAUUUUCAUCGUCUAAAUAAAAUAUUUAGAACAAGAUGAAGAUUUUUUGGCCCUAAAAUGCAAUUUUGAAAUACGUGCAAUUUUUCUAAUUCGAAUAAAAUUUCAAUAAAACCAAAUAAAAUAAAUAAAUUGAUUUUAACAUUUUUCCUCUAAUAUUUCAUUUAUUUUGGAGAAGUCAUUUUAUCCCCUCUCAUAUAUUUUUAUUUUAGAAAUAUUAGGAAGAAAAAUAAUCAAAACCAAUUGAUCCCCUUUUCAAAAUUUAAGAAAACUGAAAUAUGAAAAUAACAAAAUCCCUAACUCUCUCCGUAGGUCCUUGAGUUGCGUAGAAUUUCUAGGAUCAAGCCAAAAUGCAAUAAAAUAUGAUAUGCAAUGAUGAUCUAAUGUAUAACAUUCCAAAUUGAAAUUUUGGGAUGUUACAAACCUACCCCCCCCCUUAAGAUGAAUCUCGCCCUCGAGAUUCGGGUUGGCUAGAAAAUAGGUGAGGGUGGUCCUUCUGUAGGUCUUCCUCUCAUUCCCAAGUGGCUUCAUCUUCAGUAUGGUGGCUCCACUGAACUUUGCAGAACUUGAUAACCUUGUUGCGUGUGACUCGGCUGGCAAACUCGAGAAUCUUCACUGGUUUCUCUUCAUAGGUCAAGUUGCUAUCCAACUGAAUCGCUUCCAGUGGCACUGUAUCUCUCAGAGGAAUAUCGGCCAUCUGUGUGUGGCACUUCUUCAGCUGGGAAACGUGGAACACAUCAUGAACUCCUAACAGUCCUUCAGGCAAUUCCAACUUGUAAGCAACUUCUCCCAUACGUUCCAAAACUUUGUAUGGUCCCACAAAACGUGGUGCUAACUUUCCCUUAACUCCAAAACGCUUAACUCCUCUAAGUGGGGACACACAAAGAUAAACUCUGUCUCUGACUUCGUAAACUGUCUCCUUGCAUUUAGAAUCCGCAUAGCUCUUCUGCCUGAACUGGGCUACCUUGAGUCUAUCGCGAAUCAGCUUAACCUUCUCUUCAGACUCUCUGAUCCAAUCUGGUCCAAACAACUGACGGUCUCCAACUUCGUCCCACAACAAUGGGGUCCUGCACCUCCUUCCAUACAAAGCUUCGAAAGGGGCCAUCUUCAAACUGGAUUAAUAACUAUUGUUGUAAGAGAACUCUGCAUAAGGCAAAUUAUCAUCCCAACUAGAUCCAUAAUCUAGCGCACAAGCUCUCAGCAUGUCCUCCAGAAUUUGAUUGACUCUCUUGGUCUAUCCAUCUGUCUGUGGAUGAAAGGCUGUACUGAACUCUAGCCUGGUACCCAAAGUUUUGUCCAACUGAUUCCAGAACUUUGAGGUAAAUUGGGUUUCUCUAUCUGAUACAAUGGUCCUCGGAACUCCAUGCAGACAUACGAUCCUGGUCAUGUAUAUCUUUGCAAACUUAGCACUGGUGUAAGUGGUCUUCACUGGGAUGAAAUGAGCUACCUUCGUUAAACGAUCGACUACAACCCAUAUCGAGUCAUAGCCUAAACGAGUCCUGGGCAAUCCUGUGAUAAAAUCCAUGCCUAGCUUAUCCCACUUCCAUUUGGGUAUCUGCAAUGGCUGUAGCAAUCCAGCUGGCUUCUGAUGCUCUGCCUUCACUCUCUGACAUACAUCACAAACUGCCACAUACUCCGCAAUAUCCUUCUUCAUUCUGGUUCACCAGAAACUGCCCUUCAAAUCCAGAUACAUCUUGGUAUUACUUGGGUGGAUCGAAUACAGCGAAUCAUGGGCCUCUUGCAGAAUCAACUUCCUGAUCUCCGGGUCAUUAGGCACAUAUACGCGGUCCUCAAACCAUAAAGUAGCAUGCUCAUCCUCACGAAAUUCCUUAGCUUUUCCUUUGCUCAUGCUUUCCUUUAUCUCGGCAAUCUCCUUGUCUGCCUUUUGAGCUUCUCUGAUCUUAUCCAUCAAGGUAGACUGAAUCUCCAAUGCUGCUACAUAGCCUCUCGGAACUAUCUCCAAACAUAGCUCGUGAAGAUCCUCUGCUAACUCCUUGGGUAACUCUCCGGUCAUGAGUGUGUUGACAUGGCUUUUGCGGCUCAACGCAUCGGCUACUAUGUUAGCCUUCCCAGGAUGAUAGUGCAACCGCAUGUCAUAAUCCUUGAUGAGUUCCAACCAUCUCCUUUGCCUAAGAUUCAGCUCCUUCUGCGUGAAGAUAUACUUCAAACUCUUGUGAUCCGUGUAUACCUCACAAUGGUUUUUGAUGAGAAAAUGUCUCCAUGUCUUCAACGCAUGCACUACGGCUGCUAACUCCAAAUCAUGUGUAGCAUAAUUCAACUCAUGGGGCUUAAGCUGUCGUGAGGCAUAAGAAACAACUCUUCCCUCCUACAUAAGCACUGCUCCAAGUCCUCGACGGGAAGCAUCGCAAUAUAUUUCAUAAUCCUUGCGCUGAUUUGGCAGGAUCAACACUGGUGAUGUAACCAAGCGUUUCUUCAACUCCUGAAAGCUGGCCUCACAUUCCUCAGUCCAUUUGAAUUUGGUGUCCUUCUUCAACAACUCCGUCAUGGGCUUUGCAAUCUUCGAGAAAUUCUCAAUGAACCUCCGGUAGUAUCCUGCGAGUCCAAGAAAACUCCAGAUCUCUCCAACUGACGUGGGUGCUUCCCAAUUUGUCACAGUGACAACUUUGGAGGGGUCUACUGCUAUUUCUUCUCUGGAUAUAACAUGUCUGAGGAAUCCAACUUCCUUCAACCAAAACUCGCACUUGCUAAACUUGGCAUAUAACUGAUGUUCUCUAAGCUUUCCAAGUACCAAACGCAAAUGCUCUUAUCCUGCUCUUCAUUCUUCGAGUAGACCAAAAUGUCAUCAAUGAACACUACAACAAACUUAUCCAAAAACUCCAUAAACACAUUUUUCAUCAUGUUCAUCAAAUAGGCAGGUGCGUUAGUCAGUCCAAAUGACAUAAUGGUAUACUCAUAUAGCCCGUACCUUGUGGUAAAAGCUGUCUUAAGUAUAUCCUGCUCUCGAAUCUUCAACUGGUGGUAUCCUGAUCGCAGAUCGAUCUUGGAAAAUACUUUAGCUCCUUGCAACUAGUCAAACAAAUACUCCGCUCUUGAUAUGUAUGAAUGCGAUGCACCAGUAUUCUAAGAAUAUUCUUGACUUGACACAUACUCCGCUCUUGGGGAGCUUACUAACAUAGGUAUUCUAAGAACUUUGGUGGGCGGUUUAUACUUAUCCACAAAUCCCCUGGAUAUGUAUGAAUGCGAUGCACCAGUAUCGAAAAGAACGAUUGCAGUAAAUGACUUAACUAAAAACUUACCUAUUGCUGCAUCUGGCUGGGCUUCUACCUCCUCCACGUUAACGUGGUUCACCUGUCCCCUAUUGAAAGGGUUGGGCUUCUUCCCAGAGCUUCCAUUGCCAUUUCCAUUCGUUGCUUCAGGACACUCAGUGGCAUAAUGUCCAGUCUUCUGGCACUUGAAAUAGGUAAUGUGGCUUAGAUCCCUCUUGGCUGGUGUUGAUGGGUUGGUACAGUUUUGACUGUUGCUUCCUCCAUUCCCAUUCCCAUUCUUGGGGCCACUAUGGUUGUGCGAACUCCCUCCAUUGUGAUUGUGACCUCCAUGGUUAUGUUGGAGGUCUCCUCCCGAGUUUGGGGUAAAGUGAGGCCUCUGCCGAGCUCCAGAAUUGUAUUUCCCUUGUCGAUUCUUCCUCUCGUGGUUGUCAAUCUGCUGCUGCUUCCCGUCAAUCAUGAGAGCUCUAUCUACCAACUCCUGGUAGUUGUUGAAGGUUGCCACCAUCAAUCGCAUGCUCAGCUUGUUGGAGAACGUUGCAGAAAAUAAAAAAAUUCUACGCUUCACCAAGAUCAAUCUAUGGAGUCAUCUAGCAACGAGAGAGAGGAGUGCAUCUAGAUACCCUUGUAGAUCGUGCAUGGAAGCGUUCAGGAGAACGGGGUUGAGGGAGUCGUACUCGUCGUGAUCCAAAUCACCAGAGAUCCUAGCGCCGAACAGACGGCACCUCCGUGUUCAACACACGUAUGGUUGGGAAGACGUCUCCUCCUUCUUGAUCCAGCAAGGGGGAAGGAGAGGUUGAUGGAGAUCCAGCAGCACGACGGCGUGGUGGUGGAUGCAGCAGUGAUCUUGGCAGGGCUUCGCUAAGCACUACGAGAGGGAGAGGUGUCAUGGGAGGGAGAGGGAGGCGCCAGGGGCUAGGGUCCGGCUGCCCUCCCUUCCCCCCUCUUUAUAUAGGGCCCCUAGGGGGGCCUAGGAGAUCCAAUCUCCAAGGGGGGCGCGGCCAAGGGGGCGGCUUGCCCCCCAAGGCAAGUGAGGCGCCCCCUACCACUAGGGUUUCCAACCCUAGGCGCAGGGGAGCCCAAGGGGGGCGCACCAGCCCACCAGGGGCUGGUUCCCCUACCACUUCAGCCCACGGGGCCCUCCGGGAUAGGUGGCCCCACCCGGUGGACCCCCGGGACCCUUCCGAUGGUCCCAGUACAAUACCGGUGACCACCGAAACUUUCCCGAUGGCCGAAACUGAACUUCCUAUAUAUAAAUCUUCACCUCCGGACCAUUCAGGAACUCCUCAUGACGUCCGGGAUCUCAUCCGGGACUCCAAAUAACUUUUGAGUUACUGCAUACUAAUAUCUCAACAACCCUAGUGUCACCGAACCUUAAGUGUGUAGACCCUACGGGUUCAGGAGACAUGCAGACAUGACCGAGACGCCUCUACGGUCAAUAACCAAUAGCAGGAUCUGGAUACCCAUGUUGGCUCCCACAUGCUCCUCGAUGAUCUCAUCGGAUGAACCACGAUGUCGAGGAUUCAAUCAAUCCCGUAUACAAUUACCUUUGUCAAUCGGUACGUUACUUGCCCGAGAUUCGAUCGUCGGUAUCCCAAUACCUCAUUUAAUCUCGUUACCGGCAAGUCACUUUACUCGUACCGUAAUGCAUGAUCCCGUGACCAGACACUUGAUCACAUUGAGCUCAUUAUGAUGAUGCAUUACCGAGUGGGCCCAGAGAUACCUCUCCGUCAUACGGAGUGACAAAUCCCAGUCUCGAUUCGUGCCAACCCAACAGACACUUUCGGAGAUACCCGUAGUGCACCUUUAUAGUCACCCAGUUAUGUUGUGACGUUUGGCACACCCAAAGCACUCGUAUGGUAUUCGGGAGUUGCACAAUCUCAUGGUCUAAGGAAAUGAUACUUGACAUUUGGAAAAGCUCUAGCGAAACGAACUACACGAUCUUUGUGCUAAGCUUAGGAUUGGGUCUUGUCCAUCACAUCAUUCUCCUAAUGAUGUGAUCCCGUUAUCAAUGACAUCCAAUGUCCAUAGUCCGGAAACCAUGACUAUCUGUUGAUCAACGAGCUAGUCAACUAGAGGCUCACUAGGGACGUGUUGUGGUCUAUAUAUUCACACAUGUAUUACGAUUUCCGGAUAACACAAUUAUAGCAUGAAUAAUAGACAAUUAUCAUGAACAAAGAAAUAUAAUAAUAACCAUUUUAUUAUUGCAUGUAGGGCAUAUUUCCAACAGUCUCCCACUUGCACUAGAGUCAAUAAUCUAGUUACAUUGUGAUGAAUCAAACACCCAUAGCGUUCUGGUGUUGAUCAUGUUUUGCUCUAGGGAGAGGUUUAGUCAAUGGAUCUGCUAUAUUCAGGUCCGUAUGUACUUUACAAAUAUCUAUGUCUCCAUCUUGAACAUUUUCACGAAUGGAGAUGAGGCGACGCUUGAUGUGCCUGGUCUUCUUGUGAAACCUGGGCUCCUUGGCAAGUGCAAUAGCUCCAGUGUUGUCACAGAAGAGUGUGAUCAGCCCUGACGCAUUGGGUAUGACUCCUAGGUCGGUGAUGAACUCCUUCACCCAGAUAGCUUCAUGCGCUACCUCCGAGGCUGCCAUGUACUCCGCUUCACAUGUAGAUCCAGCCACGACGCUUUGCUUGCAACUGCACCAGCUUACUGCCCCACCAUUCAAAAUAUACACGUAUCCGGUUUGCGACUUAGAGUCAUCCAGAUCUGUGUCAAAGCUAGCGUCGACAUAACCCUUUACGACGAGCUCUUCGUCACCUCCAUAUACGAGAAACAUAUCCUUAGUCCUUUUCAGGUACUUUAGGAUGUUCUUGACCGCUGUCCAGUGUUCCAUGUCGGGAUUACUUUGGUACCUUCCUACCAAACUUACGGCAAGGUUUAUAUCAGGUCUGGUACAGGUCAUGGCAUACAUGAUAGACCCUAUGGCUGAGGCAUAGGGGACGACACUCAUCUUUUCUCUAUCUUCUGCCGUGGUUGGACAUUGAGCCAAGCUCAAUUUCACACCUUGCAACACAGGCAAGAACCCCUUCUUGGACUGAUCCAUAUUGAAAUUCUUCAAUGUCUUAUCAAGGUAUGUGCUUUGUGAAAGACCUAUGAGGUGUCUCGAUCUAUCUCUAUAGAUCUUGAUGCCUAAUAUGUAAGCAGCUUCUCCAAGGUCCUUCAUUGAAAAACACUUAUUCAAGUAGGCUUUAAUACUGUCCAAAAGUUCUAUAUCAUUUCCCAUCAAAAGUAUGUCAUCCACAUAUAAUAUGAGAAAUGCUACAGAGCUCCCACUCACUUUCUUGUAAACGCAGGCUUCUCCAUAAGUCUGCAUAAACCCAAACGCUUUGAUCAUUUCAUUAAAGCGAAUGUUCCAACUCCGAGAUGCUUGCACUAGCCCAUAGAUGGAGCGCUGCAGCUUGCAUACCUUGUUAGCAUUCUUAGGAUCGACAAAACCUUCUGGCUGCAUCAUAUACAGUUCUUCCUUAAGAUGGCCGUUAAGGAAUGCCGUUUUGACGUCCAUUUGCCAUAUCUCAUAAUCAUAGUAUGCGGCAAUUGCUAACAUGAUUCGGACGGACUUCAGCUUCGCUACGGGAGAGAAAGUCUCAUCGCAGUCAACCCCUUGAACUUGUCGAUAACCCUUAGCGACAAGUUGAGCUUUAUAGAUGGUAACAUUACCAUCCGCGUCCAUCUUCUUCUUAAAGAUCCAUUUGUUUUCUAUUGCUCGCCGAUCACCGGGCAAGUCUGUCAAAGUCCAUACUUUGUUUUCAUACAUGGAUCCUAUCUCGGAUUGCAUGGCUUCAAGCCAUUUGUUGGAAUCUGGGCCCGCCAUUGCUUCUUCAUAGUUCGAAGGUUCACCGUUGUCUAAUAACAUGAUUUCCAGGAUAGGGUUGCCAUACCACUCUGGUGUGGAACGUGUCCUCAUGGACCUACGAAGCUCAGUAGUGACUUGAUCCGAAGUACCUUGAUCAUCAUCAUUAAUUUCCUCUCUAGUUGGUGCAGGCACCACAGGAACAUCUUCCUAAGCUGCGCUACUUACUGGUUCAAGAGGUAGUACUUCAUCAAGUUCCACUUUCCUCCCACUUACUUCUCUCGAGAGAAACUCUUUCUCCAGAAAGGACCCAUUCUUGGCAACAAAGAUCUUUCCCUUGGAUCUUAAGUAGAAGGUAUACCCAAUGGUUUCCUUAGGGUAUCCUAUGAAGACGCAUUUUUCCGACUUGGGUUCGAGCUUUUCAGGUUGAAGCUUCUUGACAUAAGCAUUGCAUCCCCAAACUUUUAGAAAUGACAUCUUAGGUUUCUUCCCAAACAGUAAUUCAUACGGUGUUGUCUCAACGGAUUUAGACGGUGCCCUAUUUAAAGUGAAUGUAGCUGUCUCUAGAGCGUAUCCCCAAAAUGAUAGCGGUAAAUCGGUAAGUGACAUCAUAGAUCGCACCAUAUCCAAUAGAGUGCAAUUACGACGUUCGGACACACCGUUACGCUGAGGUGUUCCAGGCGGCGUGAGUUGUGAAACGAUUCCACAUUUCCUUAAGUGCGUACCAAAUUCGUGACUUAAAUAUUCUCCCCCACGAUCUGACCGUAAGAACUUUAUCUUUCGGUCACGUUGAUUCUCUACCUCAUUCUGAAAUUCCUUGAACUUUUCAAAGGUCUCAGACUUGUGUUUCAUCAAGUAGACAUACCCAUAUAUACUCAAGUCAUCAGUGAUAGUGAGAACAUAAUGAUAGCCUCUGCGAGCCUCAAUGCUCAUUGGACUGCACACAUCAGUAUGUAUGAUUUCCAAUAAGUUGGUUGCUCACUCCAUUGUUCCGGAGAAUGGAGUCUUGGUCAUUUUGCCCAUGAGGCAUGGUUCGCAUUGUCAAACGAUUCAUAAUCUAGAGACUCUAAAAGUCCAUCAGCAUGGAGCUUCUUCAUGCGCUUGACACCAAUGUGACCAAGGCGGCAGUGCCACAAGUAUGUGGGACUAUCGUUAUCAACCUUACAUCUUUUGGUAUUCACACUAUGAAUAUGCGUAACAUCAUGUUCGAGAUUCAUUAAGAAUAAACCAUUGACCAGCGGGGCAUGACCAUAAAACAUAUCUCUCAUAUAAAUAGAACAACCAUUAUUCUCGGAUUUAAAUGAGUAGCCAUCUCGCACUAAACGAGAUCCAGAUACAAUGUUCAUGCUCAAAGCUGGCACUAAAUAACAAUUAUUGAGGUUUAAAACUAAUCCCGUAGGUAAAUGUAGAGGUAGCGUGCCGACGGCCAUCACAUCGACCUUGGAACCAUUCCCGACGCGCAUCGUCACCUCGUCCUUCGCCAGUCUCCGCUUAUUCCGCAGCUCCUACUUUGAGUUACAAAUAUGAGCAACCGCACCGAUAUCAAAUACCCAGGAGCUACUACGAGUACUGAUAAGGUACACGUCAAUUACAUGUAUAUCACAUAUACCUUUAGUGUUGCCGGCCUUCUUGUCCGCUAAGUACUUGGGGCAGUUCCGCUUCCAGUGACCACUUCCCUUGCAAUAAAAGCACUCAGUCUAGGGCUUGGGUCCAUUCUUUGACUUCUUCCCGGUAACUGGCUUACCAGGCGCGGCAACUCCUUUGUCGUUCUUCUUGAAGUUCUUCUUACCCUUGCCUUUCUUGAACUUAGUGGUUUUAUUCACCAUCAACACUUGAUGUUCCUUUUUGAUCUCUACCUCGGCUGAUUUCAGCAUUGAAUAUACCUCAGGAAUGGUCUUUUCCAUCCCCUGCAUAUUGAAGUUCAUCACAAAGCUCUUGUAGCUUGGUGGAAGCGACUGAAGGAUUCUGUCAAUAACCGCGUCAUCCGGGAGAUUAACUCCCAGCUGAGUCAAGCGGUGGUGCAACCCAGACAUUUUGAGUAUGUGCUCACUGACAGAACUAUUUCCCUCCAUCUUACAGCUGAAGAACUUGUCGGAGACUUCAUAUCUCUCGACUCGGGCAUGAGCUUGGAAAACCAUCUUCAGCUCUUCGAACAUCUCAUAUGCUCCGUGCUGCUCAAAACGCUUUUGGAGCCCCGGUUCUAAGCUGUAAAGCAUGCCGCACUGAACGAGGGAGUAAUCAUCAGCACGAGACUGCCAAGCGUUCAUAACGUCUUGGUUCUCUAGGAUGGGUGCUUCACCUAGCGGUGCUUCUAGGACAUAAUCUUUCUUUGCAGCUAUGAGGAUGAUCCUCAGGUUCUGGACCCAGUCCGUAUAGUUGCUGCCAUCAUCUUUCAGCUUGGUUUUCUCUAGGAACGCGUUGAAGUUGAGGGCAACAUUAGCAUGGGCCAUUUGAUCUACAAGACAUAUUGUAAAGAUUUUAGACAAAGUUCAUGAUAAUUAAGUCCAUCUAAUCAAAUUAUUCAAUGAACUGCCACUCAGACAGACAUCCCUCUAGUCAUCUAAGUGAAACAUGAUCCGAGUCAACUAGGCCGUGUCCGAUCAUCACGUGAGAUGGACUAGUCAUCAUCGGUGAACAUCUUCAUGUUGAUCGUAUCUUCUAUACGACCCAUGCUCGACCUUUCGGUCUUCCGUGUUCCGAGGCCAUGUCUGUACAUGCUAGGCUCAUCAAGUCAACCUAAGUGUAUUGCGUGUGUAAAUCUGGCUUACACCCAUUGUAUUCGAACGUUAGGAUCUAUCACACCCAAUCAUCACGUGGUGCUUCGAAACAAUGAACCUUCGCAACGGUGCACAGUUAGGGGAAACACUUUCUUGAAAUUACUGCGAGGGAUCAUCUUAUUUAAGCUACCGUCGUUCUAAGAAAAUAAGAUGUAAAACAUGAUAAACAUCACAUGCAAUCAAAGAGUGACAUGAUAUGGCCAAUAUCAUAUUGCUCCUUUGAUGUCCAUCUUCGGGGUGCCAUGAUCAUCUUCGUCACCGGCAUGACACCAUGAUCUCCAUCAUCGUGUCUUCAUGAAGUUGUCACGUCAACGAUUACUUCUACUUCUAUGGCUAACGCGUUUAGCAAUAAAGUAAAGUAAUUUACAUGGCGUUAUUCAAUGAUGCUCGGGUCAUAUAAAAAAUAAAGACAACUCCUAUGGCUCCUGCCAGUUGUCAUACUCAUCGACAUGCAAGUCGUGAUUCCUAUUACAAGAACAUGAUCAAUCUCAUACAUCACAUAUAUCAUUCAUUACAUCCUUUUGGCCAUAUCACAUCACAAGGCAUAUGCUGCAAAAACAAGUUAGACGUCCUCUAAUUGUUGUUGCAAGUUUUUACGUGGAUUCUAUAGGUUUCUAGCAAGAACGUUUCUUACCUACGUAAAACCACAAUGUGAUAAGCCAAUUUCUAUUUACCCUUCAUAAGGACCCUUUUCAUCGAAUCUGCUCCAACUAAAGUGGGAGAGACAGACACCCGCUAGCCAACUUAUGCAACUAGUGCAUGUCAGUCGGUGGAACCUGUCUCACGUAAGCGUACGUGUAAGGUCGGUCCGGGCCGCUUCAUCCCACGAUGCCGCCGAAGCAAGAUAAGACUAGUAGUGGUAAGAAAAUUGACAACAUCUACGCCCAUAACAAGUUUGUGUUCUACUCGUGCAUAGUAACUACGCAUAGACCUAGCUCAUGAUGCCACUGUUGGUGAACUUUGCAGAAAAUAAGAAAUUUCUACGCUUCACCAAGAUCAAUCUAUCGAGUCAUCUAGCAACAAGAGAGAGGAGUGCAUCUAAAUACCCUUGUAGAUUGCGCGUGGAAGCGUUCAAGAGAACGGGGUUGAGGGAGUCGUACUCGUCGUGAUCCAAAUCACUGAAGAUCCUAGCGCCGAACGGACGGCACCUCCGCGUUCAACACACGUACGGUUGGGAAGACGUCUCCUCCUUCUUGAUCCAGCAAGGGGGAAGGAGAGGUUGAUGGAGAUCCAGCAGCACGACGGCAUGGUGGUGGAUGCAGCAGUGAUCUCGGCAGGGCUUCGCUAAGCACUACGAGAGGGAGAGGUGUCACGGGAGGGAGAGGGAGGCGCCAGGGGCUAGGGUCCAGCUGCCCUCCCUCCCCCCUCUUUAUAUAGGGCCCCUAGGGAGGGCGCCGGCCCUAGGAGAUCCAAUCUCCAAGGGGGGCGGCGGCCAAGGGGGUGGCAUGCCCUACCACUAGGGUUUCCAACCCUAGGCACAGGGGAGCCCAAGGGGGGCGCACCAGCCCACCAGGGGCUGGUUCCCCUCCCACUUCAGCCCACGGGGCCCUCCGGGAUAGGUGGCCCCACCCGGUGGACCCCCGGGACCCUUCCGGUGGUCCCGGUACAAUACCGGUGACCCCCAAAACUUUCCCAAUGGCCGAAACUGAACUUCCUAUAUAUAAAUAUUCACCUUCGGACCAUUCCGGAACUCCUCGUGAUGUCCGGGAUCUCAUCCGGGACUCUGAACAACUUUCAGGUUACUGCAUACUAAUAUCUCAACAACCCUAGUGUCACCAAACCUUAAGUGUAUAGACCCUACGGGUUCGGGAGACAUGCAGACAUGACCGAGACGCCUCUCCGGUCAAUAACCAACAACAGGAUCUGGAUACCCAUGUUGGCUCCCACAUGCUCCUCGAUGAUCUCAUCGGAUGAACCAUGAUGUCGAGGAUUCAAUCAAUCCUGUAUACAAUUCCCUUUGUCAAUCGGUACGUUACUUGCCCGAGAUUCGAUCGUCGGUAUCCCAAUACCUCAUUUAAUCUCGUUACCGGCAGUCACUUUACUUGUACCGUAAUGCAUGAUCCCGUGACCAGACACUUGAUCACAUUGAGCUCAUUAUGAUGAUGCAUUACCGAGUGGGCCCAAAGAUACCUCUCCAUCAUACGGAGUGACUAAUCCCAGUCUCGAUUUGUGCCAACCCAACUAACACUUUCGGAGAUACCCGUAGUGCACCUUUAUAGUCACGCAGUUACGUUCUGACAUUUGGCACACCCAAAGCACUCCUACGGUAUCCGGGAGUUGCACAAUCUCAUGGUCUAAGGAAAUGAUACUUGACAUUUGGAAAAGCUCUAGCGAAACGAACUACAUGAUCUUUGUGAUAUGCUUAGGAUUGGGUCUUGUCCAUCACAUCAUUCUCCUAAUGAUGUGAUCACGUUAUCAAUUACAUCCAAUGUCCAUAGUCAGGAAACCAUGACUAUCUGUUGAUCAACGAGCUAGUCAACUAGAGGCUCACUAGGGACGUAUUGUGGUCUAUAUAUUCACACAUGUAUUACGAUUUCCGGAUAACACAAUUAUAGCAUGAAUAAUAGACAAUUAUCAUGAACAAAGAAAUAUAAUAAUAACCAUUUUAUUAUUGCCUCUAGGGCAUAUUUCCAACACAGCUCAUCAUUCAGUCCUUCCAGAAACUUCUCCUGCUUAGCUGCAUCCGUAGCAACGUCAUCUCGGGCAUAAUGUGCUAACUUACUAAAAUCAUCCACAUACUGGCCAACUGUACGUCCUCCUUGGCGCAAGUUGUGGAACUCAGCUUCUUCAUGGCCAUAGCUCCUGCUGAAACAUGGGCAGUACGGAAAGCCUGCUGAAACUGGUCCCAUGUGACAGUGUCGAUGGGGUACGUGGCUAUGAAAUUCUCCCACCAUGAUGCUGCGGGUCCAUCAAGCUGAUGUGCGGCAAAACGCACCCUCUCCACAUCUGUGCAUCCUGCAGUGGUCAACUCCCUUCCAAUCUUGCGGAGCCAAUCAUCUGCAACUAUCAUCUUGGUGCUACUGGAGAACACCGGCGGAUUUAGCCUUAAGAAACGGGCUAAGUGGUCAACUGGUGGUGGUGGUGGUGGGUUGUUGUUGUUGUUGUUCCCCUGAUUCUGGUUCUGGACUAGUAUCUACAUCAAUGCAUUCUGCCGCUGGAUCAACUGAGUGAGCUCCGGUGGGAACGCAAAUCCAUUGUCGCGUCUCGGAGGCAUCUGAGGGUUGAGAAAAGAUGAGAGUAUAGAAUAGAAGGAGGUCUAGAGGGAAAAACACUACCCAUAUGCAUAUGAGACAAACACAAUCAUAUCACUUCAAUCAAUUCACACAAGGGCAUACAUCAGUCUAACUAUCGUUACAAAACUGCUCGGACUAUGCUAUAUACAUGGGGAAAUACUACUACUGAUAUGGUGGUCGACUAGAAAAUUUGAUCGGUCGAAGACUCCAUGAUAUCUGCUCUAGCUUCAUCAACAUAGUCAUCAUCACUAUCGUCAGGGUCUGAGUCAGUGUCGUCGAUGAUGAUGUAGUUCUCCGGACAGGUAGAAUCUUCGUCUUCACCUCCAGGCGCAGGGUCUCCCAUGAAUCCUCUUUUCUUUUUAAUCAGGUCGUCAUUCUUCUCCAGUAAUGUUGCAAUUUCCUCCUCAUAUCCAUCACGGGUGGACUUGAGUUCUUCUUCCAUCUCCGUGAUCCUGGUCAUUGCCUACUUCAGAUCUAUCAUGCCUGCACACAUCUGGUUCUCCUGGCGACGAAUGUGCUGGUUUAACUCCUGGAUGAAAGCUGCAAUAGAUCUAUCCUUCCGGGUGCUGAUCAUCUCCCAUUGCUCGUCUCGGCGCCCACAAAUCUGGUAGAUAGUAUCCUUGAGAUCCUUAUGGUACACUUCUCCAAUGUGUCCCAUGGUGAUGUGGGCUGCCAUGCUCUUUCCUAGACUCCAGGUUGGUGCAUCAAAGGAAAACUCUAUGGGCUCGGUGACUGGCAUGAACGUCCUUCCUGGAACUUGAACUCAAAUCAUCCAACGCUCCUCUUCUGGUAAAGUGGCGAUGUAAGUCCCGGUGAAGCUUGGUAUUCUGAUGUUUAGGUAUCUAGUAACUUCCUUCAAGUGGCAUCCAAAAGGCGUAUGUUCAUCCGGUUGCGUGAACUUGUUCCUUGCAUCCACCAUCCUAAAAGAGUAGAAAAAGGAGAGGAGUCAGAAAUGAGAAGAGAGUAGUGAUCUAUGGCUUUAGCUUGGUGGUCGUGUCCUACAGUUAGCGUGUGCUCUUAUACCAUCUUGUAGCGACCAGACCUCAAACAAUCUGAUCUCUGUCCAUCAGUGUCAUCCCUGGAUCGGUAAUGCUGACAUGCACAGUACUUGAAGGAUUUAUAACAGAGUAGCAAUCACACACUUAUUACAUCGAAUGUCUCAAAAGAGAACUUAUUACAAUGAAUAUGGCUUAAGGCCAUCUAUAAACGAUAACAGCGGAAGGCUUGGAAGAUAAAGCGAGUCCAUCAACUCCAAUGGCAUCACUGAGUGAAAGAUCACGACCUAAGGCACCUUACUCGCCGUCUGAAAAGUCUGCAACAUGAAUGUUGCAGUCCAGAAAUAGGUCAGCACAUGGAAUAUGCUGGCAAUGUAACACAUAGAAAGUAAUGAACAGAAAGAUGCUAUCACUACAUGCAAAUUUGGCUGGUGGAAAGCUCUAUGGUUACAGUUUUGCAUAAAGCCAAUUUUUCCUUACACAAAGGAAUAAAUUUUAUUUAACUAUCAUGGUGGUUGUUAAACAUUGAGAAGGUUCCUCCAACUCAAACCCAAUUAAGCAUCAUCAUUAAACCCAAUCAAAAUUAAAUUAAGUAACAUGAUAAUCCAGGAACUAGAUACUCAAAACGUCCAUAACCGGGGACAUGGCUAACCAUGAUUAGUUUGUACACUCUGCAGAGGUUUGUGCACUUUUCCCCACAAGACUCGAAUACAUCCAUGGUCGGAGAAACGAGACACAGUCUUUCUGAAACAAUAACUCUUUACUCUGGGUGGACAGUUACACCUACUUUCCCCUACAUCUGCUAGCCCAUCACUCAAAGAGGUCUUGCAACGUACUCAACUAUGCUAGAGCCCAUAAUAGCUUGUGGCUGCACUCGGAAGUUUCUAGCAUGAAUAAUCUUAUGAUCCCUUUGAGCCUGGGUGGCGGUCCAUAGGAGAAUCACACGGUACCCCGGGAUUUCCAAAAAUACAAGCAACACUGGGUUCCCCAGGUGCCUCAAUCCACCCAGAUGUGAAUUAAAGUAGACACCUUAAGUUAACCAUUAAUUAACAACACUCACAUCUGUUAUGGAUACACUCACCCAAUCCACAUCUACAAGCAUAGCAUAGCAAUAUAAGCAACGUAGAAGUAACUCCCAAAGGUUUGAUAACUAAACAGGACAAUAGGUACUACCUCAUCUACUUCCCAAAACCCACAUAUUAAUCAGAUCCUAACCAUGCAAUUGUUUGAGGAUUGAUCUAAUGCAAUAAAACUGCGUAGUAAAGAGGUAUGAUCAAAGUGUUACUUGCCUUGCUGAUGAUCCGUGAAACCUAGAGACUCAUAGUAGCACGCUUCGCACUCCGGAUACUCUAUUGCAAACAAACAAGCUGUAACAUCCCAAAAUUCUAAAUUUUGGAAUGUUAUAAUAAAUAGAUAGAUUUGAUUUAUUGUUUGAUUGAUUGAGUGAAAUUCGAAACUUUUUUAAAGUUAAAUGAGAGGGAAUAAAAGGACUUUCCCAAACUUUCAUUUUCUUUUCUGAUCUUCAUGAAUUCAAAUUCUUUUCAAAUACAAAACCCUUGAGCGAAGAUGAUAUGACUUCUUCCAUUUAAUUAAAUGAAAGGGUAUUUGAAAAUAUUUGAAUUUCAUUUGGAAAUAUUUAGAUUCUUAAACUUCAUGCAACUCAAUGAUUUUCAUGAGAGAAGAUAAAAUGACUUCUUCAAAUUAUAUGAAAUAUGAGUUGGGAGUUUUAAAAGAAUUAAAUACAAAGUUCUUUUGAAUUUAUUUUCAAUUUGGAGUUAUUUGAGUUUUAUUCAAAUUCUUUUUCUCCAAAAAUAAAAUAUAUGGAAAAUAGGGUAACAUGAUUCCCUACAUCAGAAAAUUGGAGAGAAAUAAAUUUGAAUUUAUUUUGGUAUUUUUAAAAUGAUUUUUACUGGAUUUUACUAGAGCAGAAGCACUCUUUGUCUUUUUUGAAUUUGUUUGUAUUUUAUUUGACUUUGAAAAAAUGUUCAUUUCGUAGAAAAUCUUUUUCUGAAAAUUUUGAUAUAUAAUAUGCCUAUAUUAUAUUUCUGUUUUUAUCUAUUUUGUUUAUUUCUUUGACUGUCUGUUUAAAAAAACAAAAAGAAAAAAAACUCCCCUCCGCCGAACUGGGCCGGCCCAGCUCCUCAGCCAGGCCCAGCCCAGGUCGCCAACCGCCUCCGUCUUCGAGCUCGGGACGAAGUCCCGAGCGUGGCCGACUCCGCCGCCGCCGCUGAGUCCUGGCCGGGCACGCCUCCCCUUGCCCCUCCUCCACGCCUCCCGCCUUUAUAAGCGCGCCCCGGACUCCCCGGCCCCCCUUUUCUCUCUCCUCGCCACUGCCGCAGAUCGCCGCGCCGCCGCUGUCGCAGAUCGAUGCCGCCGCCGCUGCUGCAUCUCACCGCCGCCGCCUGCAUCCCGCCCCGCGCGGCACGCCACCGCCGCCCUCCCCCGCGUUGCCGCCGCCUCGUUCACGCCACUGCCACGCCACCGCCGCCCGUCGCCGGAGUAGCUGAGCCGCCGCCGCCGGAGUUUUCCCUCGAACCGGUAUAAACCGAUUUAACCCGCCCCGGUUUUUGUGGUUUUUGGUUUUAUUCUUUAGAGCGGUUUAUUAUGUAGGUUUUAUUAUUUAGAGAGCGUUCGUUAGUUUAGGCUCUGGAGCGAAUGAGUUUCGUUGGUUAGCGUUCGGUAACGAACGUUCACUUUUUAAUUUUUCCUUUUUCUGUUAUUUUCGGCCAGGGACUCAUCUGUGAGUAAUUUUAUUUACAGUUUAGUCCCUGAUCUUCUUUUUAGCACAACUUCUUGCUCGUUUAUCCAAAUCCAACGAAACCAACGCCCGCUUCUUUGUUAUGAUCCCCUCUAUCCAGUAAUCCAACUCAAACAUGUUUUUGAAAGUUUAAAAUUUGAAUUAGAUCAGAUUUGAAUUUGAACUUCGUUUGAUCAUAACUUGAGUUUCGUAACUCCAAUUUAGUUGAUUCUUUUUGCAAAUCAAAGCUCUUGACCUAAACUUUCUGAUAAGGCCAAAUUCACAUGAUUUUGGUACUGUUAGAAAUUGUUUUAUGUUGCAAGAGUUAUUUGCUUGGUUUUGAUGUUUUCCGAAUUGUACCCUUCGUUCUUUCCGAUCUUUUGAGUGAUUGCUUAUGUGUGGUUACAAUUGCUUGCUCAUGAUAGAUUGACCGGAGUGUGACGCGUAGAAUUAUCAAGAGUUUUGAGUGUGAAUCAUCUUCAUCAGCAGUACAGGCAAGUUCACACUUUGAUCAUAUCCCUUUCAUACCCAGUUUUCAUUGCAUUAGUUCGAUCCUCAAACAUUGCAUGAUUAGGAUGUCUUCAAUAUGUGGGUUGGGAAGUAGUUGCUGAGGUAGAACCUAUUGCCCUGUUUCAUAUCAAACCCUUGGGAGUUACUUCUACGCGUUGCUUAUAUUGCCAUGCUAUGCUCGUAGACGUGGAUUGGGUUUGAGUGUUUCCAUGACAGAUGUGAGAUUUUAAUUAAUGGUUUACUUAAGGUGGCAACUUAAAUACACAUCUGGGUGGAUUGAGGCACCUGGGGUAUCCAGUGAUUGCCUGUUUUUUUGGAAAUCCCGGGGUUACCGUGUGAUUUUCCUAUGGACCGCCACCCAGGCUCAAAGGGAACUGAGAUUAUUCAUGCUAGAAACUUCCGUGUGCAGUCACAAGCUAUUAUGGGCUCUAGCAUAGUUGAGUAAGUUACGUGAAGCUCUUGAAGAGGUAGAUCAGCAGGUAGUGGGUUUUGUAGGUUUGGUAUGGUCUACCCGGAGUAGAGAGUUAAUGUUUCUGAAAAAUUGUGUCUCGGUCAUCCGUUUCUCAAACACCAUGUAGUGCGAGAAAUCCAACGGAGGCGAUCGAGUCUUGUGGGGAAAAGUGUGCAAACCUCUGCAGAGUGUAUAAUCUAAUCAUGGUUAGCCGUGUCCCCGGUUAUGGACAAUCUUGAGUAUCUAGUACUUGGAGUAUCUUAAGUAUCUCAUCAUAUUACUUAAAUUAAUUUGCUGGGUUAAUGAUUACUUUUAAUUGGUAUUGAGAGGGGGUUUACCUUCUCAAUGUUUUCAACAAACUUUGUAGUUAAAUAAAAUAUAUUCCUUUGUAGUAGGGAAAAAUUGGCUUUUCACAAAAACAUUAUAAACUUAGAGCUUUCCACCAGCCAAAUAUGCAUGUAGUGAUAACUAUUGUUCAUCAUUAUCCUAUGGUGUGAAUUUGCCAGUACAUUCAAUGUACUGACCCUCUGUGGCUGCAACGUCUCAUGUUGCAGGAAUCUUACGACGAGUAAGUGAUACGUUAGGGUUACGAUUUCUACACUCAACUUUGCCGUUGGUGUUGAUGGGAAUCCACAACCUUGUUACUUACGCUAUUUUGGAUUGAGGUAAUAGUAUUUACGUUACUUUAUACAUGUGAUUUACCUCUGUUAUAAAUCCUCGAGUGCUGUGUGUGUCAGCAUACUGAUCCAGGGAUGACACUUAAGCACAGAGACUUGAUCCAUUCGGGUCGGGUCGCUACACAAGCAUACAAUAAGCACUCAACUAGAAGCACGGGUAAAACUAAAAUAAGAGAUCUUAACCAGAAAGUACAACUUAAGAACUCCGGUUUGCAAAAAGAAUCAAACCGAACGAAACAACGAAACUCAAAUUGCGGAAGAAACAAGCUUCGUUUACUAAUCUGGACUUAAGUCAAAUUUUACAGUAGCAAAACCAUGUUUAAAUUGGUUAAACAAAAAUAGGGUUUCGAGACGAAACUCUAGGCAUUUGAAUCGCCUGAUUCCGAUAAACGAGCAAAGAAAAAACUAAAAUGAAAAUCAGGGCAGAAAUCACGAUCGGAAAUAAUCGCGGAAACCUUGGAAAAAGAAAAACUAACGAACAGGCUAACGAACGGACGCUCGCUGUCUGCGGCUAAACGGUGAAACUCGUGCGUUAAAACGAACGAACGAGUGGGCGCUCACUAAGUAAAUAAACCAGAAAAAAAUAAACCAGUCUAAAAAUAAAACCUAGGGCUUCCUAAAAAACCCGAAUGGGUUUUCUCUAGAAAAUCGGCGGCGGCGGGUGGCUACCUCGGCGGGGCUCCGGCGGGGUCCGAUGGGGCGGUGGGGCUCCUGGGCGACGGUGGGGUGGCAGCGGCAGGCGGCGGCGGCGGCGAACGGUGACGCUGGGCGGUGGGGUGGUUCGGGUGGUGGUGGGGGUCGGCGGCGGCGGUAUUUAAGAGGGGGGCGAUGGCUUGGAGGAGGGGGUGCCGGGUCGGGGUCGGCCUCGAGAGGCGUGCCCCUGCCGGACUUGGCGUCGGCGGCGGGGUGGACUCCCUCCUGCGGGGGAAGGCGGCGGCGGCGCGGGCUUGGACCGGCUCGGCUGGGCCUUCGGCCAAGUCGGGCGCGCGGAGAUUUUUUUAAACGUUCCGCCGUAAAUAAAUUCUAGAAAAAUAAAAAAAAUCUAAAAAUGCCAAAACAAAUUUUCAUCGUCUAAAUAAAAUAUUUAGAACAAGAUGAACAUUUUCUUGGCCCUAAAAUGCAAUUUUGAAAUACGUGCAAUUUUUCUAAUUUGAAUAAAAUUGCAAUAAAACCAAAUAAAAUAAAUAAAUUUAUUUUAACAUUUUUCCUCUAAUAUUUCAUUUAUUUUGGAGAAGUCGUUUUAUCCCUCUCAUAUAUUUUUAUUAUAGAAAUAUUAGGAGGAAAAAUAAUCAAAACCAAUCAAUCCCCUUUUUAAAAUUUGAGAAAACUCAAAGAUGAAAAUAACAAAAUCCCCAACUCUCUCCGUAGGUCCUUGACUUGCGUAGAAUUUCUAGGAUCAAGCCAAAAUGCAAUAAAAUAUGAUAUGCAAUGAUGAUCUAAUGUAUAACAUUCCAAAUUAAAAAUUUAGGAUGUUACAAUCACCGUCCCAGCAAGAAACUCGGCCGGUCCCAACAAAAAAUCACCGCCGGUCCCAUCAAAAAACAAACUCGCCAGUCAUGGCUUUUCUCCGCUGUCGGUGGUGCGUAGUAGAAAAUGGCAAUGCUGAUUGUAGAAAAAAAACUAACGCGGUUGCAAAAAAACGAUGCCCGUGGUGCGUGGUAGCAAAACAAAUUGUGGGUUGAACCAAAAAGCGAGCGUGGUUGUGGCAAAAAAUCGACGCCGGCAAUGCGUUGUAGCAAUAAUCUGGUGUGGUUGUAGCAAAACGAGAUGCAGAUUGUAGCAUCACGUACAGUGCUUGUAGUAGGGAAGUGCUGGUCGGAGCAGCGUUGCCGUCCUUGAACCGCCGACGCCGGUGGUGCGUAGUAGCAAAACGAAGUGCCGAUUGUAGCAAAAGCUAGCAUGGUUGUAGCAAAAAAACGACGCCGGCUAUGCCUUGUAUCAGAAUGAGAUGCCGGUUGUAGCAAAUUGCUACGCCAGUUGUAGCGUCUAUGCAUGGGCUUGUAGCAGGGCAGUCCUGGUCGGAGCAAAAAGCUGCCAUCCUCGGCGCUCAAAGCAGGCCGCGUCCACACGUAUUCAUCUACUGACCAGCCCUCCCCUCCCUCCUUGCAGUAUCAAGUUGAUGGGAAGAGAUUCGUCGGGGGGAGGGAAGGGGUAAAGGUGGAUGGGCAUGGGAAAUGGUGGGCUGAGAAGUCAUCCAUGGCUGCAUCGCGCGAGGUAGAAGACAAUGUGUGCGGGGAAAGGAACGAGUGGGCAGGCCCAGAGGGGAAGGGAUAAGGCAAAGGGCACUGAUCUGCGCUGGUGCACCGGCCGAACAAUUCUGUCGGUCGUACAGUGGACGUACGAUACGUUCCAUAAUAGCCGCACGAUUGCUUCUUCCCCCAAUUGCUUCGCUGGUAAAAAAAGAAGAAGUCAUGCCGUCUGUUCAUCCUCACUGCCCUGUGAUCUCCCAUACGCCAGCAAGCUCGCUGGCCGUCCUCGUCCACGACAUUGUCGUCCUCAUCGCAGCCGUCCGCCGCCGUCCCGCCGGCCACCGUCCUUGUCGCAGCCGUCCGCCCUCGUCCUCAUCGACCAUCGUCCUAGUCACCAGCCCCAACCACCACCGGCCGUCCUUGUUGCUUUGCCCCGUGUAACAGCCGCACCCUGCGGUUGAAGCUCUUGUUGAGACUAUUGUAGCACCGGUUGCGAUGACUGAAUCUCGCCGUCAUGCUCUGUCGGAUUUCGGGUUCCGACAGACCCUCAAGGUUCGAACUCUGGGGUGCACGCUGAGAUCACACCUCCCGUCUACCCACGUCUCAUCGCCUCGCAAGGAUCUAACUACACGAAGAACAACACAAGGGACACGGGGUUUAUACUAGUUUGGGCCACCAUUGUGGUGUAAUACCCUACUCCAGUGUGUAGUAUGGUGGAUUGCCUCAGGGGCUGAUGAUGAAUAGUAGAAGGAAGAACAACCUCGCGAGGGUCUGCUCUUGAGUUGGUGCGAUGAAAUGCUAGGGUGAGUUCAGUCACUUCUCUCUCUCUCUCUUUGGUUGAUCUCCCCCUUGCCCAAGAUCUCUCUGUGUCUGGUUCCUCCUCACCUUGGGAGUGUCUAGUCCUAUUUAUAGGCGGAGGCCCUGGGCCUCUUCCCAAAUAUUGAGCGGGAAGGGUGCCAACAAUUGGCCAUUUUGAAGGGGAACAUCUAGUACACUUAUCCUGACUAAAGUCGGUCCUCGCCUGUCAAAGACCCUGACGGUGACGUCGACUUGGGCUCCACGAUGACCUUCAUCCUGCCGUCCUGCUGGUCUUGGUCUUGUUGCACCGAAGUGGUUGCCUUUGCUUGAUACUCUUGCCUGCGCUUGCCCCCUUUGCACCAAAGAGGAAACAAGGACUCUGCGCAGGCCGGCGCCCGCCUGGCCUUGGUCGUCAUGGCUUGCGUCAUUGGCACCUCGUGAGGUACCCCGCCUUGAUCUCUCCACCUCCUCGCGAGCCAGCCUGACGAGGCUGUGCCCGAGGAAGCCUCCUGUCGUCCGCCCCGCGAGGCUUGGCCCCUCGCGAGGGUCUUGAGUAUGUGUUGAUGAAGAUGGGCCGUACUGGGCCACUCCCUGAGCCAUGCUGCAGGCCACAGGCAGGCAAGUCUGGGUACCCCCGUUCCUAGAACGCCGACAGUAGCCCCCGGGCCCAAGGCACGCCCGGACUUGGCUUAGCAGAGAAGCGAAGGGGCAAGUGCGAAGCGCCGUGGGCCCCAUCAGCCUGCGGCCUUGGGCGCCGCGUGGCGGUUGAUUGGACGUGGGCGUCCUGGCUCCCCCAUGACGCCUCGGCAACUGCACGAAUUGACAAGUCCCUGCAUGCAAAACGGGUCAUGAUUACCUGUGAUCGUGGAUGCCGGCGGUUGGCCUCCCCGGGCUAUAUGUAUGGAACGGCGCGGGCCUUUCCAGUCCAUCACUUCCUGCUACUCUCUGUCUUCUUCUUUGUCCUCGCUCCACCCUACGCCAAUGGCACCGAUCCGUCGGUUUUCUGCCGAAGAGAAGGGGAAGGCCCCCCGAGAGGGUCCUGUCCCGCUUCCUCCGAAGAAACGGCUCGUCUCUUACCGCGGAGAAGGGGGUGCUUGGUAGGAGGUGUCAAGGCCAUGGUUUGAGCGGCCGUCGCCUGGAUUCCCAUUGCCCUUGUACGCCCGGAUCGAGGGUCCUGAAGGCGCAGGCGCCGAGCGGCACCGCCAGAGGCACCGUCGCCGCCGGCAGAUCACGGCGGUGCGCGUCGUUCCUCCUGGAGUUCACGCUGAGGGCUCCUCUCGCGAGCUCGUGCUUCACGCCGCCAUGCCUCCUCGGUCUUGGAUUCGCCUCCCUCCUUCCUUCGCCUUCGAGAUCCCGCCGAGGGGGCCUAUCGAGCUUUGGCUGCAGCAUGCUGACUGCAUUACCCCUACGACCGGAGCGGAGGUCGAGGUCAUCGCUCCAGGCAAGGUCUACAUGACCCAUGGCUGGGGCGAGAUCGCCCGGGUCUGCAGGACGGGUGGGCACCCUCGUAAUCCACCUCGAGUACGACGGCGCCUCCUUGAUGUUCUUCAAAGUCUUCGACGCGGAGGGACGCCGGCUGGAGUGCUGCCCUGAGAAAGGCGGCCGGGGCCCUGCCGUGGCGAGGACUAGGCUCGCCAAUCGCUCCCCCAACAGCUCCUCAGGCAGCGGAGGUGUCGGAGGAUCCAGCGACUCCGCCGAGCUCUUCGCGACUCCAAAGACGAGCGAUGACAGCUACGAGCCCCCGAGCUUGCAUCGCUCUCGGAGUAGGGCGGGCUCGUCAGGCCGCCGUCGCCACUGAUCUGUAUGGGGUUGGCGCCAGUGCCUGACGACCCACUGUUGAUGAUGGCGUCUCUUGCGGAGGCACGUGUAGUUAGCGCUCUUUAGGAUUUGCUCCUUUUGUUCCCUGCGAGGAAUCGAAGAACACACCCCGUGGGGGUUUGUAAGGUGCCUGCAGUUCCAUUUGUUAAUAUGAUCCUUAUCAUGAAGCGGUGCGAGAUGCUCGUCCUGCCUUAGCUUAGUUCCUCCUUUCGAACCUCGCGAGGACAUGACGCUCUGCGCCGACAGGUCCCGGUCCCAAGGCAGGCUUCAGCCGUCACUGGUAUGCCAGGUCGCGAUGCCGUGGUCAAGGCCAGGUCGCGAUGCUCAGGAGGUCCCCUUUAGCGCUCAAGCAGCCAUUGUUCAGUGAGAAAGGAGCGCGACGUUGCCAAAACGGGAUUGCAUUAGGUGCGAGGUUGAUGCUGCAAUAGCUAGUAUUUUCGGAGGAUGACUUAUCUCGGGGGUCAGAAGCCACUCCUUGGCGCGGCGCUAGGCCCGCGCAUUGACAACUGAGGAGUUGCCUAGCGAGGUCCCCACGUGCGUCUUCCUCUCGCCUUUGCUCCCCUUCGUGCUCUACGUUCUUAGGUCCCAGCCCUCGAGCGAGAUCAGGCGUCGCUGGUAUGCCAGGUCGCAUGCCGUGGACAAGGCCAGGAGGUGAGGGCUUGAGAGCUAGUAAGAGUCCAUGAGUCGCGAUGCUCAGGUACCCCCCCUUUAACAUGCAAGCGGUUCGCGCAGACGAGAGCGAAGGAGACGCUGCGAAGGCCUCGCCCGACGCUGCUCCUUAAAGUGAUCCUGCGAGUUCAUCACAAGAAAAGCGAGAGUUUGCCGUUAAAAUUGCCGGCCAGCUGCUAGUUGCUCUGGAAGGGUGACGAGGCACUGAAGGCUUGGUGAGGCGGCGCCCUGCGGGGUUGUCGUGGCCAGAGCUCAGCCAUUCAGGUUUGUCGACAUUGCAGGGGCGGACCCAUGCGCAAGCAUCGUGCCAUUAAGGAGCAGCUCCAUCAGUUGGUGUCAAUCGAGCGGGCGAUUAAGUCAAGCACAUUAAUCAUGAAGGAGCAAAUCCAUUUAGAUAGGUGCAGAAAAAGGCGAACACCGCUGGGUCGGGCCCGAGCGGCUUUGGGGAUGAUGCAGCCCGAGGGGCGCCCCCGAUAAAGUAAACUAAAAAUAUGAACCGAAGGGAUACAUGCCGCAGGGACGGACCCGUGCGGCCAGGGAAUGAUGCAGCCCUGGGAGGCGCUCCCAGCUGAAAAUGAAACUCGAAGGAUGUCACCUGAUGAUUUUGAAGAUGAAGGGAUGCUGAAGUAGCGAACGGCGUGCGCUGCGGAAGCCGAUCUUCACGAGCCCCCAGGCCCAGGAGCCUCAAGAGGCUCCGGAGGCGCUGGCGGCUCCUCGCGGACCAUCUCCAUCUCCGCCAGGACUGUGGAAUGCCUAGCCGCUUGAGCCUCCAAGAUGCUCCUCGCGAGGUGCUGACGCACAGCAGCCGCGUUUGGCAGGCCAUAAGGCAUGCGAACAUAGUUGUGGGGUGGACCUUCGUAGCGUCCCACGCGUGAGGGCCAGAGGCGCUCCUGAGAGGCGGCUCGGUUGAGUCCUGGUAUGUCGAUGCAGACGCGCAGCCCACCAUCCUCGCCUGGAUGGGGAGCUACGGCGGGUAAGCGGCGGCUGCCACUCAUGACUCUUGACUCCUGCAGCUCCUGAAUGAUCUCGUUGACGAACUCCUGAGGUUUUUGCCCUCCUUGUCUUGCUCCUUCCUGAAGGAAACGUGCUUUGAAGCACGCCUCCAAGUGGUGCCCGAGCGCCUCCCUCAUGAUCCUAGCAAAGUCGACGGCCCUCCAGGAGAGAGCCCCCAAGCCUUGCUCGAGGAGGGCGUCAGGCGCGCCUUCCUAUGUGACAGAUGGAGGCACCCCCUGAACAGGCGCGGACCCUGAGGGGCCUGCCUCCCGAGGGGUCGGACCAGCCGAUGUCUUCUUCUUCUUAGGGGCAGCCUCGGGAAGCCUUCCGCUCCUGUGAUCUGGGUCUUCAAUUGACGCGGCUUGGAAAGCACGUUCCAGAGAACACACAUCGUCUCUCUCUUCACAAGGCACCGUGAUGACUCCACCGCUUCCUGGCAUCUUGAGGACAUUGUAGCCGUGAUGAGUCACGGCCAUGAACUUGGCCAGGGCUAGGUACCCGAGGAUGGCACUGUACGGCAGGCGAAUGUGAGCGACGUCGAAGUCAAUGAGCUCGAUGUGGUAGUUGUCGCGCUUCCUGAAGGUAACAGGCAGGCGGACCUGCCCUAUCGGAACCGUGGAACCAUCAGUGACUCCUGAGAAAGGUUUGGUUGGCUGCAGCUGAUUGUAUGGCACUUGGAGAUUGUUGAACGUCUCGACGGAUAGGACAUUGAGCCCUGCUCCGCCAUCGAUGAGGGUCCUGGUGACUUGCACAUUGCUGAUGAUUGGGGAACAAAGCAUCGGGAGGACUCCGGCUGUGGUCGCGCACUUGAGUUGAUCCGCUGAGCUGAACGUGAUGGUGCAUGCUGACCACCUGAGAGGGCGUGUGGCCUCAAGCUUGGGGAGGACUGCAUUCACUUCGCGAGCAAACUGCUUGAAGAUGUGCUGAGUGGUCGGGGCUUGAGCGCCGCCCAAGAUGCAAGCGAUUGCGCGCGGCUCCUGGAAGCCUCCGGCCCCCUCAUCCUGAUGAUGGUCUUCAUUCCUCCUCGGCUGUGGUGGCAGAGGAGGAAGGCCCGUGUUGCCUUGUGGGCGAUCCUCGCGAGGCUGAUCCCUCCAGCCUCCCUCGCGAGGCGGGUCCCUCCAACCUCCCUCACGAGGCUGGUCCUGCCAGCGGUCCUCGCGAGGUCGGUCACGCCACCCUUGGCGAGGGCCACGGUCUUCCCAUCGUCCUCCACCUCUUUCUCCUCCUCGGCCAUAGCCCCGGUCGCUGCGCUCAGGGCGUCGCCGGCACGCACGUCCCGCACGGCCCUGAGCUCUUGGCAUUCGUUGGUGUUGUGGGUGUGGAGGUCGUGGUACACGCAGUACCGGCUGCCCUUGGAUGACUCAGGCUGAUUCCUGCCUCGCUUGGUGUCCGGCUCUGCUGCAAGCACGGCAGCCCCCUUGCGCUUCACGUCCUUGACCUUGGGAUUCUUCUCUUCUGGGUCGACAGCUGGCAGCUCAAGGAGGGAAAGGCGCCCUUCCUCAGCCCUAGCGCACUUGGUCGCCAAAUUGAACAGCUCCAGGGAGGUGCACAGGUCCUCAUGGAUCGCAAGCUCCUCCUUCAUCUUGACGUCACGCACGCCGUCGGAGAAGGCUGAGAUGAUGGCCUCCUCAGACACCUUGGGGAUCUUAAGGCGAGCGUUGUUGAAACGCUAGAUGAACUUGUGCAGGGUCUCUCCUGGCUGCUGCUUGAUGCGGCACAAGUCACUCAUAGUCGGGGGCCGGUCGCGGGUAACUUGGAAGUUGGCGAUGAAUCGGGUGCGCAUCUCUUUCCAGGAGGAGAUCGUGCGAGGAGCCAGGUUCAGGAGCCAGGUGCAGGCACCGUCCUUGAGCGCCAUGGGAACCAGUUCGCCAUGACCUUCUCAUCCCCGUUGGCGACUUCGAUGCCCAACUCAUAGAGCUGGAGGAACUCCGUAGGGUCAACCAUGCCAUCGUAGCGCGGGGGCAGAUCUGGCUUGAACUUGCCCGGCCAGGCCACGCUGCGCAGCUCGGCGGUGAAGGCACGGCAGCCUGCAAUGGCCGUGGGAGGCCUUUAGUGAUGGAGAGCUUGAUCUUGGAAGUCUCUAUGCGCUGCCGCCAGGAGCAGUGCGGGGUCUUGGCGCGCUGGAGCAGGAGCGCGUUCGUGCCGGGCCGGUGCGGGGAGCACACGAGCAGCUUCUUGGGGACGAGGGAUCUCUUGGCAACUCUUCUCUUGUUGUGCUGGCGCCGGACGGAGUGGGUUCCGCCCAGGGGCCACGCGUCUUGGGGCCAAGGUGCCUUCUUGAGGGGGAGGCGGUUGAGGCGCCCCCGGAGCUUCGUCGCCCGCGCAGGGCGGGGUGCGAUGCAGCGAGAGGGAUGGCGCAGGGGAGCCCCCAGCGACGCUGACGAGCUCGGUGAUGCAGGCGAGCCACUCGUCGUAGAGGUCGUCGACAGGACGGUAGUGCAAGAGCUCCCGCGCCAGGAGCAGCACGGCGUGCGCAUCCGCAGGAGCGCGGCGGGCGUGGGACGAGGAAACGGCUGGAGUCAGCGACGGGGUGGCGGUGCGGCCUUCUCGCCUCACCGAAGGGUGCAAGGACGACGCCUGCUGCUCAUUCCCCGCCGGGCCGGUGGCGGCGUUGACGGCAGGCGACGGGGAACGGCGGGGGCGCCCACCGACAGGGGCCGUCUGGGCGACGCGAGUGGCGAGAGCGGCCCGGCGCUCGGCGCGGGCUCGACGAGCGUCUGACAUGGAUGCGACGGGCGGCGAAACACGAGGCGACGGAAGGCGGAUUCCGGCGCACUCCUACCUGGCGCGCCAAAUGUCGGAUUUCGGGUUCCGGCAGACCCUCAAGGUUCGAACUCUGGGGUGCACGCGGAGAUCACACCUCCCGCCUACCCACGUCUCGUCGCCUCGCAAGGAUCUAACUACACGAAGAACAACACAAGGGACACGAGGUUUAUACUGGUUCGGGCUACCAUUGUGGUGUAAUACCCUACUCCAGUGUGUGGUAUGGUGGAUUGCCUCAGGGGCUGAUGAUGAAUAGUAGAAGGAAGAACAGCCUCGCGAGGGUCUGCUCUUGAGCUGGUGCGAUGAACUGCUAGGGUGAGUUCAGUCGCAUCUCUCUCUCUCUCUCUGGUUGAUCUCUCCCUUACCCAAGAUCUCUCUGUGUCUGGUUCCUCCUCACCUUGGGGGUGGCUAGUCCUAUUUAUAGGCGGAGGCCCUGGGCCUCUUCCCAAAUAUUGAGCGGGAAGGGUGCCAACAAUUGGCCAUUUUAAAGGAGAACAUCUAGUACACUUAUCCUGACUAAAGUCGGUCCUCGCCUGUCAAAGACCCUGACGGUGACGUCGACUUGGGCUCCACGAUGACCUUCAUCCUGCCGUCUUGCUGGUCUUGGUCUUGUUGCACCGAAAUGGUUGCUUUUGCUUGAUACUCUUGCCUGCGCUUGCCCCCUUUGCACCAAAGAGGAAACAAGGACUCUGCGCAGGCCGGCGCCCGCCUGGCCUCGGUCAUCAUGACUUGCGUCAUGGGCACCUCGUGAGGUACCCCGCCUUGAUCUCUCCGCCUCCUUGCGAGCCAGCCUGACGAGGCUGUGCCCGAGGAAGCCUCCUGUCGUCCGCCCCGCGAGGCUUGGCCCCUCGCGAGAGUCUUGAGUAUGUGUUGAUGAAGAUGGGCCGUACUGGGCCACUCCCUGAGCCACGCCGCAGGCCGCAGGCAGGUAAGUCUGGGUACCCCGUUCCCAGAACACCGACAUGCUCGCCGCCGCUCAUCCCCGGUGUGCAGCUUGCAACAAGAAAUUGAGCACGGGGGAAGAUGCCCAGUGCUACAACCAACUACCAAAAAAGCUACAACUAGCGAUAGGAAAAGCUUCAACCGGCUAUGAAAAAAGCUUCAACCAGUAUACGACUGGAGCUAUGGAUGACCAAGAAAAGUUACAACCGGUGACAGAAAAAGCUUCAUCUAGCGAUGAAAAAAGCUUCAUCCAACUAUAAAAUAAGUUUCAACCGUGAAAACGAAGCCAUGGACGAAAAACAAAAAGUUGCAACCCAGUUAUAAAAGUUACAACCACGUUGAAAAAAGCUUCAAACUUCUUAUCUCAGCUGCGACCCCCUGCGAUGACGAUAACGCCGUUUUGUUGCAACCGUAGUAGAUUUUUGCUACCACCGGCGAUUGAAUUUGCUACAACCGUCUCCAGCAAAAAUUCGCCGCGGGGGUGUAGUCUGCCAUGGCUGGUUGCGGCUCCGGCGUGGCCGGGUCCGGCGAGGUAGGCAGAGCUCCGAUGCAUGCGGAUCCGCAGGGAUCUAGUCGAGGGCGGCCAUAUCGGCUGAUUACCAUGAUGGCGGCGCCCCUAGGAGGCCUCCGGCGCGGGCGACGGGUUGACCAUGGCAACGGGGAGAGAGAAGAGAGAGAUGACCGAGAGGAAGAAGAGAAAAGGCAGGAGGGAGAAGACGCACGUGGGCAGCCCCUAUCCUACGUGUCGCUAGGCGAGUCACUAGGCGCGUUUGCGUGUGGACGCGACCGGCUGAAACUUCAGCCGGUGUGCCGUUGCCAAACUUUUCCGACGGAUGCUUCAGAUCCAACGCCUCGCAUGUGACCGGCGCUGGGUUCGGCCGGCGCGCCGAACCCAAACGUUUCCCUUAAAAAAAGCCAUUCACCCCACCACCAGCACGACCGGUCCAUCCCUGGGCGCUCCGCUCCCACCGUGAUCCACCAACGGUCGUUGCCGAUGCACCACUCCCGGCUCCUCUCUCAUCUCUUCUUCCCCACGCCCCAUUCUCUUGCUCGAGCUCCUCGCCGAUUUUACCGAUCAUUGUCCUCUGAUCUAGGGUUCGCUGCUGCCGGUCGCCAUUCACCUGUGCCUCCGGAGGAAACGGCUCCCUGGACCUUAUCCUUCUUCAAAUUCUACCUCUACCGAUGAGGAACGCCUCGAUGGCUGUCUCUUCCGUUUCUCCUUUCUCUCCCUCCUUGCAAUACACCGGCCAUGAUUCAAGGAAGGAGAAGGGACGGGGCUAGAGCCACCAUAUCAAGAGGUACCUGCCGGCGGGCUGGACCAUGUUUUGCUUCCUGUUGUCUUCUCUCUUUUGGGAUUUCUCAUCUUUGUUUCUUUUUUUGUUACAGGUAGAGUGAAGGAGCCACGCUUGACAACUUGGCGUGAGCUACUUUGGUCCAGCGGCUACCAAUGUUCCUUUUUUACUUCAGAAUUAUAAAAUCAUGUUGCCUUUCUAGAAUAAGAUGGAGAAAGGUCCAAACAAUCUUUCAAGGUAUAUUUACUCUUGUCGUUUCUCUCUGUAGCUGGAAAUUGCUCUUUUGGGAUCUGUUCUAUGGCUACCUAUUAUCAAGCCAGUAGAAUGGGGUGGGUUAGAUGUGAUUAUUUUCAGGGGAUUGAAAUUGAAGGAGAGACAUCUGUUCCACAUCAGUUGGACAAUAAAUAUGCAUCACUUGAUAUCAUUGUGAUUUUGCACCUCACCAUCUUUUUGAAAUAAAGUUUAAUUUAAUCAAGUUCAACUCUAUCAUCCACAACUAACACAUGUUCCAUAUUUAGUUGUCUGCUUAAAUCCGAUUCCUUUUUCUGGUAGGUGCAAAAAUAGUAUGAUAUCCCUACUGAUAUGUAUGAAUAUACAGAUGAAACACGUAUUUACAUGUUUAGUUUUUCCAGAUUUUUCACACUCGAUGGAAACUGGAAGCAUCACUCUCCUUGGCUGAAAUCACAGUGGUCAGAUUAUAGAUCACAAGCUGUAGACGAAUUGUUUCUUCUGAUUUCCCAAUCUUCAGGUUAUGGGUCAUUUCCCCUUUGCAAGAAUUAAUUUGUGUGGCUCCAUUUUUGUUAUACUAAAAAAAGAUAAAUGGAGUGAUAUUCUUAUACUAUAGAACUUCUAGAGUGAACAAAGAUAAAAGGAGUGAUAUUCUUAUACUACAAAACCUCUUAUAUACUCCAUUUUGGUUAUGCUGGCCUCACUUAAUUGCUUUGCAGAUUGAACUGACCAAUCCGUGUGAUUGAGGAAUCCUUGUGGAGAAAAAGAAUUCAAGGAACUCCGCAGCUCCGAAUACAGAGGUGAGAAAUCGAAUCAAUCGAGCAGCGCUCUGGUGAUCUAUUCAUCUACAUGUUCUGAUCUGCAUGUAUUCCCUGUUUUUCCUCUGCUGGUUCAGCUUUGUUAAACUUAUAGCAGAUAUAAAAUACCUGUAUAUAUAUGCUUAGAACAAGCAAAAUUAGAACUCUCUAUCUUGAGUUGUCAGUUUGAUUUACAUACACAUGUCACUAGAGACUAGACUAUGCAUAAUCAAGCAGAAUGUUUAUGUGUGUUGCCAGUAACAAAUUGUAUCAAAUCUUGUGUUAAAACAAUGCUAUCAAAUUAACUUUCCAACCAGGAUUUCAAGAAAAAAAAUUGUGUGCUGGAUCAAGAAAGGGAACAUGGUAAGGAGUGGGCCUACAAGAGUUUCUCUGUUCUUAUUGGUUGCCAUAUGCAGCUUGCGGGUCUCAACUUAAUAAAUACAUCAACCGUGUACAGAAGGAAAAACUCAUUACAUGAAUUCUAAGUAGGUAUUUUCAGUCUUUCGCAAUGUAAUUUAUUUAUUUUUCUCUCAUAAUAUGUUAGGUUCGACAUUGGAAAAUAUUUGGCUUGAAUGGAAUUGAUUUAAAUCUUGAAAGACUUCGAUUGAGACCCAUGUUUAUGUGUGUUGCCAGCCAACUGUGGAAACUGAAAGUAGAGACAUAAUUCACAUAAUAAGUAACAACUUCCGAUCCAAGUUUAACAACCGCAGCUCCAUUCUAGAUUGAUGUUAAGUUCUGAAGUGUCGCUCUCCAGAUUUCUGUCUGUUUCCCUUUUAUUUACCGCAAUCUGCACUGUAAUGGCUAUAUAUAGAAUCACUAGAUUCAAGCCGAGUGAGGCAUCUACUUUGUUGUAAUUGGGCUUCCCUAGCAUCCAAUAUCAUGGUCCUGGCAACACUUUUCUCUGGGAGCAAUACAAACCCUGGGAGGCUCAUCUGAACCUUGAGUCGUUUCUCUGAAAUUUAUGAACUUUGCUUGCUGAAACCUCUGAACAUUUCUGGAGUCUGUCACCUGAUUGAUUCUUCACUUGGCAAAGCAGCAAGAGGGACAUUGGCUGAUGCUAGAAUGAAAAGAAUUUGUACUUGUAAUAAGACGACAUUUCUGUUUAUGUAAAAUGGAGUUGCUUCCCAGUACCUUUGCAGAUAGGUAGAGGUGUCCUGAAUUUAGGCUCUGCAUAUUCCUUCUUAUCUUCUACUCCCUCCAUUCCAAAAUUCUUGUCUUAGAUUUGUCUAGAUACGGAUGUAUCAAGUCACGUUUUAGUAUUAGAUACAUCCGUAUCUAGACAAAUCUAAGACAAGAAUUUUGGGACGGAGAGUAUCUGUUUUGUUAUUCCUAGUACUGGUUCAUUCAUCUUUUUGUCCCACUGCUUAUAUUUAUCCUCUGGGCAAUUUAUUUUUCUAAACUUAUAUAUUUCGUUCAACACUUUUAGUGUUAUACCAUACUUGGAGGUUUAUUAAUGGUCGCCUUUUAAUCCUUCUAGGUUCCGUCCCAAGGAUCUGUUUGUUCUAACAUUGCAUUUCAUCUAUCAUUAUUUUCAAACAGAUGCACCAAGAGGCAAAAAUUUAAAUAUCAUUAUGUAAAAUAUGUACUGUAGCUCCAUUUCAUCAUAUAUUUUAAAUCGUUAACCAAAGUCAUCAUCUAAUUCCCAGCCCAUCAUUUUUAGUAUGUAUGUCAACUCAUGUAUAAAAUAUAAAAGCCCGCAAAAUUGCUACAGUGGGUAAAUUUUGAGUUUAAGUGUGGCCAUAUAUGUUAGAAAUCUGAGACUAAUUCCAUUUAGUUAAGGUCAUUCAAAUGUUCUUCAUGCAUACAAACUGUGAUCUUUAAUACUCAAUAGGAUGAAAUUUUGAACUGUAGAUGUACCUGGUGCACCAAAGAUCGUGGUGGUUUCAAAGUGGUAUUGAUUUGGCUCCUUCCUAUCUCAUUCAAAAGGAUGGUGUCAAGCUUUCUAUCUGAGCCCUCUUUGAGGUAUGCGACAUCACACCAAAUUGUCUUAUGCGAGCAGGAGCUAGAAUCAUACUGCCAUUUUUAAAAAUUCUUUUGAGAAUCAGUUGACUGAAUAAUUGUUACACCUGCACCAUGAUGUGCUGAUAAAAUUUGGAUAGUCAAUCAAAUUUCCAGUGAUGAUGCCCUAGCUGAUCAUGCUUCUUUACCACAAUUAUUUUCCUGGCAGUAGUUGUGCAUGCAGUACAUGUUUUCAGUUGAGCGGGCCCUCUUUUAGUUAGAGAUCAAAAUUCAAGCCUGACAUGGCAUAUGAAUGCUCCUAGUUUAGCAAAAGCCAUGAUCUUUCCAACUUUGAGAGUUGAAGGAAAUCUCCCGAUAAAAAAUUGAAGAAUUCAUAUAGCACAGUACAGGGUGAGCGUCCACAUGACAGUACUAAAGUUGUUUUUAUCAUAUGGAAGUUCAUAAGUUGUGAUUAAGAAUAAAAAUGCAAAGUUUCAAAAACUUAUGUUUCCAGCAUGAUGGCUCCCCUGUUUUAUGGUAAUCUUUUUCAAAUAUUCUGAUCAUGGUCCUCUAAGCAUUCCUGGUUUGUCACUUGAGCCUGAGCCGUGGGUCGCAGAUCCAACCAACAUUGAUGAAAUCCAUAAAAGAAAAGCUUAGCUAACUCUUCAUAACAAAUGGACUGAGUUAGUGUGCGCACUCACCGGCCGGUGCUUCUCAUAGUUUUUUUAACAUGCUAUAGCAGCUAUACAAUAUCAGAUUUAUGGAAACAUAUUUCAAAAUUGGUAAUUAGUGUGUUCUAUUUUCCUUUCCUUGGAUAUUUCUUAUUAUGUUUUAGAAUUAUUAUUUUUCGUCUGCACUUUCAAGUAUUUAUGCCUGGGGUCUUUACCGGAGAAGGCUUUCGCCUCGCUUUAUAUAUAAAGCAAACCGCCCAAGGCACACAUCCAACAAGGUUCAACACAAACACACACACACACACUCACACACAGAGGUCUCACGAACACACAGAGUAGUCAUAAGGGUCAAUGCUGAGGGCACAACACAACAAGCCUUGAGAACAAAACACACACUCAACACAGCAACCCGAGCAACAUCUAGUCGGGCUCCGGUGGAGGGGGCGGAAGCGGGGGCGCCACGCGGAAGGCCAUCGAUCAAAGGUCGGCGAGGAGGUUGUUGAUGGCGUCCCGGUCCUGGGGGCGGCUAAGCGGCCGCCAAAGCUGCAAGUAGCCACACAUUUUAAAGAUUGCAUCAGUCGCACGUCGAAGAGGCACUUUCUGAAUAACAAGCUUGUUGCGGAUGGUCCAAAGCAUCCAGGCGAGGACCCCAACGCACAACCAUCUAAUAUGGUGGAAGCGAGGGGAGGAGGCGUGGAUCUCCGCAAGUAAGUCGGGGAAGUUGGUGUUGCCCCACUGUCCACCAACUGUCUCGCGGAAGCAGGACCACAGGAACUGGACAGUGGAGCAAGAGAAAAAGAUGUGGUUAGCAUCCUCCACCGUGCCGCACAGGGGGCACAUCCCAUCUCCUGGCCCAUUACGAGGACCUCAACCCCAGAAGGGAGACGUCCACGGAUCCACUGCCACAGGAAGAUCCUGAUCUUCAGAGGUAAGUGAAUGUCCCAGAUCAGGCUAAAGAGCUCAGGGGCUGACGAGGGGGCGAUGGCAGCGUAUAAGGACUUAGUGGAGAAGCGGCCAGAGGGCUCCAGACGCCAAGAGAAGGAGUCAGGGGUACCCUCGACAUCCAUCGGAAGAAGGGCGAUGUCCUGGAGGAGGGAGUCCCAAGCGGCUACCUCAGGGGGGCCGAAGGGGCGCCGGAAAGCGAGCCGCCCUAAGUCAAUAAGGGCCGUCUCGACAGAGACCCGAAGGUCAACCGCAAUGGCGAAAAGUUCCGGGAAUCGAGCAGCCAGGGGGGAAUCCCCUAACCAACGAUCGAACCAGAACAGGUUGAGGACCCGGAGCCAACCGAGAUGGACGUCCCGAUAGGGAGAACGGGAAGGAGCUGAAUAACAGCCCUAUCAGAACUGGGAGCCACCAGAGCGCUGACAGAAGGCUAGAGGUUGGCCCCUGAGGUACUUAUUUUGGAUGAUGGUAAGCCAGAGUCCUCCCUCCCCAUUGGCGAUACGCCAAAGCCACCGGGUCAGGAGGGCAAUGUUCAUGCGCCAAGAAGACAAGAUCCCAAGACCACCUUGGUCCUUGGGAUUGCAAAUGUCUAGCCAGCUCACCAUAUGGUACUUCUGCUUGUCACCCUCGCCCGCCCAGAAAAACCUAGACUGGUAUUUGGUGAUCUCCUGAUGGAGAGUCUCAUGGAGGCUGUAGAAGCUCAUGAGAAACCAGAGUAGGCUGGCCAGCGAGGAGUUGAUGAGGAUUACCCGGUCCGCUUUCGAGAGCCACCUCCCCCUCCAGGGCUCAACCCAGUGCUGCAUCCGGGUCACAGACGAGCGGAGGUCAGUCACUAAUGGGUAUCCCCAAGUAAGUCGUGGGGAAGGUACCCAGGCGGCAGUUCAGCCGGUCAACAAUGGACUGUGCCUCCUCCGGAGGAUAGCCAAGGAUCAUCACUUCGCUCUUAUCGAAGUUGAUAGUGAGCCCAGACAUCUGCUGGAAGCAAAGGAGGAGGAACUUCAGGUUCGCUAUGUCGGACGCGGAGCCCUCCACCAUUAUUAUGGUAUCGUCUGCAUAUUGUAGGAGGGAAACCCCUCCCCCUCCUACCAGAUGAGGGACUAAGCCGUGGAUAAGGCCAAAGUUUUGGCCUUAUGUUUUGGCCUUAUCCAGGAUGACAGCAAGGGCAUCGACCACCAUGUUGAACAGAAACGGGGAGAACGGGUCACCCUGGCGAACCCCACAGAGAGUGGGGAAGUAUGACCCGAUCUCACCGUUAAUGUUAACCGCGGUCCGACCGCAGGAGACGAGCUGCAUAACUCUGGUCACCCACCGGUCAUCGAAACCCUUACGGAGCAAUACUUCUCGAAGGAAGGGCCAGUGAACCGUAUCAUAGGCUUUAUGGAAGUCAAGCUUCAGGAAGACCGCACGAUGGUGCUUGGACCGGACUUCAUGAAGAACUUCGUGGAAGACCAAAACCCCAUCCAAAAUAUAUCGGCCUUGGAUGAAGGCGGAUUGGCUGGGGUGGGUGAUGGAGUCAGCAAGAAGGGUCACCCUAUUGGCGUACCCUUUACCCAGAAUCCGGAAUAUCACAUUGAUCACAGUGAUAGGGCGGAACUGGCGGAUGUCAGAGGCGCCCGAAACUUUGGGGAUGAGCGUGAUGACCCCAUAGUUUAGGCGCCCAAGGUCCAUGGUCCCCGAGAAGAAUUCGUCGAAGAGGGCCAUGACCUCCGGUUUGAUGGUUUGCCAGAACGUUUUGAAAAACGUUACUAGUAAUCCAUCCGGACCCGGGGCCGAGGAGGGGUUCAUACCCUUGAUCGCCGCGAGGACCUCGUCCUCCGAGAACGGUGCCACCAAGGCAGCGUUAGUCUCGUCGGACACUAACUGGCCCACCGACCAAGUAUCGAGGGCCAGUGCAGCCCCACCCCGAGCAGGGCCGGUCCUGCGAUUUUGGGGGCCCGGGGCGAAGCAGAAAAUCAGGGGCCCCUAAUAUAAAGGUCACACAAUAAUAAGGCAUUUUUUAAUUGUUACAAAUAAACACUUUAAUGGACCCAAUUUUGAUAUUUGCAUCUAAUUUUUUUAGAUGUUAUCUUAAAGGUUUAUUCUAACAUCCCGCUGAGCAUUGGGGACCUUAAGUUCAUGAUUCGCAUGACACAUGAUCACUCAUUCUUCUACUGAGGACAUACAUGUGCACAGACGAAAACUACAAAUGUUAGACAUUUGCCGAUCCUAGAAAACAUCCAAAAACCCGACUACAGAAUUACCAAACAAAGGCAAAAGAACUAUACAUAGAUACAUAAGUUUGAGUCUCUUAAAAUAAUUCUCGAUGCAAAUUCAUUUAUGAUCGGGUCGACGUCAAUUUUGUCCAACAGUUUCUUAUAGAUGCAUAGUAUUACCAAACCAUUAUCUGUGCAAGAUAUGCAUCAUAUAUGUAUGUGAAGGCAAAUUACUUAAUUAGCAACAUACAUAAGGAUUGGGGAAUAGGUAAUAGUACGAUGAUAUACCUCAUAUCAAUCGCAUCGGCUUCCCUGAUUAGAUGGUCAGCAAUGAGGCACUCAACGAUGUACGUGUCGCGUUUGCAGUCCACAUCUUACGCCCAGCGCUUGGAAACUGGAUACCGGCCGGAGGCGCUCGGCGCUGUCAAUUCCCGUGGCCUGGCGACGUGCUUGAGUGCUCGCUGUAGCCAGCUACUGGAGAAUUGUAUCUGCCGGCGGCCUGCGACUUGUGAUCGAGAGUUCGUGACGGGGGAAUAGAGAAUAGGGCAGUGAAUUAGGGAUGCGAUCUCACGUGUCACGAGACAGGAUCGUACUGAUUGGACGAUGUGAUUGGGUGCGUAUGGUGUACUUUCCUAUAUUACUACGUCUUUCCUUGGGUUAAUAUCUGGGAGGGGGCCCCUGGGUUUGGGGGGCCCGGGGCGGCCGCCCCCCCUGCCCCCCCUCGGGGCCGGGCCCCCGAGGGGUGGGGGAGAAUAGGGCUUUAUAGAAGCCAUCUAUGUGGACUCGGAUGUCCGAGGGGCGAACGAGCUGGGCAUCUCCAUCCCACAGAGAAUGGAUGGAGUUCCGUCAUCGCCGCCCAUUGGCGAUCGCCUGGAAGUAAGCCGUAUUAGCGUCUCCACGGAGCACCUACCGUUGGGUGCCGCGGAGCCUCCAGUAAGCUUCUUCGUCCAUGUAGAUGGUCGAGAGCUGAUCCUCGAGAUCAUAUCUCAGCAUCCACUCAUCCGGGAAAAUCACGGAAGUGUCAGCGCGGGUGUCCAGGGCUUGGAUGGCAGCCAGGAAGGCUUUCUUGCGUUCGCGGAGGUUUCAUUCUACAGCUGAACAAUUAUAUCUCAAAAUAGCUUGCGCCCCCUAUAUUUGAUCCUUCUGCCCUCUGUUAAAUUCAACCUCUGAUUGACAUUUUCUUUCACUGUUGUUGUAUACACGAGUGUGUACCAAAUUAUACAAAAUGAAAUAUUGUAGAACAGGCAUAUUCAAAACUGUUUUUUGAAGUUAAAUAUCUCAUGUGAGAAGCCUAGAUAUAAGAAAUAUAGGUGCAAGGCGAUUGUUUUGAGGUGUCAAUGCAACUUACAGUACAUGGAUCUGGUUAAAACUUUGAUACUUCAUGCUUUGAUAUGCUGCUACGGUAGCUCAAUACUGAUGAAACAGAAGGAUUAAACAAUACGGUCCAUGUCAUCCUCGAUCUGUGUUGGUAUGCAUCCUCUCCCUUUCCUUUCCUCUCUACUAAGUUGUCUCUCCUUUUCCUUUAAUUAUUCAUGUGAUCUUUCUUGCUCUGAGAAGCUCUUCAUGAUGCACAGAAGGAUUCAGUUUCUGAAUUCUAAUCAACAUGUUUCAGUUGUCUAUUGCAAAAAUGUUCUAUGUAUAUUAUGCGAGGUAAAGGGUCAACCAAAUGAUCAUAUAUGUAUUUAUAUAGAAUCAUAUCUAUCUGUUGGCAGCCAUGUCUGAUGCAUACGUCUUUGCUGAUUAAAAAAAUAUGCACAAAGACCUACGUGAAAUCGCUCGAUAAACAAAAAAUACUGCUCGACCGAUUUCUUCCUCUUAUUCACUGAUCCAUUUUAUAACACAAAGCGCUCACAUGGGCUCUCUUGGGCGCGGCGUGUUGCCGCGCCUCUGCCUGCUAGUCAGGAUUAAUUGUUGCUAUCUAGAGUAUUUAGUGAAAGAUGUGUGAUCAGAGAAAAUUAGAUCUAAUCCUAGAGUAAUUAUGGGGAGCACAGUUGAAAGCAUCGAUGGUAAAGGAUGUUUAGUUUGAAAACCCCAAGAGAUGGGUGGUAAUUUGAGGAAGUAAAUCUGACGGUCCACGAUCACUUGAUCCAAGGGCCAUGGCACCGGUGUCAUUCCUAGCGGUCUCCUAUAAAAGGGGUACGGCAUCCGGAUUCGUGGUUUGAAACUGACCCAAAUUCACUCCCCCCCCCCUCCCCCCAAAUCAUCUCGGGCCGGCCCUAUGUCGUCCCAAAGCAGCCCGGCCGGAGCGCUGCCCGGUUUCCCUAAACCUAUGUGCUACCUUGCCGCCGCCGAUCUACCCCGUGCCCUCGAACGCUGCCGCAUGCUGCUGGACAAGCUGCUGCAACAUGAGGACGGGUGGGUGUUCGCCAAGCCGGUGGAUACAUACGAACUCGGACUCCGCGACUACCACUCUAUCAUCGCCGAACCCAUGGAUCUCGGCACUGUCAGCCGCCGCCUUGAAUUGCGUCGCUACCCGAACCUGCUCUGCUUUGCCAAGGAUGUCCGGCGUACCUUCAGCAACGC
This 163795-nucleotide long non-coding RNA is filed under the name Triticum aestivum (bread wheat). RNAcentral describes it as "long non-coding RNA (TAES_LNC027424)". The stretch from base 156715 to 156847 matches the Rfam family "MIR1120/MIR1122 microRNA precursor family". The record is from RNAcentral. Lineage: Eukaryota; Viridiplantae; Streptophyta; Magnoliopsida; Poales; Poaceae.